This 89857-nucleotide long non-coding RNA is filed under the name Theobroma cacao (cacao). RNAcentral's name for it is "long non-coding RNA (TCAC_LNC005471)". Lineage: Eukaryota; Viridiplantae; Streptophyta; Magnoliopsida; Malvales; Malvaceae. The record is from RNAcentral.
UAAUUUGACGUGUUCAUCAUUUCAUCAUAAACUGCUAAGUCACAUUUCAUAACUUAGAAUCAAAAUAAUACUACACAUUGCCAUCUCAUACUGGCAUACUAAACAAGUGUAUGUACAUUUGUCUAUAACAUGUAUCUUAACAAUUUACAUUAGGUUCGUCUAUACACAACAAAAUAAUACUUGACUUCUAGCGGAGGGAUUCGGACGAAUGUACAGCUACUGAAUGCCGAGACACCUACCAAAAGAUGUAUAUAAGUCUACAAGGACACCUCAUCCUAGUUACCAAUUGCCUCGUGAUUUGAAAACAUGAAGUUGAAAACAGUGAGUAUAAACCCAAUGAGUGAACAAGGAAGGGAACAAGCAUACCAUAAGGAAUCUUUAACGAAAUCAUGAUGCAUUCUUUUUCAAAACAAUGCAAUUUGUUUCUGUUCUUAUUAAAAACCCUUAAUCAAGCCCUUAAAUGAUUAAUCAUUUGAAAAUCAUGAACCCAUACAUAACGAACCAUUUGAAGAAUGAAAGCUUUAAUAAUAUGCAAGCAAGUCAAGUACGAUAACGAAUCUUCACUGUAGCGGAAAGGCAUUUCACUGCAACUACGCUGCAGCGAAAAUGAAUUUUCAUUGCAGCGAUGUUGGGAUUAAGUUAUUAGCCGAACGAAGGUUUCUCAACUGGUCGAGGAUUUCUCACUAAACCUCCUCAUUUUAAACUUAACUCAUUUAGUCCUUAAUGUUGGAAGUCCAUGCUCCGAUAUGGUAGCAAAUAAGUGAAAAAUAGGGCAGCAAUUAGAUAAGAUAGGAGACAAAAAUAGAAGGUUUUUCGCUGCAGUGAGAUUCAAAAUUGUGACCCAGAAACAUAAUGUUUCUAGCUACAGCGAGAUUUAAUCUCGCUGCAGCGAAAUUGUAACCCAGAACCAGAAAGUUUCUUGCUGCAGCGAGAAGCUACUGUGUCAUUCUCGUUGCAGCGAAAAUGCAUCCUCUCUGCGGCGAGUUUUCGACCAGCCUACCCCUCCAAAAUCUGAGAGUUUCUCGCUACAGCGAGAAUGAUUUUCACUGCAACGAGAAACAGAGCACCAAUGCAAAAUUUACCUUUCUUCCAAAGGAAAAACCACUCUACUAAAAUGUUCAAACCAACAUGAAACACAUAACAAUUUCCCAAGGUUUAACAUGUCAAGUUUCACAUGCAUUACAACCAUAAACCAUUAUCCAUUAAUUUCCUAUAACACACAUAUUUACAUGUGUAUAUAUGUAUACGUAUAUACCCAUCAUCAUCAUACACACCAUCCCAUCAUCAUCAUCACCAGCUCAUGCGCACUCCCUACUCGCACAUGGCUGGGUCAUCAACGGGUUAUGCGCACUCCCUACUCGCACAUAACCGGGUCAUCCCCGACUUAUGCGCACUCCUUACUCGCACAUAGCCGAGUCAAUAUAAUUAAAUAACAUUAUAUCUAAACAUAUAUGUAUAUCAACAUAAUGCAGCCACAUAGAAAUCCAUGAUAACCACAUAUCAUAACAUAAACCAUUUCUCAAGAGCUUGUUCCCAAGGCAUUCAUGUUUGAGAAAAGUUAUAUAAAAUCAUUCAAACACUUUGUACAAAACAAUCAUAUUCCCAAAAUAAUUUUGAUAGGCAGUUCACUCACUGAUUGAUUGUAGAGCCUUUAGAUGACUCCAAUUCUCCUAAUUGUCCAAAUGAGAUUAUGGGGCUUCCUUAGAACCUAGGAUCACAUUGGCAUAAGCAAUAGGUCAAUUCACGCACUACGAACCCUAAAAGCUAUCUCUUAGCUAGCUUUCAAUUGCCACAUUAAAUGGCUAUCUAUGUUCACUAUCUUAAUCACUAAAAAGUAAUGAACAUACUCAACAAUAAAACAGCUCAUACUCCCAAUUACCAGCCAUUAUUCACAGCUAAAAACCAAGCUUAAUUCAUCACUUACCCUAGGGUUCCUUUGUAGUCAAAUUCUCUUCCAAUUGCUUCCAAAUCAAUGGGGUAAUUCUCUCUUUCUCUCUCUAAAAUGCCCAACUAGUGAGAGAAAGUAUGGAAAUAAACUUUACCAAGGGUUUUGAAGUGAGAGAGUGAAAGAAUACUAGAGUUCUAGUCAAAAGGGCUCAAAAGUAUGAAAACUAGAGCUAGACAGAGAAUUUUGCAAGCUACAUAUCAAGCUUCCAUGGAGGUUUUGAAGAAACGUGAAAGAGAAGAAGAUGAAGAAGACAAGCUGUUGGAAAAUGGGAGAAAAAGCUGUUGGAAGAAAGUAUUUAUAGGCCAAUCUUAUCCAUUCCACUUAAAAUUACCAAAUUACCCCUCCACCAAUUAACUUACUCUCCUCCAAUCUUUUAUGCAAUCUUUUUGUUCUUUUGACAUUGGGACAAGGUCCAUAAUGGUCUAAACAUACUCGGGUUCAUGAAAACAUAAAAUUUUAACUCGAGGUGAAAAAUGACCAUUUUGCCCCUACCGUGAAAAUCGUCGAAAUUUUGGUUUCCUUUUCGUUUUACCCCUAAUUUCACCAUCCAUUUAUGCCUUAGGCCUACUUAGACCAUAAUAUUGUUUAAAAAUCUUACUUUUAUGGGCUUACUAAGAAAAUGACGAAAUUAUCCCUGAUCAAGGAUAUUGCGUAUACUCCCCUUCACGAGUCUAUAAAGGUCAAGGUCUCACACUAAAAACACUAACAUAACUUGAAAUCAAAUCAAUCCAACACCAUUCUCUCUCCAUACCCAUUCGGCUAGCCAUGAAUUCACCAUGAAAACAUGAAAUUUAACCAUGAAAAAUAAGGAGAAAUGCUUAAGGAAAAUAGAUUUCAAGUUUAAAUUGAGAAAUCCUACCUUUUUCACUUGUUUUUCUUGAUUUUCCACACUUUUUCUCUUGAAAUUCUCCACCUAGGGUUCUUGUUCUUUCUUUUCUUCCUUUGUUCUUCUUUGGCCGGCCAUAUGAAUGAGAAAUGGGCUGAUUUUGUGCUAAUUUAUAAGGAAAAUAAUGAAUGGAUGAGAUUUUGACACGUCACCAUUCCAUUAGUCCAUGUGUCAUACUUAGCCAUUAAGCAAUCUCUCUCUACCACUUAAAUUUUCUCAAUUAUCCAUGAUAAUAUUGGGUAAAAUUCAUGUACUGGACAAGUGUUGGGUAGUGUAAAAUUACGAUUUUGCCCAUAGGGUGGCAAAAUGACUAUUUUACCCCUAUACUCGAAAAAAUGUUGGAAUUAAAAUUCUUUACUUCUCAAACUCAAAUUAUACUCCAAAUGAUUAAUCUUAGUCAAAAAUUUCAUCCAACAUUCCAAUUUUUAACCUCAGGUGGCAAAAUGACCAUUUUGCCCCUAGAUCAUGAAAAUUCCAAUUUGACUCCAAAUCGGUCCUCGAACUCCGAAUCAUCAUUUUAAGUCAUUCUGGAGUUUUAAAAUUCUCAAUUUCAUCUUAAAAUCUUUAUUUAGACUAGUUCGAGGCUUAAUUUAACUUAAUUGUACUAUUUGGUACAAUACCGUCUUUUAAUGAUUUUCAAGGUACCCAAGUAAGCAAACAUGCAUUCUUAUGUAAAAUUGGCAUAAUAAACAUAUUGUAGAGUUGGGCUUGACAUAAACUGCUUCCAAUAAAAAAAAUCGUUGAAUCAACCAACAUAGCCAAGAAAAAAAAAGCUAAUCAAAUUAAUUUCUAAAGCUUCCUAAUUUACUCUAAUGAAAAGUAAUAUUUUUGAUUGAUACAAAUAAAUGAUAAAAGAUUAGCUACUUUUUUUUAGAUUAGAAAGCAAAUAAUAAAAGAUCUGAAAAGGCAUAUAUAUGUAUCAAAACAGGAUAUCAAUGGAUGCAAAUAUGUGCAAAAGAAAAAAAAGAUUAAUUUCGAAUCUUUAAUUCUACACUCAAUAACUCUUAUUCAAAGCAACACCUUUUUUAAUAAACAAGUACUAAAAAUUGUCUUCCAAAAUUUAAAUGAAGUGAAAGUCCCAUAUUUCGCACCAAAAACAACCCAAAAGAGUAAAAUUUUUCAGCACAUCAACAAAAAAGCUAAUUAAAGACCACGAUCAAGAUCAGCAAACAAAUCAGUGAGGUCAUACCGGUAGGACUGCAUAUGCGUUAGAAAGGUCAAUCCCUCCCCUACGACACCCUAAACCGGGUAGAACUUCUAACAGGCCGCCAGCUUCGCUGUAACGUGGACCUAAAAAAUAGGGUAAAAAAUUUUAAAUUAAUGAAUGUGAAAAAUGAAACAAUAGAGGAAAGGCAGUUCUAGGGUGAGCAAAGGGGUAGUGAAAAUGGGUACAGAGAGGAUUGAAGGGAGAGUGAACGAAAGAGGACAUUCGGCAUAAUAGCAAGAAUAGGUACAAAGAAAGAGAAGACACAUCAUUUUAUCAUCACACCUUCAUUAUAAAAUUCACCACAAUAAUUCUAAACCCAUAGAAAAAAAGAUUCUGAAACAAAAAUAAAAAAUAAGCUACAGCAAAUGAAGAAGCAAAACGAGCUACCCUUCACACUGAUAUCACAGCAUCUGAUCUCAAAACCCCCAAAAAAUAGCACAAGAAUGUUUAGUUAGCAGCCAAGGGCGAAAAGUUCCAGCAACAAGUUUGGAGGGUUCACGGUCAAGCUCGGCCUCCGGCUCUCUUUGGGAUUUCUUCGCUUCGGGUUCUACUAUCUAUUAGAGCUUCUUUAGACCUCAAUCCAAAGAAAAAGAGAUGUGAACGGAGGCCGUAGAAAGCUCGACGGCAGAUAGGGAUGACGUCGAAGGAGAAUCGAUUUAGAUCUAGGUUUUGCACAGAAGGAAGAAGGAUUGAUAAAGAAAAUAACAAGAGGAAAUGGGGAAAUAGAGAGCCGGACAUCUAAUAAGCUUAAGUAUAAAAUUUCUUCUGUAAAAAGGACUAGGCCUUUAGCCCAUGAAUGGCCAUUAGCUCAAGUCCAAUGGUGUUGGGCUUAAAUGCAAUUAAUUGAAUAAGUUAUUGGAUCCUUUUUAUAUUUUUCAACCCAUUUCAUUUUCAUUCAUAUCAAUACAAAUAAAAAUAAUUUUAAUUUUAUUAAAAAUUAAAUAAAUUUUAAUAUAUUUAUAUUAAACUUAUUAUGUAAUGAAUAAUUAAUAAUAAUAAUAAUAAUAUCUUUAGAUAUUCAUAACAUAUUAGACAUUAAUUUACAAUGUAACGUAUUUAUUAUUAUUACAUUAUGAACAAAAUUAAUAUUAUUUUAUUAUUUAUUUAUAAUAUAAUAUUUUUUAAUUAUUAACUAAAUUUAUCAUUUUGUAAAAUAUUAAUUACUUAUUUAUAAUAAGCAUAAGUAAUUUUUAAUCAAAUUAAAACUCAACAAUUUUAUUACUUCAUACCAAAGUCAAAAUAACUUAAUUUGGAUUUUAUAAAUUACAUAUGAAAAUAAAAACAUGAAAUAAGCCCAAAGCACCCAAAAAAUCCAAUUUAAAAAUAUUAGGGAUCUAAUAUAAUAACUCUCCUUCCUAUAAUACAAUUAAAAGAACCUAAAACCAUCUUUGAUUUACAAUCACCAAUUUUCACUAAUGCAACUAAAAGCCAACCAUUAACAGUAUAUUACCAGAAGCUAACUAUUUAAAGUAUUUAUAGCUACCAUUUAUAGCAACUUUCAAUCUACAGUUUUCUGUCUAUUACCAGAAGCUAACCAUUUACAACCUACAGUCAUUUAAAGUAUUUCCUUAUUGCCUCUCUCAUAUUCAUUUAUAAAUUCUAGUGAUCCACUUAACUUAAGACUUUUUCUAAUUAAACCAAAGAGUCUUAAUCAAGACUUUAUUCAAGACAAUUAAACUCAACUCGAAUUUUGAUAUCUACACCCCUUAUCCAUCACUAAUUACUAAUCACUAAUAUGUUAAUUUUAUAUAAUAUAUAUUUAUAUGUAUUACUUUAUUAUUAUUAUAUAUAUAUUAAACUUAACCAACUUUAAUUAUAAUUUUUUGAGAUAUCAUAUGAAAAUUACAAUUUUAUAAAAUAAAAUUAGGAUACUUUGAGUUUUGGAAUUUUUAAAAUUUUAAGUCCCCAUAAAAUUAAAAUAAAUAGCAGUUAAAUAUUAAUUUUAUUUUACAAAAAAUAAAAAUAAAUAAUCAAUUUAAAUCCAAAAAAAACUAUAUAUUUCUUUCUAUCUAUCUCCGUACGAGCAGUGAGAGUGGGGAGAGACGAGGAUAGGCAUUUAAGAGGGCCCCGUGCAAAAGAAAACGUGGGCCCCACGUAAAGGGUGGCGCCAUAGGCCGAGCCCGUAUACGGACGCCAAAGAAUAAUCAAAUCCCAUUAAUUAAAAAGCAGAGAAAUUGUGGUUUUGUUUCCAUUUAUUACCUUGCUUUUGCACAAGGGGAAGGGAUUCUUCUGGAUUGAGAGAGAUGAGGGAAAUUAUAAGCAUCCACAUAGGCCAAGCUGGGAUUCAGGUUGGGAAUUCUUGCUGGGAGCUCUAUUGUCUAGAACAUGAAAUUCACCCUGAUGGAAUGAUGCCCAGGUUUUGCUUUUCUUUCUUUCUUCUUCUUCUUCUUCUGUCAUUUCCUUUUUAACUUGUUUCGGAAUUUCUCAGUACUCGAUUUUAACGGAAAUUAAUUAAUUAAAAUGUUAUCCUAGAGAAGAGAUCACCAUGACAAAAAUUUGCUACGCUUUUCAGUCCUGUAAAGGAAUGGUAGUUGAUGUUUUAGCUUGAAAGAAAGUGGGUAUUCUUUUGCUAAUUGUUCUUUUAAGUAUUGCUAUUGCUACUGUGUUAGUUGAUCGGUGUAACUUUGGUGAAUUGUUUUGAUCCAAUUAUGCUUUGAAAAACCGCGUGUUGAUGAACAUUAAUGGUGAUUGCAGUGACACCUCUGUGGGUGUUGCACAUGAUGCUUUCAACACUUUCUUCAGCGAAACGGGUUCCGGAAAGCAUGUGCCUAGAGCUAUCUUUGUUGAUCUGGAACCCACUGUUAUUGAUGAAGUUAGGACUGGUCCUUACCGUCAACUUUUCCACCCUGAGCAGCUUAUUUCUGGCAAGGAAGAUGCUGCUAAUAAUUUUGCUAGGGGCCACUACACAAGUAAGGAACAUCGAUUCUGCAAUUUCUCAAUGCUGUUGGUAUUUUUGGCUUAGUCUGAUUCCGCUUUUGUUUUGCAGUUGGGAAGGAAAUUGUAGAUCUCUGCCUUGAUCGGGUUAGGAAGUUAGCUGAUAACUGCACUGGUUUGCAAGGCUUUUUGGUGUUUAAUGCUGUUGGCGGUGGAACUGGCUCUGGUUUGGGCUCUUUGUUGUUAGAGCGCUUGUCAGUAGAUUAUGGAAAGAAGUCAAAGCUUGGGUUCACCAUCUAUCCUUCACCUCAGGUACUUGCAUGUUCUGAUGCUGGUAACGCAUGGAUAUCUCCAGAGUCCAGACACCACAGAGGGCAGAAAAACCUGUGGAAAUUACAUUUCUGUUUGCUAUGUCUACCCUUUAUGUUUAGCUUUUGAAAUAUUUUUGUGGUAUUAUGUAUGCUUUCUAAAAUAUGGAAACUUUUAUUUGAGCAUGAUUAUUUAUUUUAAAAUAUUAUAUAAAAAUAUUGACUUGAUAGUGUAGGACUUACCUUUUGAUAUUUCUUUGUUAAACUCACAGGUCUCAACUGCUGUUGUGGAACCUUACAAUAGCGUUUUGUCCACUCAUUCCCUUCUUGAGCACACAGAUGUCGCUGUGCUAUUGGACAAUGAAGCAAUUUAUGACAUAUGCCGGAGAUCUCUCGAUAUCGAGAGGCCAACUUACACCAAUUUGAACCGACUGAUAUCUCAAAUCAUAUCAUCCUUGACAACUUCUUUAAGAUUUGAUGGAGCCAUUAAUGUGGACAUUACAGAGUUCCAAACCAAUCUUGUUCCAUAUCCCCGUAUCCAUUUCAUGCUCUCUUCAUAUGCACCUGUCAUCUCAGCUGAGAAAGCCUUCCAUGAACAAUUAUCAGUUCCUGAGAUCACAAAUGCUGUGUUUGAGCCCGCAAGCAUGAUGGCAAAGUGUGAUCCUAGGCAUGGGAAGUACAUGGCAUGCUGCCUGAUGUAUCGAGGAGAUGUUGUCCCCAAGGAUGUUAAUGCUGCUGUCAGUACUAUCAAAACCAAGAGAACUGUGCAGUUUGUUGACUGGUAAGAGAAAUUUGGUAUUGAAGGAUGGAAAGCUCUGCAUCACUAGUUCUCCAUUGAUACUAGUCCACCCAAUCAGCCACUGUAGUUGUCAUUUCCUCUACGUAGCAAAGAAAGUUUGUCAAUUCCCAAACAGUAGAAUGUGCCUCAUGAAUGCUUUAGGAACAGCAUCUUGGCACCGGAAUUUUGUUUUGUGAAGUUUGACUCAUGCAACCUGAUAUGUGCCUCAUGCCUCACCAACAAAAUACUAGGUUAUCUAGAUUUAUUUUUAGGAGGUUAUCGAAUGCUAAGGGGUUGAUGUGGGCAUAUCUAUUACUUACAGUAAUGCAACCUGAGGUUGUCCUUGUGUUCAAUGUUCCCUUUUGUCUGAAAAGCUUUUUUAUUGGGUUGUGCAGGUGCCCGACUGGCUUCAAAUGCGGUAUUAACUAUCAGCCCCCAACUGUUGUACCUGGGGGAGAUCUUGCUAAGGUGCAGCGAGCUGUUUGCAUGAUCAGCAACAAUACAGCAGUGGCUGAAGUGUUCUCACGCAUUGACCACAAGUUUGAUCUCAUGUAUGCAAAGAGAGCUUUUGUGCAUUGGUAUGUUGGUGAGGGCAUGGAAGAAGGUGAAUUCUCAGAAGCCCGUGAGGAUCUGGCAGCUCUUGAGAAAGAUUAUGAAGAAGUUGGUGCCGAAGGUGUGGAAGAUGAAGAGGAAGGUGAAGACUAUUGAUGUACUUACGCAAAAAAAUUUUACUUUGAAGAUGGUUCAGUGUAUGACGGUUUGCCCACCCCUUUCCCCUUUGUCCUAUCCUUCUGUCUUCUUGUUUAGCGCUGUCAUCUUAUGGGUGCUGGACGAUUGUCAAAGUGUCCGUAUAAUCUCCUAAAGCCAUUGUAUGCCAUCUCAAUUAAGUAAUGUGUACUGUUGCGUUGCAUGCCGUUUUCUUCAGAAAUGUGUUUUUGUACUGGGUGAAUAUUGGAAAUAUUUUUUACAUUUAUAUAUGAAAGAUGCUUUCUAGGCACAUAACAGCCUUAUAAUCUUGCCAAAAAAAAAAAAAACGUACUAGCAGUAUAAUGGCCGCAUGUUAUUGGGUAUUUUGCAUAGGAUUAAUAUAUCGAACUUGAGGGUGAUAGAUGUUUAAUGUAGUCGUUUGGGAAAUGUUCAAGCACUGAAUUCUUUACAGAUUCCAUGAAAUUGCUAAAUUUACUUGGGAGAGGGGAAAAUUGUAGAAAUUACGGUCUUUUAUGCCGCAGUAUUUCUAUCUUCUUUCACCGUGCAUAAUGAGAGGGUAAGGAAAAGUUGCUUCGCAAGCUUUGCUCUACUGUCGGUUAUAAAAAUGGAAUAUUCUUGGAUUAAUGCUCGUGUGCUUGGUCCCUUCCUUUGAAGGAAUGCAGAUAAUAGAGAAAAAUGCUCAGUUUAGGGCUCACUAAACUCAGCAGUACGUUUCCACCGUGCAAACUCAAGUCUACAUAUUUCUCGGGUGAAAAACAUAUUGAUUGAUAAAUAACGCUUAUAUUGUUAUCUUUUACCAUCUCACUCUAAUUGCAGGAAGAUUUUCAACAUUUAUCUGCAUUGGGUGUUGCCUUAGUAUAAGACUAGGAUUUGUCAAGAAUUUGCCUCACGAAAAUGAACCGAAGCAACAUGGCGCAGAGUACUUGUUGAGGUAGAAAUGACCAGUAAAUUAUUAUGCAAAACCAACCUUUGGCUUCAAUAAACCAAAAGUUAGAACUCAAGGCAGUGAUCGUUUGCUGCAAACUUCUGCCAAACAAUGCUACAGAUCCAAACGAAUACAUGGCAUCUCAACGAGUUUGACCUGAACUUGCCUCGAGCCUCCACUUGUCUGAUUUGUGAUAGAUUUGGUUCUGUAGAUCUCACCCAUGCAUACUGUAUUCCUCCUAUCCCAGGGAGUUUUAGGAUCGGUUACAUGUAUAGUAAUCAUGUGCAACUUCAUUGAUGAUAGUAAAUAACAAGAAAGUAUUGAAAGAUUUCCUCUAACUCAUGAGGCUCAUUGAAAGAGAAAUAGGGAUGGAGUGAGGCUUAAAAGUUUGCUUUUCUCAAAAUGCUUGAAAGAGUUAAUUUAGUAAUGCUUCCCAAACUUCUAAGUUUUGGAUGGAUUUGCAUAAGAAUGUACAAAGGUCAAUAUGGAAAUAUAUAAUCAUGGAAUGGAAAGUUCAUUAUGGUUAGGAAUCAAUCAUGAACGAACCUAGCAAAUAUCUCUCCCCUUUGACAAUUCAGUCUAGGAAAUAUUGAUACUCGGAGAUUUACCAGCAUUUAUUCUGGACUUAAAGAGUAAGAGAAACAAGAUUUGCGGAGCACAACUGAAAUAAGUAGUAAUUUGCAUCCAAAAGUGAAAAAUUGUUGUUCCUGCCUCACCUAAUAGAAUUUCCUCCUAGCGACACUCGAAACAGACAAUCUCAAUUUUUCUCAUCAGUUAGCAACAUAGCUGCCGCCUGCCGAAGUCUUCUAGCUGCCUUCAUGUGCUUCAAAUUCCAUGGUAGAAAGGGAGAAUCAGCUUGGGCAGAACAACUGGCUAUGUGUGGGAAGAUCCCAGAGAGCAUCACCAAGGUCAAACGCAUUCUCGAGGUACUCAUCAACUCCAUUCAUUGCAUAUAGAGAUGCUGCUAUCUGUCUUUCUACCUUCAAGCGUUCGAAUUCCAGUGGCUCUGGAUCAAUUGCAUUAGACAGAGGACCAAGAGUUUGUGGCAACUGCACUUCCUGUUGGUUUAAAGGAAUCUGAUCAAACGCAGUUGAGAUUGGCCAGGACUGACCAAACUGCGACGUGGCUGGUUCAAGUUCCCCAAUGCGAUAGCUCAUAUCUGGCCUGUAUGCACCAUCAAAGAUCUGGGUGUCUUGUUUCAUGGAAUUGCAUACUAGAAAGCUAUCAUUGCCACUGUUGGAUAGAAAACUGUCAUUACUACUAGCAUUACUGCUACUGCUGCUAUUACUACUAAUUAUAGUGUUUGCUUUAAUCUUGGUUUUCUUCGAGUUGAUUGCAGAAGUUCCUUGCCUUAAACUCUUUUUGUGAUUGAGGAGGUUUCUAAUCUUCGAAGACAGAUGAGAGUUGCUAGGAACAGGAGUUGCGAAAUUGGUUCGUGUAUUCGAACCCCGGAGAAGACAUGCAGCUUCAUCAUAAGCUCUGGCAGCUUCUUCCGCUGUUUCAAACGUCCCCAGCCACAUUCUUAUCUUCUGUGUUGUGUCUUUGAUCUCUGCUACCCACUUGCCCGAAGGCCUCUGCCUUACCCCAACAAACUUGCUUCUGCUAAUAUUGUCUGCAAUUCUCUCCUUGAACUUGCCAUGUUUGUUGGAUGAAACACCUUUCUGCUGCCUUUCAACUCGGUGUUCCAUUGCAGAUAGAGUGAAGAGAAGUUUGGGUGGAAGAAAAGGUAGAAGGGGUCUGGUUUAUAUAAGGGGAAGGGUUAGGAAAGGGAUUCAAGUUUGAAGUUGAUAUAAGGUAGUGGGCAGGUUGUCGCAUUUUCUUGUCAGCCUGUCAGCUAGAAUUUGUUCCACAUUUUAGUGUGACUGAUUUCUCAAUGUUGAGUUGACUAAAUCAUUUGAUUAUCUGGAUAUAUUAGGCCAGGGACAUGCAAGCCAUUUCCUCCAGAUGAGAAAAACCAAGAAAGAAGAGAAAGAUUACACUCAUAUAGAGGCAGGAGUCAAUGCUUUGGAGAUUUUUGUGAUAAGAUAAUGAUAUGGGGUAGGCCUGAGUAGUUGCCCUGUCCUCAGCUCUCCAUUUCAUUUGGUCAACGAGGAAAGGAGCGAGAUUCGUGAAGGCACGAAGGCAUGACACUUGGAGAAGUUCGACUCAAAGUUGUUUAAGAAAACAAAAGAAAAUUAAAGAUUGGAGCGUUGGACGCUUCCAAAAAGAAGAGCAAAAGCGAGUAGAAAAGUGAAUGGAAUCUCAUGCUGCACGCUGCCUUGGCUUGGAAUCUCUCUUCCAUUUUUACCUUCAAAGCACCUUCUCUCUUAUAUACUUAUGCUGUCCCAAACCAUUCAUUAUUUCCUAAAAGAUUUCAUGCUCCUUUUACUAAUAUUUAACAUUUAGGACCAUCACGGUUAUAUUAUACAGCAAAGUUCAAUUGUUUGUUUUAAGUAAAGCUUAAAAGAAAUUUAGUUUGGUUCUACUUGAUAACCAUAAAAUAACUGGUUGAAGGAGAAUAUUUUUGUAUAAAAUAUUUAAUAAAAAAUUUAAUAUUUUUUAUUAUUUAGAUAAAUUAUCAAAAACAUUAUUUUUAAAAACAAAUGGUAGAUGAGACCUUUAUCAAACGUACGCCCUUUUACGUUGAUUAAUACAAUUUUUUCCGUUCAUCCGUAAAACAUAUUAUGUAAAGCCCGACCUUAUAAAAUACUAUUCAUGACGUACAUGUGAUGAUAGCAUGAUUGUAUGCUAGGAGAGUCCCGAAAAAUUUACAAAAGUCGGUAUUAUACCUAAAGGUACAACAAAGUUGAUUUAAUCAUCGAACUAGAUCAAAUAGGAAUUUUAAGGUGAGAUUAAGAUCGUCAUAGUCCAAGGAUGACUCAAAAUGGUAAUUCGGAGUUUGAGGAUCAAUUUGGAGUCAAAUCGAAAUUUUCACUAUCUAGGGACAAAAUGGUCAUUUGCCACUUGGGGACAAAAUGAGAAUUUUAGAAAAGAUUUUUUUGACCCCAUUUGACUUAUUGGAGUAUAAUUUGACUUAUUGGAGUAUGAUUUGAGGUUUAUAAGUGAAAAAUUUUAAUUUCGGUAUAAUUUGGAGUAAAACGGUAAAAUGAUAAUUUUGCCACCCCAGGGGGCAAAAUUGUAAUUUUCCACCAUCAGGACGUUUUUUUCAGCACAUGGUCUUCCUUUAUCUUCAUCUUUGACCCUUGACUAAUCAUGUGGUGGAGAUAAAAUGUUUAAAUUUUUAAAAUUUUAAAAAUGGACCAAUAAGAAAAUGCCAUGUGUCAAGCUUAGGAUAUUUUAUUAUUUAACUAAAAAAUCAGCAUAAAUCAGCCCAUUACUCUCCAAAUAUUCGGCCAAGCAAGGAAGAGAGAGAAAGAGAGGAAGAACAAACCCUAGGUGAGGAAUUUCAAGAGAAAAAGUGUGGAAAAUCAAGGAAAACAAGUGAAAAAGGUAGGAUUUUUCAACUUAAGCUUGAAAUCUAUUUUCCUUAAGCACUUCUCCUUAUUUUCCAUGCUUAAAUUACAUGUUUUUAUGAUGAAUUGUUGGCUGAUCAAAAUGGGUUAGGAGAGAGAAAGUUGUUAGAUUAAUUUGAUUUUAAGUUAUGUUAGUGUUUUUAGUUAGUUUAGCAUAUUUAGAAACAAAACAACAAGAAAAGAAUUUAUUUUAUCCCACAACCAUUAAUGGCCGAAUUUACCAUGUAUGAGUGAGGAUGAGUUUGAUUUUUAUUUUAGGAGAAUUGGUUAAGAAAUGAUGAAUUAUGAGCCUAGAAAAAUAAUGGAAAUUUUUGGAGCAAAAAUAUGAAUUUUUACCUAUUAGGGGUAUUGUCGUAAUUUGCUGUCGAGACUGAUAAUUUGCACCACACUGAGGGACAUUAAGUCAAUUUGGGUGCAAUUGAGGUAUAGAAACUGAAAAAAAAAUUAAUUUGGGAUUAAAUUGGACGCGUUAGUAAUUUAAUCGGGUGAUAAGAUGAAUUAGGUCAAUAUCGAGUUUAGAUAGUUACCAGUGCAUUUUUGCAUUCCAUAUUAUGCAUUAAUAGUCUAAAUUAGUUUAAUUUCAAUUUAGUACCAAUGUAGUAAAUUUUUCGAUUUUGUACUGUGUUAAGGUGGUGAGUCCUUCGAUAAAGGCAAGAAAAUUGCAUCCGAGAACCAGUAGACAGAGUGCUUCGAAAGUCUGCAUUCUAGACAUUGUGAGUAAACUUACUGUCAUUUUAAUUAUCUAGGGUGGUUUUUAGAUGAUUUCAUGAAUUCUAUGGAAAAAGGAAUUUAAAAAGGUAAAUUUUCAUGUUUUAUGAAUAAAUGUGUUUUAAUGAAUUAAAUUAUAAAUUGUUUUGAAAUUAAUAGUGAUUUUGAAAAAUAGAGUACACGGAGACUGUUAUUUGUGGCAAUUUGAUUGUUUAAAUUGAUUAGCUUAUGCUAAAUCGGGCAUGAUUGGCUAGUUGACAAUUUUAUUGAAAUGCGAAUUGUUUGAUUGCCUUGAAAGACUGUGAAUUACAAAAUUACCACAUCAUGUUAUAGAGUUUUAUUGUAUGGUGGAUUAUAUAUAUUAAUUAAUCACUGCAGUUGGGGGUUUCUGUGGACCAGCCUUUUAGAGGGGCACAGUAAACCCCAUUAUAUUCUUACCUCGAACGGAGAGGCGCGUAGGGUAUCUCCUGGGAUAAAGUUUAGGGUUCACUUCACGCCAAACCACCACAUGAGGGGAAACUCAGCCAACGCCAAGGAACGGCUAUGUUUUCAAAACAAAAACAUGAUUUAUGUGAAAUGUGAAUUUUAAUAGCCUUGGCGGUCUCGGUAGGAUGCCUCGGCCAAGGUGUCCCUGAGAAUGGAUUUAUGGCACAAGCCUAGUUUUUAUGAAAUUCAUAAACCUCUUUACAUAUUUUAAAUGAAAUGUAUUCUUAUGUUGUGACCCAGUUUACGAUGAUUUAUUUUAUUGUCUCCAUGUACUCAACUCUAGAUAUUUAUGAUGAUGUCUAUUUACUCAUUGGGAUUUUAUAAUCUCACCACCCUCCUUUCCACCCAUUUCAGGUUCAGUAUAGGCUGUAGAUAGCUGAUCUCAUCGAGGACUACCGUUGGAUCUGCAUUUUCCAAACCGUAGGUUCACAGUACUCUUUACUUUUGUUUAUUCGGGAGCCCUCUUGUUAUUGUAAAUUAAAUUAAAUAUUUUGGCUUACUGUAUUUAAGUCUGUAUAAAUUUAUUUAGCUUUUACGCUAUAAAAAUUAUUCACGUAUAACUCUAUAAAUAUUGUUUUAUAAGAAAAUAGAAUAUUUUACUUAAUAUUUUUUUUAUUUUCUUAUUAUGUUCAAAUAACCGUAAUUUCGUUUUAAAUGAAGAUUUUAGACUUUUAAACUCAUUUUGAAUAUGAAUUAUGUGUUUUGUACUUGUAUAUUACGUUUUAGCCAGUUUCAAAAUUUUUAAGAAAAAUGACCAAAAUACCCCUGUGAGACGAAAAAUUAAUAUUUUAUUUGUUUAAAGUUGGAAACAGCUUAAAAUCUUUUAGAACAUGAUAUUUGACAAUGGCUGCUCAUAAGGGAACAGAGAAACUUAUAGUAAAGCCUUGCAGGGUUUCGGGUUGACAUUUCAGGCAAUGAGUGUCUACCAGGACACCACGACGGUUGUCACGGGCUCGAGGGGAGUACCGGGUCGUGACAAUUCGAUUGGUAUCAGAGUCUUUGGUUUUAAAGAUCAAAGUUUUUAGUUUUAAAGUUGUUUUAAAAUUUUAUAAUAUCAGUGUGGCCACGGAUUAAGUUAGGUUAGGUUAGGUUAAAUAGAAUACAUGCAUCUGCAUAUAGAGCCUAAGGUUACCUAAACUUGCUCGUAUUCUUUUAUAGAUUAUAAUGCCUCCUCGACGCAGACGCCCACCUCUCACUAGAUCGGUUGGGAGGGGAAGAGGUCGUUCCCAACGUCAUCAGCUAGAUACAGUAGAGGAGGAAUCAGCUGCAUCCACCAUUCGGGCAGCACCUGCUACUGAGCAGGCCGAGAGUCCUCCACCUCCUCAGCCACCUACUGGUAUUCCCGUCAUGCCUACCGAAGCAGCACAGGCAUUGACAGCUUUCUUUACCGCAAUGGCUGGUCAAGCUCAGACUGGUCAAGUUCCACCUAUAGUGCCUCUAGUUACUCCUUUAGUUCCACCACCAGUACAGGAUGUAUCCAUUUCUAAGAAGCUAAAAGAGGCUAGACAGCUCGGUUGUGUGUCUUUCGCGGGUGAGUUGGAACCACUAUGGCAAAGGACUGGAUUAAUUAGGUUUCAGAGACUCUCUCUGAUAUGGGAUUGGAUGACGACAUGAAGCUGAUGGUGGCUACGAGAUUAUUAGAGAAAAGGGCUCGUACCUGGUGGAAUUCAGUGAAGUCUCGUUCCACUAUUCCUCAGAUAUGGUCCAAUUUUCUCAAGGAAUUCGAUGGUCAGUAUUUCACUUACUUUAAUUAGAAAAAAAAGAAAAGAGAAUUUCUGAGUUUGAAACAGGGGAAUCUAACUGUAGAGGAGUAUGAGACUCGUUUUAAUGAGUUAAUGCUAUAUGUGUCGGAUCUGGUGAAAUCUGAGUAGGAUCAAGCCAGUUAUUUAGAGGAAAGGCUCCGUAAUGAGAUUAGAGAGUGAAUGACAGUGACUGGUAGGGAGCCACAUAAGGAGGUGGUACAGAUGGCUUUACGGGCUGAGAAGCUCGUGAUUGAGAAUAGGAGGAUUCAGACUGAGUUUGUAAAAAGGAAGAAUCUUGGUAUGUCUUUUAGUCAGCCAGUAAAAAGAGGCAAGGACUCAGCGACUUCAGGGAGCACUACUUCUGUUUUCGUGACAUCUCCUCGACCUCCAUUUCCACCAUCACAGCAGAAACCUUCGAGGUUUAGCAGAUCUGCUAUGACUGAUUUUGGGAAGAGUUUCGGAGGUUCUGACAAAUGCAGAAAUUGUGAAAAUUAUCAUGUUGGGCUGUGUAGAGGGCUUGCAUUAUGUUUUCAUUGUGGUCAGCCGGGUCAUAUUAGGAGUAAUUGCCCACGGUUAGGACGAGCCACUGUAGCUACAUCAUCUCCACCAGCUCGCACUGAUAUGUAGAGGAGAGAUUCUUCUGGGUUACCAUCGAGACAGGGAGUAGCCAUACGGUUCAGUGUGGAGAGUAAUACCCCGGUGCAUCCACCUUCGAGACCAUAGACUCGUACUUCGACAAGAGUUUUCACUGUGACAGAAGAUGAGGAACGGGUCCGACUUGGAGCAGUGACAGGUAUUAUGUCUUUAUUUGAUAAAGAUGCUUAUGUUUUGAUAGAUUCUGGCUCAGAUAGAUCUUAUGUGAGUACGACAUUUGCAUCAAUUGCUGAUAGAAACCUGUCACCAUUAGAGGGAGAAAUUGUAAUGCAUACCUCUCUAGGAGAACAGUUGAUUAGAAAUACUUGUUAUAGAGGCUGUGGGGUAAGGGUAGGUGAGAAAGAAUUUAGAGGUGACUUAAUUCCUCUAGAGAUCUAGGAUUUUGAUUUAAUAUUGGGUAUGGACUGGUUAACUGCACAUCGGGCGAACGUGAAUUGUUUCCGAAAAGAAGUUGUUCUUCGGAAUUCGGAGGGAGCAGAGAUUGUGUUUGUAGGGGAACGUCGAGUAUUACCAUCUUGUGUAAUCUCGGCCAUCAAAGCUUUGAAAUUAGUGCAAAAAGGGUAUCCGGCUUAUUUGGCAUACGUGAUUGAUACUUCAAAGGGGGAACCUAAGUUAGAGGAUGUCCCGAUAGUAAGUGAGUUUCCUGAUGUAUUUCCUNNNNNNNNNNNNNNNNNNNNNNNNNNNNNNNNNNNNNNNNNNNNNNNNNNNNNNNNNNNNNNNNNNNNNNNNNNNNNNNNNNNNNNNNNNNNNNNNNNNNNNNNNNNNNNNNNNNNNNNNNNNNNNNNNNNNNNNNNNNNNNNNNNNNNNNNNNNNNNNNNNNNNNNNNNNNNNNNNNNNNNNNNNNNNNNNNNNNNNNNNNNNNNNNNNNNNNNNNNNNNNNNNNNNNNNNNNNNNNNNNNNNNNNNNNNNNNNNNNNNNNNNNNNNNNNNNNNNNNNNNNNNNNNNNNNNNNNNNNNNNNNNNNNNNNNNNNNNNNNNNNNCUGAACCGAGUGACCAUCAAGAAUAAAUACCCUUUACCCCGGAUAGAUGAUCUUUUUGAUCAAUUACGAGGUGCUAUGGUAUUCUCUAAGAUUGAUUUGAGAUCUGGGUACUAUCAGUUGAGGAUUAAGGAGCAGGAUGUACCUAAGACUGCCUUCAGGACGCGUUAUGGGCAUUAUGAGUUUCUGGUGAUGCCGUUUGGUUUGACUAAUGCCCCGACAGUUUUUAUGGAUCUUAUGAACAAGGUGUUCCAUCCAUACUUAGAUAAGUUUGUGAUAGUAUUUAUAGAUGACAUCCUGGUUUAUUCAAAGAAUGAUGAUGAACAUGCUGCCCAUUUGCGCAUUGUGUUGCAAACUUUACGCGAGAGGCAACUCUAUGCCAAGUUCUCUAAAUGUGAAUUCUGGUUGAAGAAAGUGGUUUUCUUGAGACAUGUGGUGUCCGGAGCUUGAAUUUAUGUCAAUCCCAAAAAGAUUGAGGCAAUCUUGCAAUGGGAGCAACCGAGAACGGUAACUGAGACUUGUAGUUUCCUUGGCUUAGCCGGUUAUUACCGGAGAUUUGUUUAGGAAUUUUCUUUGAUAGCAGCUCCUUUGACUCGUUUGACUCGUAAAGGAGUUAAGUAUGAGUGGGAUGAUGUUUGUGAGAAUCGAUUUCAGGAGCUAAAGAAUCGGUUAACCUCCGCUCCCGUUUUAACACUUCCUGUUAGUGGAAAAGAAUUUGUGGUAUAUAGUGAUGCAUCUAAGUUGGGAUUAGGGUGUGUAUUGAUGCAGGAUGAGAAAGUAAUAGCUUACACUUCCCGGCAGUUGAAAAAGCAGGAGACGAAUUACCCUACUCAUGACUUAGAGUUAGCAGCAAUAGUUUUCACAUUGAAGAUUUGGAGACAUUUUUAUAUGGUGAGCGUUGCCGAAUUUUUACUGAUCAUAAGAGUUUGAAGUAUUUGCUCACCCAGAAAGAGCUUAACUUGAGACAGAGAUGAUGGUUGGAGUUGAUUAAGGAUUAUGACUUAGUGAUUGAUUAUCAUUCGAGAAAAGCAAAUGUGGUAGUGGAUGCCUUAAGUCGUAAAUCCUCAUCGUCGUUAGCAACACUUCAGAGUUUUUAUUUUUCGAUGUUACUUGAGAUGAAAUCUCUAGGGAUCCAAUUGAAUAAUGGUGAGGAUGGAACCCUACUUGCUAGUUUCGUCGUGAGACCUUCAUUGUUGAAUUAGAUCAGAGAAUUGCAUAAAUCUGAUGAUUGGUUGAAACGGGAAGUUCAAAAGCUACAAGAUGGAGAAACUAGUGAGUUUAGACUCAGCGAUGAUGGUACUUUGAUGCUUAGAGACCGAAUUUCUGUCCCUAAGGAUGAUCAAUUGAGACGAGCUAUUUUGGAGGAAGCUCAUUCUUCCGUUUACGCUUUACAUCCUGGAAGCACCAAGAUGUAUCGGACUAUUAAAGAAAGUUAUUAGUGGCCGGGUAUGAAACGAGACAUAGCAGAGUUUGUAGCGAAAUGUCUCACAUGCCAACAGAUUAAGGCGGAGCAUAAAAAAUCGUCAAGUACUCUUCAACCUUUAUCGAUUCCUGAAUGGAAGUGGGAACACGUGACUAUGGACUUUGUAUUGGGUUUACCGCGGACACAAAGUGGGAAGGAUGCUAUUUGGGUGAUUGUGGAUAGAUUGACUACGUCCGCCCAUUUCUUGGCUAUCCAUAGCACGUAUUCUAUUGAGAGGCUAGCAAGACUUUAUAUAGAUGAGGUUGUGAGAUUGCAUGGAGUUCCAGUUUCUAUUAUGUCAGAUCGAGGCCCUCGGUUUACUUCUCGAUUUUGGUCAAAAUUUCAAGAAGCUCUUGGAACCAAAUUGAGAUUUAGUACUGCCUUUCAUCCAUAGACAGAUGGUCAAUCUGAGAGAACUAUUCAGACCUUGGAGGAUAUGUUACAGGCUUGUGUCAUUGACUUUAUUGGGAGUUGGGACAGACACUUACCAUUGGUGGAGUUCGCGUAUAAUAAUAGUUUUUAGUCUAGUAUUGGGAUGGCACCAUACGAGGCUUUAUAUGGAAGGAAGUGCCGAACUCCGCUCUGGUGGGAUGAAGUAGGUGAGAGGAAAUUGGUGAAUGUGGAAUUGAUUGAUUUGACAAAUGAUAAGGUCAAGGUUAUCUGAGAGCAGUUAAAGACAGCUCAAGAUAGGCAGAAGAAUUAUUCGGAUAAACGAAGGAAAGAUUUGGAGUUUGAAGUCGACGAUAAAGUUUUUCUUAAGGUUUCUCUUUAGAAAGAUAAUAAUUUGAAAAUUCCAAGUAUUAAAUCUUAUUUGAUUAAACUAUUGUGAUAAUUUGUGGUAUUUAUUGGAUGAUGAAAGGUGUGAUUCAAUUCGCGAAGAGGUGAAAGCUCAAUCCAAGAUACAUUGGACCCUUUCGUAUCAUUGAAAGGAUUGGGCCAGUGGCUUACAAACUUGAAUUACCCCCAGAGUUAGAUCGGAUUCAUAAUGUCUUCCACGUCUCGAUGUUGAAAAAGUAUGUUCCCAAUCCCUCUCACUUUAGAGACACCUCCCAUUGAGUUGCAUGAAGAUUUGAAGUUCGAGGUGCAGCCUGUACGUAUUCUAGAUCGAAAGGAUCGAGUGCUAAGGAACAAGAGCAUUCCAAUGGUGAAAGUAUUGUGGAAGAAUGCUAGAAUUGAGGAGAUGACGUGGGAAGCCGAGGGCCAGAUGAGAAACCAAUAUCCACAUCUUUUCUUCGAAUCCAGUAAGUGAAAUUUUGAGGUCAAAAUUUUAUUUUAAGGGGGGUAGUGCUAUAAAGCCCGACCUUAUAAAAUACUAUUCAUGACGUACAUGUGAUGAUAGCAUGAUUGUAUGCCUGGAGAGUCCCGAAAAAUUUACAAAAGUUGAUAUUGUACUUAGAGGUACAACAAAGUUGAUUUAAUCCUCGAACUAGAUCAAAUAGGAAUUUUAAGAUGAGAUUAAGAUCGUCACAGUCCAAGGAUGACUCAAAAUGGUAAUUCGGAGUUUGAGGAUCAAUUGGAGUCAAAUCGAAAUUUUCACUAUCUAGGGGUAAAAUGGUCAUUUGCCAUCUGGGGACAAAAUGAGAAUUUUAGAAACGAUUUUUUUGACCCCAUUUGACUUAUUGGAGUAUGAUUUGAGGUUUAGAAGUGAAAAAUUUUAAUUUCGGUAUAAUUUGGAGUAAAAAGGGUAAAAUGGUAAUUUUGCCACCCUAGGGGCAAAAUUGUAAUUUUCCACCAUCAGGACAUUUUUUCCAGCACAUGGUCUUCCUUUAUCUUCAUCUUUGACCCUUGACUAAUCAUGUGGUGGAGAAAAAAUGUUUAAAUUUUUAAAAUUUUAAAAAUAGACCAAUAAGAAAAUGCCAUGUGUCAAGCUUAGGAUAUUUUAUUAUUUAACUAAAAAAUCAGCAUAAAUCAGCCCAUUACUCUCCAAAUAUUCGGCCAAGCAAGGAAGAGAGAGAAAGAGAGGAAGAACAAACCCUAGGUGAGGAAUUUCAAGAGAAAAAGUGUGGAAAAUCAAGGAAAACAAGUGAAAAAGGUAGGAUUUUUCAACUUAAGCUUGAAAUCUAUUUUCCUUAAGCAUUUCUCCUUAUUUUCCAUGCUUAAAUUACAUGUUUUUAUGAUGAAUUGUUGGCUGAUCAAAAUGGGUUAGGAGAGAGAAAGUUGUUAGAUUAAUUUGAUUUUAAGUUAUGUUAGUGUUUUUAGUUAGUUUAGCAUAUUUAGAAACAAAACAACAAGAAAAGAAUUUAUUUUCUCCCACAACCAUUAAUGGCCGAAUUUACCAUGUAUGAGUGAGGAUGAGUUUGAUUUUUAUUCUAGGAGAAUUGGUUAAGAAAUGAUGAAUUAUGAGCCUAGAAAAAUAAUGAGAAUUUUCGGAGCAAAAAUACGAAUUUUUACCCACUAGGGGUAUUUUCGUAAUUUGCUGUUGGGACUGAUAAUUUGCACCACACUGAGGGACAUUAAGUUAAUUUGGGUGCAAUUGAGGUAUAGAAACUGAAAAGAAUUAAAUUGGAGUUUAAACGGACCCGUUAGGAAUUUAAUCGGGUGAUAAGACGAAUUAGGCCAAUACCGGGUUUAGAUAGUUACCAGUGCAUUUUUGCAUUCCAUAUCAUGCAUUGGUAGUCUAAAUUAGUUUAAUUUUGAUUUAGUACCAACUUGGUGAAACUCUCGAUUUUGUACUGUGUCAAGGUGGUGAGUCCUCCGAUAAAGGCAAGGAAAUUGCAUCCGAGGACCAGUAGACAGAGUGCUUCGAAAGUCUGCAUUCUAGACAUUGUGAGUAAACUUACUGUCAUUUUAAUUAUCUAGGGUGGUUUUUAGAUGCUUUCAUGAAUUCUAUGGAAAAAGGAAUUUAAAAAGAUAAAUUUUCAUGUUUUAUGAAUAAAUGAGUUUCAAUGAAAUUAAAUUAUAAAUUGUUUUGAAAUUAAUAGUGAUUUUGAAAAAUAGAGUACACGGAGACUGUUAAUUGUGGCAAUUUGAUUGUUUAAAUUGAUUGGCUUAUGAUAAAUCGGGCAUGAUUGGCUAGUUGACAAUUUUAUUGAAAUGCGAAUUGUUUGAUUGCCUUGAAAGAUUGUGAAUUACAAAAUUGCCAUAUCAUGUUAUUGAGUUUGAUUGUAUGGUGGAUUAUAUAUAUUAAUUAAUCACUACAGUAGGGGGUUUCUGUGGACCAGCCUUUUAGAGGGGCACAGUAAACCCCAUUAUAUUCUUACCUCGAACAGAGAGGCGCGUAGGGUAUCUCCUGAGGUAAAGCUUAGGGUUCACUUCACGCCAAACCACCACGUGAGGGGGAAUUCAGCCAACGCCAAUGAACGGCUAUGUUUUCAAAACAAAAACAUGAUUUAUGUGAAAUGUGAAUUUUAAUAGCCUUGGCAGUCUCGGUAGGAUGCCUCGGCCAAGGUGUCCCUGAGAAUGGAUUUAUGGCACAAGCCUAGUUUUUAUGAAAUUCAUAAACCUCUUUACAUAUUUUAAAUGAAAUGUAUUCUUAUGCUGUGACCCAGUUUACGAUGAUUUAUUUUAUUGUCUCCAUGUACCCAACUCUAGAUAUUUAUGAUGAUGUUUGUUUACUCAUUGGGAUUUUAUAAUCUCACCACCCUCAUUUCCACCCAUUUCAGGUUCAAUAUAGGCUGUAGAUAGCUUAUCUCAUCCAGGACUACCGUUGGAUCUGCAUUUUCCAAACCGUAAGUUCACAAUCCUUUUUACUUUUGUUUAUUCGGGAGCCCUCUUGUUAUUGUAAAUUAAAUUAAAUAUUUUGGCUUACUGUAUUUAAGUAUGUAUAAAUUUAUUUAGAUUUUACGCUAUAAAAAUUAUUCACGUAUAACUCUAUAAAUAUUAUUUUAUAAGAAAAUAGAAUAUUUUACUUAAUAUUUCUUUUAUUUUCUUAUUAUAUUCAAAUAACUGUAAUUUCGUUUUAAAUGAAGAUUUUAGACUUUUAAACUCAUUUUGAAUAUGAAUUAUGUGUUUUGUACUUGUAUAUUACGUUUUAGGCAGUUUCAAAAUUUUUGAGAAAAAUGACCAAAAUUCUCCUGUGAGACGAAAAAUUAAUAUUUUAUUUGUUUAAUGUUGAAAACAGCUUAAAAUCUUUUAGAACACGAUAUUUGACAAUGGUUGCUCAUAAGGGAACAGAGAAACUGAUAGUAAAGUCUUGCGGGGUUUCGGGUUGACAUUCCGGAUAAUGAGUGUCUAUCGGGACACCGCUGCGGUUGUCACAAGCUCGAGGGGAGUACGGGUCGUGACAUAUUACAUUCUUAAAAGUUUUUUCUCCUUCCAACUAGGGAAACAAUUUGAAAAUUUUCUUUGAAAAACUUUUCAAUUUUCAGUUUGGUAAUAGGAAAAUAACAUGUUGUGAAAAUUUUUUUCUAUAUAAAAUAUUUUAUAGAAAACUUUAAUAUUUUUUAUUAUUUAGAUAAAUUAUCGAAAACAUUUUAAAUUAUUUGUUUUGUCAUGUGAAAAAUAUUUUCCACUAUUACUGGUGUAGUUAUCUAGGGUUAGAUAUAAAUAGAAGUUGAUUACAAAACAAUAGUAUCACUUGGUUUUCACUAAUUUAAGAUCAAAAUUAACAAUGAAAAUGAAAAUAGGCAAAAUCAAUAAUGAUAUUUUCCAAUGCAUUUAACCACAUAUUUGUAAUGAAAGUAAGCUCUAAUUUUCAAAAAAAAAAUUUCUUCCCAUCACUUUUUUACCAUAAUAUUAUAAAGAUAUUAAUAUUUAUCAAUUUUGUAAGUCAUCCAAAACCUAUAUUUAUAAGUGUAUAUUUAUCAAAAAACGAUUAUUGAAAUUUUUUUAUUAUAAUUAUUAGUAAGAUUUAUUCAAUUUAUAAAUAAAAAUUUUAAUUGCAUUGAAUGAUUUCAUUAAAUUUUUUUAAUUCUAAUAGUAUUGAAUAAUUUAAAUUUAAUAUUUUAAGUUAAACUUUUUGAGUUAAAUAUUAAUAUUUUUUAAUUUCUUAAAUAUUUUAAGUUAAAUAAUAAUAUUUAUCAAACUUAUACUGUUAAAUUUAGUAUAAGAGGUUUUUUUUUAUUCUUUGAAAAAUGUCUUACGCCCCCAAAAAAAUGUAAGACAUUUACGUGAUUAAUGAGUAUUUUUCAUGUUGACUUGUAAAAAGUUUUACGUCUAUAAUAAAUUUUCCGUCUUACAAACAAAUAUAAGUUUUAAAAAUAUUUUUUAAAAAAUAUUUUACAUCAAAACAAAUGAAACUUUACGAAACGGAUUUAUCUUAAAAUUGAAAGUUAUCAAAACAGAUUGGAGUAAAAUGCACUGAUAGUUCUUUACUCGCAUAACAUACAAUACCGAUUGAAAAGAACAUGAACAACUCAAUUAUAUAUAAACUACUUAGGUAGAUUUAUCCUUAGAAAAAGAAAAAUGAUACUAAUAAAAAAUUUAGCUAGCUUGUCAAGGUAAUAAAUUGAAACUCUCGGGAAUUUCUACAAGUCAAACUACUUCUCUUGAAAAUAAAGAAAUAAAAUUUACUUUUAAACUAAAGAGUUAAUCCUAAUUUCUUAUCAUUUUUAAGCUAAUUAUUUUUUUCUUUUUGUUAAAAAAUUAGCUCAAUAAUAAUGCAGAAAUAUCCUCUAGUGAAUUAGAUUUAUAAAAAAAUUUUCAACAAAUUCAACUUUUAAUAAAGGCGAGUUUGAAGAUAAGUUUCUUAAAUUUGUUUGCACUUUAAAACAUACCAAAAGUAAUUUCAUAAAUAAAUCAUUGAAUAAGCAAGUUAAAAAUAAAUUUUCCAAACUCUUCAAAGUUAAAUGUGCAAGUGUAUAUAAUGAAGAGAAAAGACAAAAUUACACAAACGAUUUAUAGAGGUUUGGUAUUCUCUCUUAUGUACUUACGUCAUCUCCCUUAGCAAAUUAAGGAGUUUAACCACUAUUGAAUGAAUUCAAUACAAAUGAAUUCAAUAUAAUACAUUUUCAAAAUUUCAAUCAUGACCUUGCAUUUUCAAGGAUAUGAUACAACUUUCUUAACUUUUCAAAACUAAGUUAAAACCUUUAUGUCUUUUUAAGAAUCAAGCACAACCUUGCAUUUUCAAGGAUAUGGCACAACCUCUAAACACUAUCUUUUAAAGGCUAAGGUAUAACCUUUUUUUCUCAUUUACAAGAUGAAAGGAAAGAUACCUCUAGGAGGUGGGUUUUGCUAAAUGAGUAUAAUGUUGGAAGGGUAUGAUUGAUACAAAGAAUAGGAAUGAAAGCACUAAGAUUUGAUUUGCUCAAAGAUAGCUUAAAAGCUAAGUAAAAAAAUGUGGUUUGCUUGUUCUAGAUUGGUUUCUUUUUCUUUUUUGAUUUCCUUUUCUUCAUAAGAUUUGAUUCUAAAUCAAAUGGUGUUUUUCUCACUUCGUCUAACUUUCAAAAUGGGUUGGAGAAGCUUUGGAGCUGUUAAAGAUGAUUAGGUGAAGAAACUAGUCAUUUUUCCUUUGAAUUUCAUGUAUAACGGCUAGUUCUAGACCCCAAGGAUUGAUCCUUGCAAGACAGCAAAGAUCAUGGUCAUUCUUUGAAGGGGAGAUCGAUCCCUGAACUUAAAUCAUGAAAAAUGCUUCCUUUUGAACCAAUUUGAUGCCAAAUAUUUAGACAUUUCAAAAGCAAAUGCAUGGGAGUUUUUAACAUGAAUAAUUUAAGUUCAAAACUCAUUCAAACAACUUCAAAAAUCAUUCAAGCAAUUUUGAUCAUUUUGUCAUUUCGAAACUAUAAUCAUUUUAAAGCUAAUAAAGCUAACAUAUUUCUUCCAACAUUUUUUCUAGAAAGUAAAAACCAAAAAAAAAUAUAUAUAUAUAUAUAUAUCAAACAAAGGUAACUUAAAUUAUUGGUACUCUAUAAAAAAAAUGUGGAUUUAGUCUUUGUACAACAACUUGUGUAAAUUGAGUCCUUGUAUAUUUCUAAUAUGUUAAUUUUUGUCCCUAACUCUAUACCAUUAAAUUUCUACCAUUAAGUAUGUUGACAUAACAUUUCAACAAAGUUGACAUGACAUUUCUUGUUGACGUGGCAUUAACUAUGUGUUGAUAUGGAAAAAAAUGUUAACAUGGCACUUGUUUACGUGGCAAAAAUGUUAACAUGGAAAUUGCUAACAAAGAUAACCCAAAACAAAAAAAAAUUCUUUUGGUUUUCUUUAUUCUUUUCUAAUAUCCUAAUCGCAAUCCAUUUUUCAAGUCCCUAAAUUAUGCAUUUUUUCUUAUUUUGGGUUGAAAAAAAUUGUAAUUCUCUUCAAUUAUGUUUUUUGAAAAGAAAAAUCUAUUUUAGUAUAUAUUCGAGAUUUCCUACAUCCAAUGGGAAUUCUUUCAACAAACAAUUAAGGCUAAAUACCAAAAAAAGCCCUUGAACUAUACCAUAAAAGUCAAUUAAGCCGCUAUCUUUUUACUGUGUUCAAUUAAGCCUUUGAACUUUUUAUUUUGGGUUAAAUAAACCCCUUUCACUAACUGUUGACUAACUUUUGUUAGUCAACUAUACAGUUGGCACUUUUUAUACCACAUCAUCUAUGUCACGACCCCAACUUUGGGCUUAUGAUCGACACAAGGAUCUAAUGAGAAGGUCCCACUUAGCUCAAACAAGCCUUAAAACAAAUAAACCGAAUCCACUAUUCAUUACCUCAUGGUAUGCAUCACCAUGGAAUGAAUAUAUAUAUAUAUAUAUACUAUCAACAAAAGUAGGAUCCGGUGCUACUAUUUCAAUUGCCUUCAAUUGUAUGCUCAAUUGAAUGAUAAGUGUCACUCAAUUGAAUGGUCUGUUUUUUUUUUUUUGGGUUUUGUUGCAUCGAAACGAUGUCGUUUUAAGCUUGCAUAUAUAUGAAGCAAAAAAUUUCCCAAAUAUUAAAGUAUAAAUAUAACAUUCUUUACAAAUAUAAGCAAAAUUCAGAGUAUAUCAAACGGACAAGUCCAACAAAGUUCAACUUAAAGAAAAGGUUCGGCGCCUACCAUAUGCCUUAUCAAUCACUUACUAAAACCAACAAUAAUAGUUACACCUAAAGGAUGGUGAGUCAAAUAGUCUAUUGAUCUAUAAACAAAAUAAGGGAAACUAAUGUGUGAGUCACAAAGACUCCAUAAGCAGAUGCAGGGAGAGGGAACAAGCGUAAACGGAAUAGUGUUUAUCAAAAUAUACUUUCAAAUUCAAUGUGAACAAGCAAGGUUCCAAAUAUAUCCACGUUUCAUUUCUCAAGCAUUAUUAAAUCAUUUCAAGGUAUUUCUAAUAAGUCUAUUAUAUAGAGUUAUCUUACACAUUUUUGGAACCUAAAUAGAGCUAAGUCCUUUAGUUUUUAAGUAAUUUAUAGGUAUUUUAUAUGCUUUCUUAGUAAUAGCUUAAUCUAUGUUAUAGCAUUUUCAUUUAAGCAAUUUUAGUUAAUUUCUGGUCAAAAAGUCGUAAUUUAAUCCCCUACUUAUUUAGUCUUUUAUUGUUGAAGGCGUGCAAGAACAUGGUGCUUAAAUGGCAAUGAAUGAUGCAAGUUGGUUUUAAGAGGGCUUGAACAUGUUGCGCUAUUUUGAGUUUAAUUUGAGCUAUAAAAGUCCGAUUGCCAUGAAUUUUGAACCAUUAGAAAGCUAAGUAAAAGGCCUACAACUUUCAUGUUUAUCACUUCAUCUAAUUCUAAUUAGAUCAUGGUCAAAAUCAUGAAGGAAGUAACUAAAUUGCAUUAGGGAUAGCACAGAGGCUGGAAUGCACAAGGCACCAACACAGCAGCUUCAAUGCCACAGCGCCAUGCUUCCAGCGUCACGACACUGCCCCUAUUAGCCAAAUAGCAUCAACACAACAAGCUUAGUGCCGACUCAUAACAAGUUUUAUUCUGCACCCUCCGAUAUUUUAAAUCAAAAGGAUAAGUUAGAGUGGUUUAUAAAAGGGCUUUUUUAGGCUGAAAAUGGAGGAGGUCAGAGCAGCUUUAAAAAAAAAUCAUUGCAAAAAAAGAAAGGAGGAGAAAGAAAAGAAGAUCAAGGCUAAAAAAUCUGUAAAAAUUUGUUUCUAUCUGGAUUUGUUCUUUUCUCACUUUGUUUUUUGCUGUCUUUAUGGUUUCUUUCUUGUGGAUGAUGUUUGCUAAGAAUAUGAUGAACUAAAUAGCUUUUUCUAGGAUUGUGGUUGAUCUCUUCAUGUAGUUUGGAUAUUUAACUCUCUUUUACUUAUUAUUAAUAGGUAUUGUGUUGUUUAUUUCAAAUCUAUGCUUAUUGAUUCGAAUAGCUCGAUCAACAAUUAGAUUGAUUUAGAUUUCUAAAUGCAACUUAACAAAGGGAGUUUAGAAUAUACCAAGGGUUUGAAUAUACCUAAAUAUCAUAUGCAGCCAAAUUUAGAGCCUAAGCUUAGUGAACCUCUCUUAAUUAAUUUACAUAAACAUAUGGAGAAUUAAUUAUGAGAGGUAUGUUUACAAGGAUCUCUACGGAAACUUAUAGAUAAAUAUGGACUCUAGGAUAGCAACCAACCCAUUGAUUUAAGUAUAAAGAGAGAGAUUAAAUUCAAAUGAAAGGUUGAGCAAUUCCAUAACUUAGAUUUUAAUUCAUUGAUUUUCUAGUAAUUUUUAGCAUUAACUCCCUAGUUUAGCUUUGUUACUUUAGUUUCAUUUGUAAUUAAGUUUCAAAUUAGAGUUACUUAGAUAAGAUUAGGAUGCCCAAUUUUAAUAUUUAGCAAGAAUUUAGACACAAUUCUCUAUGGAGACGAUACUUUUCUUACUACUAUAUUACUUGUGCGAUACGUGCGCUUACGUGUAUGUAAAGUCAACAACAAUUUCAAAUGUAAACGAAUCUUUUACAAAAGAUGGUAGUCAUUAACCAAGCUAUUUGUAUCUCAAAGUCCUUUUAAAAUAGUGAAAACUUCACAAAUAACCCUAAGUAUCGAUAUUCCCCACAAGCGUAUCAAUACUUUUCAAAUAGAAUUUCAUUAAAGGAUUUCUAGGUUCAAGGUAUCGAUACUUUUGUCAUAAGUAUUAAUACUUUCCAAACAGAAUGAAAUUCUAGAAACUUUUAAUGAACAAGUAUCAAUACCUCCUCUUGGAGUAUUGAUACUUUUGUUACCAAGCCUAAUUUUCAGCCAAAAACAAUAUUCCAAGUCCUCAAACAAGUCAAUAAUCGUUCUAGUUCAAAUUCUCAAAGUUCAAAUACCAAAAUCAAAGUACAUUUUCGAUUGAAAUAGGUUUUCUUCAACCACAGCUAAAUUUGAAUAAUGAUCAAAGAUUCAAGCUCAAAACUCUCAUUGUUAGUGUAAUAUUUCAAAUAAAUAAGUCUAAAAGGGGGCAAAUUGGGAUUUUUGAAAAAUUCUUUGCAAAUUAAGUGAGAAAAUGAUUCUCUUUGAAGCAAGUAGUAGCAAUGGAAAUCAAAGCAGAGUAAAAAUAAAGACAUAAGAUUUUUAUAUAGGUUUCGCUUUCUUGCCUACGUCUUCUCCUUUAGCUCACUAAGGAAUUUCAAAGCUACUAUGGAAAAUACUUUUUCAAGGCUCAAGCAUAACCUUUACAAUACCUUUUCAUAGAAUCAAGCACAACCUUUACAAUGCCUUUUCACAAGGAUCAAGCACAACCUUUCUACCUUUUACUUAGGCUAAGGUAUAACCUCUACAAUCAACCUUUAAUGGCUAAGGUAUAACCAAUACGAGUUUUAUAAUAAAUGAGUAGCAAUAAAUUCUUGGCUGCUAAGCCAAGUGUUUAAGCUUGAAAAGAGUAGGAAUAAGGAAUAUCAGAAAAUCAACAUAAUAAAUUCUUUGAAGGAAGACUUAAAUGAAGUAUGUGAAGAGAGUAAAUGAUCUCGAAGCUUUUCUUAAGUGUGGAAUGGUUUUUUAAAGUCUUCCUAUUCUUCAAAUCAACUGGGAACCUUCCUUUUAUAGUCUCAUUAAUUAAAGCCGUUAGAGUCUAAAUAGGGUAGUAAAUUGGAAGCGUUAAAUGCUAGUCCGCUGCAACUUUAGGAUCAAGCUUAGUGUUGAAGGUGUUGAUCAUGGUUUGAAUUUUUUCCUUGAAUUAUACUUGUUGGAUCUAGCUUUUAAAUGUUGAUGUUGAUCCUGGCUCGAUGUGUCUAAAUUUUUUUAUCUUCCUUCUUCAAGAAUUAAGCUUUGUUGUGUAAAUGUCAAUCCUUAGGGCUUUAGGUGGUUUUCUUCCAUUCUGUUUCAAAAUUGAGCUGCAAAACAUGAAUGUUGAUCUUCUAAGCUUGAAGUGCCUUUCUUGCAUUCUGUCUUAGGAUUGAGCUUCAUAGCAUGGAUGUCGAUCCGCAUUCAGAAGCCAUGUCAUUCUUGUGAGUGCCUAGGAUCAAGCUUUUUACUUGAAAUGUCGAUGCUUGUACAGAAGCCAUAUUUGCUCUUUGUUUCCUCUAGGAUUGACCAUUCAUCAUGUGGAUGUUGAUCCUCACAACUGAAAGCUCAAUGUUUUGAAAACCUUUUGAUUUCUUUUAAGUGUCAAAGGCUUGUCAAUCAUUUUUUUAAAUCUCAAGGAGUUAAUGAGGUAAAUCAAAUCAUUUCAAAUGCUUGUGUGCAAACCUUAAUCAAUAUAAUUUUAAAGCAUAUCACAUUCUUCCAAUACAAUAUCCAAAUAACUAAGCAAGUAGUUUGUGUAGCUCACUAUUAAGAUGAACAAUUGAAACAAAAUGGUAGGAUUGAAUCAACUACCGAGUAAAUACAAAGUUAUGCCAUAGCACCAAAUAAAACUAGUAUAAUCUCUCCAUCAUCUAUAUAACAAAAAGAUAAGACCAUGUCAACUACCUAGAAAAUACAAAGGUUGUCAUCACACUUUGAUGGUUCGGUACACAAAGUCACCGACAUCAAAUAUACUAAGCAUUUUGCACAAUGGAUAUCGUUUACUUUCGCUAGCUACAAGUUCCUAACUUAAUAGGCACCACUAAAUAAUUCUCCAAUUUCCAAGGUUAUGCAAAGUUUAUUUUGAAAGCGAAAAGGUGAAGUUGUUCACUAAUGAAAUCAAAGUGACUUAAUGCUAGAGUUUUCCUCACCAUUCUCAGAUUCCAAGUUAAUACUAAUUUCCAUCUCGAAAUUAAAGGAGUGAAUUUUUCACUAACAAUAUCAAAAUGACUCAAUGCUAAAGUCUUCCAAAAUCAUCUUCAUUUCAAAUUUUCAAAGUAAUUUAUUCAAUCAACCCAUAGACAAAUAUUUAGGAUUUUGAGGUAUCAAAACAUUCAAAGUUCUUGUUCCCCAUGCAAAAAACUAAAUACAUAAUAGGCAUAGUGUCACAACCGGAACCUCCAUCGGGCCCAUGACAACCGUCGCGACGUCUCGAUUGACACACAUUACCCGGAAUGCCAACCGGAACCCCACAAGGCUUACAUAUCAGUUUCUUUCCUUUCUUGUGAGCAAUUGUUUUUAAACAUUCCAUUUAAAACAAUUACCGGUCGUUUCUGACUCAAAUAAAUCCAAAGAUAAAUUUUUUUUUAAAAGGAUUUAUAGACAAAUAUCACUAUUCAAAAUAUUGAUUAAAAUAUAGCAUUUUUAUAUAAAACAAUAUUUAUAGAAACACGUGUAAGAAAUCUUUUGUAACGUGUAAGUAAAAUAAAUUCAUACAUACAAAAAUUUACAAAGUUAUAAUGUACAAUAAUGGUUACAACGACAAGUGGCCCAAAAUACACCCAGUGUUGGUGCUAGAAACCUACUGUCUGUGUGGUAGAGAUGUCAACUGGAAUCCUCAACAAAAUAGGGUAUCCACAAGCUACCACAAGCCUGAAAUGUUUGGAAAGGAGGUGGGUGAGAUUUUGCAAUCCCAAUGAGUAAACAGACAUUAUCAUAAAUAUCUAAAAGCGAUUAAUAUGGAGGCAAGUUUAAACAACAAUUUAUAAACCAUUUCAUAAGGUUUUUAAUUUAUUCCAUAAACCAUAAAAUAUUUAUAAUUUACCAAAAUAGUUGUUAAGGCUUAUGUAUUUUAUUAAAAACAAGGCUCAAGCCAAAACUAAUCCUCGGGGAUACCUUGGCCGAGGCAUCUAACCAAGUCCACCAAGGUUGUUAUAACAUUUACAUGUGAAACACAUUUUUAUUUUUAAAACAAGUCGUUCCUUGGCGUUGGCCGAGUUACACAUUCACGUGGGGGUUCGACGUGAAGUUAGCUCUAAUACUACCCCGGGAGUUACCCUCAUCGUCGCUACAAUCGGAGUAACUAUAUAAUCGGGUUUACCAUGCCCCUCUAAUAGGCAGUCCACGGAAACCCGUCAUUGCUGUGACCAACCCACCAAUUUUAAUAAAAUUUCGACAGUAUAACGUGACUUUUAUUUAUUUAUCUAGCCUGCAUAGUAAAAACAGCUUACAUAAAUUUUCCAAUACACUUACAAAAUAUAAUCACAUAUACUCAUAUCUCAUAAGCCAUUCAUAGGAAAAUAUAUAAUUUUCAAGACAGUUAACAGCCUCAAAUUACUCAAUUUCAUAAUCAACCCAAUAUAUCUUUAUUUGUCACAUUUAUUUGUAAAACAUCAAAAAUCCCGUUUUAAUCUCGUUUUCAUUUCAUAAAAUACAUAAAGAGCAUUUAAAAAUAAACUCUAGAUAAUUUACAAUAAUAAUAAGUUUACUCACCGUUUGUACAAAUUAAAAGCUUUCUAGGUGCCCCGAUAACUACUCGUCGGGUACGAUUUCUUUGCCUUUACCGGAAGGCUUUCUUCUUAGACACAUUGCAAAAAUUUACUCAAUUCAUCAGAUUAAUGCUAAAUCACUAUAUAAUUGACUUAAAUCCUAUACUAAUGCAUGGUAUGAAAUGCAAUAGCCUAAAACGGCUUAAACGCGGUAUUAACCUAUUUUUGGCACUUUACCCGAUAAAUUGCUAACGUGCUCCAUUUUAGCUCUAAAUCGUCCCAUUCUCUCUCCAACAUUUCUAACUAUUAAAUAUCAGCCAAUAACCUCUAAAAUCACCAAAAUCAGUUCACUUUCCUCCUUGGAAAAUUUGACCAAAAAAGGGAACAUUAACUCGGUAAAUUUUUCACUUUGUUUUUUAAUCACAUUUAACCAUUUUUCAUCAUUUUCUCUUCAUUUCUCUUAGAAUAAAAAUCAGAUUAUCAUCAUUGUACCUCAUUGCAGAUUCGGCCAAGGGUGGGUAUUGUGAAAAUUUAAUGCUUUCUUGCCCAAUUUAAUUUCUAAACACAUUUAACUAACUAAAACUAUCAAUUUAACUAAAAAUCAAAACCUAAAAAUUUCAAUUUCUCCCCCCUAGAAUUUCGUCCAGCCCUUGAUAUCACUUUUUGAUCUCUCUCCUCAAGCAUGCUAAAUGGAAAUAAAGGCAUAGGAAAGGUAGAAAUCAAGCUAAAAUCGAAAAAUCUUACCGUUAGACGCGUAAACGGGUAAAAAACGCGAAUUCUCCUUUGAAUUUUUCUAGUUUCCCUUUGUUUUCUUUCUUUUCUUCCUUUCCUCUCUAUUUCCUCUCUUGUUCUUCCUUAAGGCCGGCCAGCACUUAAAAUGGGGUUUAAAUGGGCUGACUUUUCAUUAAAAUAAUCUUAUAUCAUUAAUAAAAUGCCACAUGUCACUUUCCCAUUGGCCCAUUUUUAAAAUUUCAUCCAUUUGUUUCCAAAUUUUCACCAUACACUUGUCCCACAUAUCCAUAGCUUAGAUAAAAUUCUCAGACUUAUCCAAAGUCUCGGUGGAGUAAUUUUUGAAAUUUACACUUUUGCCCCCGUAAAAGUAAAAAAUUACAUUUUUGCCCAAAAAACUGAAAAAUUGCCGAUAGACAUAUUUUUCAUCCCUUAUACUCAUACAAUUCUCCAAUUUGUCAAAUUUGAUCUAAAUUCUCUCAAAAUCUCAAAUUUUGUCCGCGAAUGGUAAAAUUACGAUUUUGCCCCUACACUCCAGAAAUCACCAGAAUUAAACUUUUUCACUUCCUAUCAUUAAAUUAUACUCCAAAUAGUUAAUCUUGGUAAAAAAUUUCACUCCAUUAUCAAAUUAUUAUCUUAGGUGGUAAAAUGACGAUUUUACCCCUGAACAUCAAAAUUUUCAAUUUUACCCCUAAUGAACCCUUGAACUCCGAACAAUCAUUUUUAGUCAUUCCUUGACUAUAAAAUAUUAAAUUUCAUCCUACGAUUCCUAUUUGAACUAGUUCAAGGUUAAAUCAACUCAAGUGUACCGUUAGGUACGAUACCGGGUUUCGUCUUUUCUUAAGUGCUUUCCUAGCAUAAUAACAUGCUACUCAGUGCAUGUAUGUCAUGACAUGUGUUUAUAGGGUCGGGUUUUACACAUAGUUACAUAAUAUAUAUAACUUGCAUCAAACCAUUCUAAAUCAGCUUUUCACAUCACAAUCCUUGAAGUAAAUCAUUCUUCAUGGAAAACAUAUUAAAAUGCGAGGUUGUGGGCAAGGCAUGCCUAAUUAAAGACACCGUAUCCACCCACCUUGUUGAAGCAUGCUUUUCCCUUUAGCACAGUUCAUUAAAAGCUCGAACUCUCCAAAAUACUAACUUCUUCAAUCAACACUUAUCACAAAGUUUCCAUCACAAAUAUCUUAUUCUCUAACUAUGCUUUUAACAAAUAACCUGUUAGCCUUGAGUUACAUCAUGUUUUGAUUUGACAAAAAUUACAUGUUAUCUUGAACUUAAUGUCAAGCAUUUGAAAUUGUCUCAAAUAUAUUUCUAAUCCCCUAAGGUCACAUAAUUGUUUGAAAAGCCAUGCAUCAUUAGAAAAUAUCAUAAAAGCUUUCAAACAAUGCAUAUUCAACUAAGAAAACAAAGAGCAAACAUGCCUUGAAUUAUUAUUUGAUCGUAGGAACGAGGCAAGGAAGAAAUAGUUGAUGAGAGGCACCAAAAAGCUAAGGAAACCUCAAAACCCUAGUCAAGUGCGGACCCUAAAGAAGCUCAAGUCAAUCCAAAGGUAGAAAGAGUGAAAAACUUGAAGUAUACAAAGCCACAGUUGACCCUAAAGUGGCUAUAGUCGACUUUAAAGUAAAAAGCUCAAAAAUUAGAGAACUACACGACCAUAGUCGACCUUAGCCUUUAUGUAGUCAACCUUGGCUACUCUGAUGCAUGAAAAAGAGAGAAAUCAGGAGACAUAGUUGACCCUAGUAAAGCCAUAGUCGAUCAUAUUAGCCUAGACUUGCACAAAUCAUGGUCUUAGGAAUUGGAUCGAGUAGAGGAAGUUUAUACUUGACUAUAGAACCCUAAUUUGAGAAACUAGAACAACAUAGUCGACCUUAGGAUGUUGUAGUCAACCUUCAAGCUUCAGCAAUGGUUAGAUUUGAUUCAAACUUGUGUCUAACGGCUCCAUACUUCACAUUAACUAUAAAUAAAUGCCUUUGACUCACUGAAAGCAAGAGAAGACCUAAGAUAAAGUUUCAAACCCUAGAAAAACCUCCAAAAGCUUAUCCUCACUCUCUAACUUCAUUUUGGCCUCCCACCAAGCUUAAAAAAGUUCUACACUUGCUUUAUUUGAGUUAAUAUUUCUUCUCUCAUUACACUUAAGCUUAAACUUCUGGCACUGAACCUUUGUAGAGGCAUUUUCUUGCAAAACAUUGUACUCCUCUUGAAAAAGUUAUAGCUUAACCUUGAAAAGCUAUUUAUGGGUUUGUGGUUCAGCCUAUGAAAAACUAUUGUUGAAAGGUUUCACUUGAUCUCAUGAAAAAGCUAUUGUAAGGCUUUCUCUUGAUCUCGUAAAAAGCUAUUAUAAGGAUUUUGCUUGAUCUCGUAAAAAAAACUCUUGUGAAGGUUUCACUUGAUCUCAUAAAAAGUUUGUUUCCCUUAAUGGAUUAGAAAUCCACCCCCUUAAAACACUAAAGAAUUUCAAAUCCACUAAGGAAAAUGAGCUUUUUACAAGAUCAAGUGAAACCCUUGUUGGUCCCGUUAAUAUGUGCUAGAGGGGGGGUGAAUAGCACAAUUUGGCUCUUGACAAGAUGUGGAACUAAUUUUCAGAACUUAAGAAAGUAAAAACAUAGUAUAAGGUGCACAACAAUUUAGAGUGUUUUGGUCCAAGACCUACAUCCACUACCUUGAUUAUCCAACCAAGGAUUUUCUCAACGAUUCACUAAGAAUCAAGUGAAAUUCACAAGCUUUCACCAAGCUUUUACAAUGGCUUUUCACAAGCUCAGCCAAAACCUUUACACUAGUUUUUCACGGGCUCAACUAAAACCCAAAAUGGUUUUCCAAGGCUCAACCAUAACCUAUAACAUUCAAGCUUUCCCAAGCUUGAACAACCCCUUAGAGUGACUCCCUAAGUCUAAGUAUACAAGAAGAUAAGUUACAGAAAGUACCUAUGAUCACAAGUUGAUCUGAUUGGUACAAGAUUGAGUGCUAAAUACAAUGACAAAGAGUAAGCGUUUAAGUGCAGACAAGUGCAGUGAAGCUUUUUUUGUUUUUCUUCUUUCUAAAGCUCAAAUCUCAUUCAAGGCUUCUAAAAACUAGUUUCUCAUUGUUGGAAGACCUUUUUAUACUUGGAGAUGUAACUCUGAUGGUAGUUUGGCAGUUUAUAUCCAUUGGAAACAAUUGAGGAUGAGUUCUAGCCUUUAAUUUGUCUUGUAGUGUUCUAGUUCAAAAUGCAGACAGAGAGCUCUUAGUCGACUAACUUGGUUGACUAAGUUGAUUAUGUUUCUAGUUUGCAGAUUCUAGCAGAGGGCACUUAGUCGACUGACUUGGUUGACUAAGUUGGUUUUGUUUCUCAAACUCUUCAACCCGUUAUUUCUCCAAUUUGAAAUUUGGUCAACCAAUGUUCUUCCUUGUUAAACCAACAAGCUUCCUCCUUGUUGUUCAGUUACAUCUUGUUGAUUUUAUCCCUCUUUUUCUUUCAAAAAUACUCUUUGAAGAUUUAAGAAAUUAAUUUCAUGUAUUAAUUUCCUGCACACUUAAGUAAAAGAAUUAGACACAGAUAAAUGGGAAUGUUUUAUUAUCAUCGAAAACUAAUGGAGCCAACAACCCUCACAAUGCUCUUUCACAAAAUCAAGCAAAACAAUUGCAAUGCUUUUUCACAGGAUCAAGCGAAACCCUUCAACAUUGGCUUUUACAAGCUCAAUUACAAACCCACAAAUAGCUUUUCAAGGUUAAGCUAGAACUUUUAUAAUGAAGUAUAAAGUUUAGCGAGAAAAUGCCUCUACAAAGGUUGAAUGUUAGGAGUUUAAGCUUGAGUAUGUGAAUAGAAGAAAUAUCAACUCAAAUGAAGCAAGUGUAGAACUUUUCAAAGCUUGGUGGAAGACUAAAAUAAAGCAAAAGAGUGAGGAUAAGCUUUUAAAGGUCUCUCGAGGGUUUAAAACUUUAUACACGAUCUUUUCUUGCUCCCAAAUGGCUCAAAGGCUGCUAUUUAUAGCUAAUGUGAAGUUUGGAGCUGUAAACAGAAAUUUGAAUCAAAUCUAACCAUUGCUAAAGCUUGAGGGUCAACUAAAAUGCUCCUAAGGUUAACUAUGUUCUUCAAAUUUCUCAAAUUAGGGCUUCAUAGUCGAGUAUAGCCUUCCUCUACUUAAUCUAAUUUUUGAGAACAUAUUUUUGCAAGUCUAGGCCGUGGUAGUCGACUAAACCUUUACUAGAGUCGACUAUGGCUGUGUAAAGUCCUUUUUUUCUUGCUCUUAACUUGUCAAGGUUGACUAUACAUCGAGCCAAAGUUGACUAUGUUUGAUCAAUUCAAAAUUUUCUUAAGCUUUCUAGAACAGGGUUGAUUAUAGGCACUCUAUGUCACGACCCGGUACUCCCCUCGAGCCCGUGACAACCGCCGCGGUGUUCCGGUAGACACUUAUUGCCCGAAAUGUCAACCCGAAACCCCGCAAGGCUUUACUAUCAGUUUCUUUGUUCCCUUGUGAGCAACCAUUGUCAAAUAUCGUGUUCUAAAAGAUUUUAAGCUGUUUCCAACUUUAAACAAAUAAAAUAUUAAUUUUUCGUCUCACAGGGGUAUUUUGGUCAUUUUUNNNNNNNNNNNNNNNNNNNNNNNNNNNNNNNNNNNNNNNNNNNNNNNNNNNNNNNNNNNNNNNNNNNNNNNNNNNNNNNNNNNNNNNNNNNNNNNNNNNNNNNNNNNNNNNNNNNNNNNNNNNNNNNNNNNNNNNNNNNNNNNNNNNNNNNNNNNNNNNNNNNNNNNNNNNNNNNNNNNNNNNNNNNNNNNNNNNNNNNNNNNNNNNNNNNNNNNNNNNNNNNNNNNNNNNNNNNNNNNNNNNNNNNNNNNNNNNNNNNNNNNNNNNNNNNNNNNNNNNNNNNNNNNNNNNNNNNNNNNNNNNNNNNNNNNNNNNNNNNNNNNNNNNNNNNNNNNNNNNNNNNNNNNNNNNNNNNNNNNNNNNNNNNNNNNNNNNNNNNNNNNNNNNNNNNNNNNNNNNNNNNNNNNNNNNNNNNNNNNNNNNNNNNNNNNNNNNNNNNNNNNNNNNNNNNNNNNNNNNNNNNNNNNNNNNNNNNNNNNNNNNNNNNNNNNNNNNNNNNNNNNNNNNNNNNNNNNNNNNNNNNNNNNNNNNNNNNNNNNNNNNNNNNNNNNNNNNNNNNNNNNNNNNNNNNNNNNNNNNNNNNNNNNNNNNNNNNNNNNNNNNNNNNNNNNNNNNNNNNNNNNNNNNNNNNNNNNNNNNNNNNNNNNNNNNNNNNNNNNNNNNNNNNNNNNNNNNNNNNNNNNNNNNNNNNNNNNNNNNNNNNNNNNNNNNNNNNNNNNNNNNNNNNNNNNNNNNNNNNNNNNNNNNNNNNNNNNNNNNNNNNNNNNNNNNNNNNNNNNNNNNNNNNNNNNNNNNNNNNNNNNNNNNNNNNNNNNNNNNNNNNNNNNNNNNNNNNNNNNNNNNNNNNNNNNNNNNNNNNNNNNNNNNNNNNNNNNNNNNNNNNNNNNNNNNNNNNNNNNNNNNNNNNNNNNNNNNNNNNNNNNNNNNNNNNNNNNNNNNNNNNNNNNNNNNNNNNNNNNNNNNNNNNNNNNNNNNNNNNNNNNNNNNNNNNNNNNNNNNNNNNNNNNNNNNNNNNNNNNNNNNNNNNNNNNNNNNNNNNNNNNNNNNNNNNNNNNNNNNNNNNNNNNNNNNNNNNNNNNNNNNNNNNNNNNNNNNNNNNNNNNNNNNNNNNNNNNNNNNNNNNNNNNNNNNNNNNNNNNNNNNNNNNNNNNNNNNNNNNNNNNNNNNNNNNNNNNNNNNNNNNNNNNNNNNNNNNNNNNNNNNNNNNNNNNNNNNNNNNNNNNNNNNNNNNNNNNNNNNNNNNNNNNNNNNNNNNNNNNNNNNNNNNNNNNNNNNNNNNNNNNNNNNNNNNNNNNNNNNNNNNNNNNNNNNNNNNNNNNNNNNNNNNNNNNNNNNNNNNNNNNNNNNNNNNNNNNNNNNNNNNNNNNNNNNNNNNNNNNNNNNNNNNNNNNNNNNNNNNNNNNNNNNNNNNNNNNNNNNNNNNNNNNNNNNNNNNNNNNNNNNNNNNNNNNNNNNNNNNNNNNNNNNNNNNNNNNNNNNNNNNNNNNNNNNNNNNNNNNNNNNNNNNNNNNNNNNNNNNNNNNNNNNNNNNNNNNNNNNNNNNNNNNNNNNNNNNNNNNNNNNNNNNNNNNNNNNNNNNNNNNNNNNNNNNNNNNNNNNNNNNNNNNNNNNNNNNNNNNNNNNNNNNNNNNNNNNNNNNNNNNNNNNNNNNNNNNNNNNNNNNNNNNNNNNNNNNNNNNNNNNNNNNNNNNNNNNNNNNNNNNNNNNNNNNNNNNNNNNNNNNNNNNNNNNNNNNNNNNNNNNNNNNNNNNNNNNNNNNNNNNNNNNNNNNNNNNNNNNNNNNNNNNNNNNNNNNNNNNNNNNNNNNNNNNNNNNNNNNNNNNNNNNNNNNNNNNNNNNNNNNNNNNNNNNNNNNNNNNNNNNNNNNNNNNNNNNNNNNNNNNNNNNNNNNNNNNNNNNNNNNNNNNNNNNNNNNNNNNNNNNNNNNNNNNNNNNNNNNNNNNNNNNNNNNNNNNNNNNNNNNNNNNNNNNNNNNNNNNNNNNNNNNNNNNNNNNNNNNNNNNNNNNNNNNNNNNNNNNNNNNNNNNNNNNNNNNNNNNNNNNNNNNNNNNNNNNNNNNNNNNNNNNNNNNNNNNNNNNNNNNNNNNNNNNNNNNNNNNNNNNNNNNNNNNNNNNNNNNNNNNNNNNNNNNNNNNNNNNNNNNNNNNNNNNNUCAAAAAAAUCUUUUCUAAAAUUCUCAUUUUGUCCCCAGGUGGCAAAUGACCAUUUUGCCCCUAGUUAGUGAAAAUUCCUAUUUGACUCCAAAUUGAUCCUCAAACUCCAAAUUACCAUUUUAAGUCAUCCAUGAACUGUGAAACUCUUAAUCUCACCUUAAAAUUCAUAUUUGAUCUAGUUCGAGGAUUAAAUAAACUUUGUUGUACCUCUAGGUACAAUACCGACUUUUGUAAAUUUUUCGGGACUCUCCUAGCAUGCAAUCAUGCUAUCAUCACAUGUAUGUCAUGAAUAGUAUUUUAUAAGGUCGAGCUUUACACUCUAGGGUUGACUAUGGCUUUAUAUUCUUUAAGUUUUGCACUCUUUCUACCUUUAGAUUGACUUGAGCUUCUUAGGGGUCGACUCUUGACUUGUGUCUUGAGGUUUCUUUAGCUUUUUGGUGCUUUUCUUCAGCCCUUUCUUCUCAAAAAAGCCUUAAAUUAAUAUUUGAUUGUAAAAACAAGACAAGGAAGAAAUAGAUGAAGAGAGGCACCAAAAAGCUAAGGAAACCUGAAGACAUAAGUCAAGAAUCAACUCUAAAGAAGCCCAAGUCAAUCCAAAAGAAGAAAGAGUGCAAAACUUGAAGAAUUUAAAGCCAUAGUUGACUUUAGAGUGCUUAUAGUUGACCUUAUUCCAACAAGCUUAAGAAAAAUGAAGAAUUGAACAAACAUUGUUGACCUUGGCUCAAGUAAAGUCAACCUUGACAAAUCAAAAGUGUGAGAAAAAGGGCUUUACAUAGCCAUAGUCGACCCUAGCAAAGGUGUAUUUGCGUACCACAACCCAAACUUGCAAAAAUCAUGCUCUCAAGAAUUGGAUCGAGUAGAGGAAGGUUAUACUCAACUAUCGAGUCCUAAUUUGAGAAUUUGAAGAACAUAGUUAACCCUACGAGCAUUGUAAUAGACUUGAAGCUUUAGCAAUGGUCAAAUUUGAUUCAAACUUGUGUUUAAUGGAUUCAAACUUCACACUAGCUAUAAAUAGCCGCCUUUGAGCCAUAUGGAAGCAAGAGAAAAUCGGUGAUAAAGUUUCAAACCCUAGAGAGACCUCCGAAAGCUUAUCUUUACUCUCUAGCUUCAUUUUAGUCUUCCACCAAGCUUUAAAAAGUUCUACACUUGCUUCAUUUGAACUGUUAUUUCUUCUUUUCACACACUUAAGCUUCAACUUCUAACAUCUAGCCUUUGUAAGGGCAUUUUCUUGCUAAACUUUGUGCUCCAUUGUAAGGGUUCUAGCUUAACCUUGAAAAGCUAUUUAUGUGUUUGUGGUUGAGCCUGUAAAAACCAUUGUUAAAUGGUUUUGCUUGAUCUCGUGAAAAAGUAUUGUAAAGAUUUCACUUGAUCCCAAGAAAAAGCAAUAUAAGGGUUUCACUUGAUCUAGUAAAAAGCUAUUAUAAGAUCUUGUAAAAACUAUUAUGACAGUUUUGCUUGAUCUCGUAAAAAGCUCAUUUUCCUUACUGAAUUUGAAAUUCCUUAGUGUUCCUAGGGAGUGGAUGUAGGUACUAGAGAAAGGCAAACCACUAUAAAAAUCUCGUGUCUUGCUGUUAAGUUUUUUGCAUUGUGUUUUAUUGCUUGCAUUUAGCUUAGGAAAAUAUUUUGCUUAAUUCGUUAUUAUGCUUUGCUUGCAUUUGGCUUAGGAAAAUAUUUUACCUUGACUCAUUAUUUGGUCUUUUCAAUUUGUUAUUGAAAACUUGCUAAGGAAAAUUACACAUUUUAUUUUUGACACAAAAAGAAAUUUUUGGUUGUAAAAGUCUUGAUUUUUAUACUUCGUUUUCAAAAGAAUAUUUAAAUACCAAUUCACCCCCUCUUGGUAUAUCGCUUAUUGAGAAUUCUACACUAACAAAAAUAUUGAAGAAAUUUAAUAAAUAUGAUUGUAAACUCGUGAGUAUGCCUUAUGAUCCGAAUAUGAGACUAUGGAAAAAUGUUGGAGAGCUUGUUUCUUAGUUAUUAUACUAUCAAAUUAGUAGAACACUCAUGCAUCUCUCAAAUGCUAUAACACCUGAUAUAGCAUAGGUAGUGGUAAGGUUAAGUAGAUAAACCAGUAAUCUUGAUAUAAAUCAUUGGACGGCGUUGGAAAGGAUACCGAGAUUUCUAAAAGGUACCAUAUCAUUGCAUAUAAAGUAUUCGGGUUAUCCCACUAUACUCAAAGGCUAAAGCGAUGCAAACUAGAUCUCUGAUUCAGAUGAAACUUAAGCUACCAUAAGAUAUAUUUUUACAUUAGGUGGAGUUGCUAUUGCUUGGUAAUCUUCCAAACAAGCAUGCAUUUCUUGAUCCUUUAUGGAAUCCGAGAUGAUAGCCCUAGAUGCGACGGCACAACAAGCGGAAUGGCUCAAACAUUUAUCAAUGGAUAUUCCAAUUAUUGAAAAACCAAUUCCUAUGAUUUGCCUCCAUUGUGAUAACCAAGUUGCUAUUGUGAAAUGUAAACAAAAGAACUCAAAUAAGCAAAAGAGAUACCUGCGUUUGAGACAAAAAACAAUUAUGAGUUUAGUUAAAAAUGGAGCAAUCACGUUGGAUUACAUUCCUUCUUCGAAAAAUAUUACAUAUCCAUUAACAAAAGGGCUGGCUAGAAAGUAAGUCAUUGAAUAUUCAAGAAGGGUGAGACUAAACCAUUAAUUAGAAAUUAUUUCAAUGGUAACCCAACCUUUCUUACUAGAAAUCCCAAGACAAAGGUUCAAUACAGUAAAAACAAACUAUUUAGUGAUUGAAUAAGUACCAUCUUUUAAGAGUUUUAUAGUCCCACUUUUAUUUUAUGGCACUUGAUGUACUGGUUAGAAAAAGUACAUGCUUUGAAUGAGUUUGUAGCAAAUUAUGCAAGACAUGCUUCUGUUACACAUGUCCAUCAAGAACUCACCUAUUUGAGUGUAGUUGUGAGGUCGCAACCUAUGAGAUUGGGCUUUUCUCUAGAGUUCUUAAAAAGAAAGAUAUGAGUGCAAGGUCCUUAAAGCAUGACCCCAAUAAAAUCUUAUAUGAUGUGUAUAAUGAAUUAAAGCUCGAGCUAAAAGAUCCUAAUUCAAGAAAUAAGUUCACUACGGUUUUUUCAAAUGGAUUUUCUCAUAAUAAGUGAGGUUUAAGUCCACAAGACACCUUCACCAAAUACAUUGUAAAAGUCUGUUUUUGUAUUUCUUAAAUUUCGAAUCAUAUGGGGGCUUGUUAGCUUUUUAUUUAAAUUCUUAUUUUAUUUUGGUGAUUCAAAAUUUAAUGUGUCCAUUGGGAGACGUAUGACCUUUGAUUGUAGAAAGGAAUGUCUUUUUAGAAGGAUACAUUUGUUCAUUUCAUGAAUAGGUGUGUUUGAAUAAACAGGCAUGUUGGUGAUGUUUCACUAUCUAUAAAUACACACUCUUUUUUUAAAAAAAAAAUCAUUUUAAGCAUUCCAUGUUUCAAAAAACUCUAUUCUUCUUCAUUCUAAAAUUCGUUCAAGAGCAGUCGAAAGAUUUAUGAGUUUGCCAAAUUUUCUAUUUAAGUGUAUAUUAGGAGAUCUUUGAGUGGUUCAUUGUAUCAUGGAAGUACGAUGUCAACAAUUGCUAUUUGCACCAAGGUAGCAACGAAAAUUUACUUUAAAGUCAGCACCUUCCAUAGGUGCCUUGAACCGAUUUUCACAUUCAAACUCUUUCUCAUUUCUUUUUGUUGUUAAUUGUUGAGUCUUUAUUAUUUCUUCGUGUGUUUUUUAUUUUUUCGUAUAUAGAUUCCAACAAUAGUUGCAACCUUUAUCAUGAAGAAGAAAAUAACAAAACAAAGACAUGAUGCCCAAACAAUUGAAAGUGAAAAGGAAUUCACCAAGAAAUACCAUUUAUUGAAGAAAAGGCUAUUGAUGAGAACAAAUUUACGAAGUUGACUGGAAUUGAAGAUCUACUAUGAAGUAUGUGAUUUGCAGAUUUAGGCACAAAUGCAUUUGCCUGGGUUCCAAGGUUUUAAUUUACAGGUGAGAAAUGAAUGUUAACUCAAUCUUCAGAAAAAGUUUGAUACAUAUUUAUUGGUCCCAAAAGGAGUGUUAGAAGGGGGUGAAUAGCACUUUAAAAUAUUUUAAAGGUAAAUCAGAAAUUUAAAAAAUCGAUUGGAAGAUUUAAAAUGGAUGGUUGAGAACUUGUAAAGGUUAGUGAACACCAACUAAAGAGAGGUUAAGAGAAGUGGACAAAAUACAAUAUUUAUAGUGGUUCGGUCCACAUGACCUACAUCCACAACAUUGAUCUUCAUAAUCAAAGAUUUUCCACCCAACUUCACUAGAACCAAUGGAAUUAACAGCUUCCACCAAACUUUUACAAGGUGAGUUUCUAACCCAAACUCCAACCUUUUUACAAUAAGUCCUAAGCUUACCUUAGCUUAGACUAUCCUUCAAAGUGUCUUGCACAAUCUAAGUAAAAAAGAAAUAAACGAUAAAAUGGGGUAUAACUGAUCACUUAACUUAUCUAAAUUAUACUAGCUUUAGCUCAAACACUUUCACAAAGUUAGGAGUGGAAUACAAGUGUAAAAGAGAAGGUUUUUGCUCUUCUAAGUUUUUUCAAACUCUUUUGAACUUUUCUUUUUCAUUUUUGACAAUUGGAGAACUGUUAAAUACUUGAAAAAUACUUCUAGCCAUUGGAGACAAAAACUAGCCAUUACAAACAGUUUCUGCCCAUUAUUUUGUCCUUUUGUGCUUAAAUUCAAACGGACAACUUUAACCGAUUAAACCUCCUCUGACUUGCACUGUCUAGCAGCUCUUUUCACUGUGUUAACCGAUUAAAGUAAGCUCUAACUAAUUAAAAACAUUAUGUUUUAAAACAUCUUCAUGCACUGUUUUUGGCCAACCUUCUUUCAACUAAUUAAUACUCUUUUUAACUGCUUGAAGCUUCCUCUUCUUUCAUCCUUAACUGAUUAAAUUAUGCUUCAACUGAUUAAGAAAUCUUUAAUUUUGAAUUUCUUCGUUUGGCUCCUUUUAACAAUCACUCACUCUUUGAAUUUAAAUUUUGGUGUUUCUUGGUACUUCAAACUUGAGAUUUAACCAAUUAGCUCCUUUGCUUAACCGAUUAGCAAGCUUUUGUGUUUCGCUUCUAAUACCCUCUUAAUCAGUUAAGCCUUGUGCUAACUAAUUAAGGCUUUUCUCUCUUAUUUUUUAUAUAUAGCCCAGAUUUUCCUUAAUUGAUGAAGGCUUCUUGUUAAUCAGCUAAUAAUGUUUUGUUUUCACUAAGUCCUUUCUUUUUUGCCUCUUUAACUGAUUAACUCAUCUUGCAGCGGAAUAGGCAUCUUGACUUAUUUUCAAAUAACAUAUAUGUUAAGAAAUUUAAGCUUUCUCCUGCAUGCGUAAAUAAUAUAAUUAGACACCAAUAAAUAAGAAAUGUUUUGUUAUGAUGAAAAAUAUAUGGAGUCAACAUUCUCCUCUUUUUUGAUGAUGACAAAACACCUCUCGAUUAAGAAUGCAAUAUCUAUGUUAACUUUGUUUCUAUGUGCAGUUAAGGGAUUUUUCCCUCUUAAUAUAUGCUCUUAGUUUUCUUUAAAGAUUUGCAAGAAAAUAUUCACAAUACCCACAGUAACUAAGUAAGAUAUAUUCAAUAUCCAUAAUAACUAACACAUAAUAUUCAACAAAACCAUAAGUAAGCAUCACACACAAAUUAAACAUAAAGCCUAGAAAACGCUAUUUAACUUAGUCUUCGUUUUCCCCCUCUUUUGUCAUCAUUAAAAAGUAUAUUCAAAACUCCCCCUUAAUGAAUGCAUCAAGAUUUUUCUUUACUCUUUAAAUUAGACUUUAAUGAAUGAUAAUCAUAAGCACCCAUACCAUUAAGUCAUACAAGCUUAUAGAUAUAGUUUAAUAACUUCAAGAGUCAAGCUUGUAGCUAUAUAAGAACAAAUGUUUGAGAGUUAAAUCAUUUCAAAAACUUGUCAAGGAUCACUCAAAUAAUUGUCAAGCAAAUUUGAUCAUUUUGUCAUAAUCAAAACUAUAAAAAUUUUAAAGCCAAUAAUUUCUCCUUUUUUGAUAUAAUAAAAUUAUGAGCAUAAUUUUCAUUUAAAAUGAUUUUAAAAUCUCCGAUUCAACAUAUUUGCUCAUAAACCUUUUUUCCCUCUUUGUUAUAUCAAAAAGUUUAAGAAGUGUGAGCAUUUAACACUUACGUUCAAGAAAUAAUGGUUAGGAAAAAUAUCAAGAAUAUAAGCAUUAAGACCAUAAAGCCGCCAAGUCAUCAUAUAUAUGCACUUAAUAACCUUAACCAAGUCAUUAAGAAAUAUAGCCAUUAAACACAUUCAAGUAGUAAUUCAUCAAGAAAAUCAUCAAUAAGAAUGCAACGUGUGUGUGUGUGUGUGUGUGUGCAAGCGAAAUGUGGACAUAAUAUUUAUGAAGUUCAAGAAAGAUAAGCAUAAAGAUGUUCUAUAAGCACGUAAGUCAUAUUUCAGCUCCAAUACCAAGUGUUAAAACUCAAUAUACCAAUUGAUAGAUAUAAAUAAAAUCUCCCUUAUUGUAAAAGCACAAUAUCAAUUAUGGAAUCAUUUUAAAGCUCAUUAUAUCAAUUGGUAAAGCAAUAGUAAAGACUUCCCUUAUCAUUAAGUAUUCCAAAUAUAUCAACUUCAAGGAUCAAACACAUUUAGAAAAAACAUGAUCAAUUUAAAGCUCAAGCGAGAAGAAACAAUUCUAAAGCUUGAUGCUAAAUUUAAAGCUAGAUACUAAUUGAGAAAACUUAAGGCUUGAUACCAAUUAUGCAUUUCAACAUUCAAGUUUAAGUGAGAAGCAAUAUAAGGCACAAUAUCAAUUUUGGUGUUUAAAAAAAUGUUACCGAUAGUGAAGAACACCAAAUAUUAAAUUCUCACCAAAUCUAUUAUUGAAGAUCUCAAUUCCUCCAUGAUAUCAAUGACAAUGAUUUACUCCCCCUCAAGAAAUCAAGAGCUCAACACAAAUUGUUAGAGAUCCUUAGUGGAUCAAAUAUUAGGAGAGAAAUCAUGAGCCUAGAAUAAAUGAGCAUUCAAGUGGAUAUUAAAUUUAUUUCCCUAAUACUUAUGUAUUCAUGGAACCAAAAGAAUAUGAGCAUUUGAUUAGAUGUUCAACAUAUGCAUCAAAUACUCAUAUUUUCAAGAAAUAUUUGCAAAGUAGUUUCUAAGCAUGUCUAAGGUAUCAUUAGUCUUCAAGCAUCAUUCUCAAUUAUCAUCAAGUAUUAUCAAUAAUUAAUCAUCAUCAAGCAUUCAUUAUUUAUUCUCAAUAUCAAUCAACCAAGCAGUAUCAAUCAAGCAUUUCCAAGGAAUUCCCUAAUUCAUAUAUAAAAAUAGCAACUUAAGAAGACAUUAAAAAAUAUCAUUAUUAAGCAUUUUAGUGAGUAUUCUUCCAAAUCAUUUUCAAUCGAUCAUUCAUCAAGUCAUUUUGAAGCAAGCAUUGCAAGAUGUAUUCUCCAAAUUAUAUUUGAAAUUAUCAAUUCAAGGAGAACUUUCACAAAAGGCAUAUAUUAAUGAGCAUGAACAAAGCAUUUUGCACUUAUUGCAAUCAUGUAAGAGAAUAUUGUGAUCAAGUAAGCAAUAGCAUGAUUACAAAAAAUAAAAUGGCUAUCUUCAUUAAUCAUGAUUCCAAUUUUCAAAAAUAUAUAGACAUAUACCAAAAAAAAAAUACAAGCAUUGAACUUUAAUGUGGUACAUGCUAUUUCUCAAUAUUCUUCAUAAUUCAUGAGUGAUACUAAAUAAAAAAUUUGAAAAUAAAGCACUAAACUCAUGAAUAUGUUCAAAGUGAACAUCCAAGCAUCAAUGAAUACCAAUUGUCUAGAUUCAAGAAAGAGAUUAGGCAUUCACUGCUAACAAAAGCUGUAGGCCAUAUUUCAUUUGACAUGUCAUGUUGUUUAUGGUAACCUAUAAGCUAAAGUUAGAUGCACACAAAAUCUUUAGAUCAUAUAAACAUUAAGGCUCAAUGAAGACAUAGUUAACAUUUAAAUGCAUAUUCAAAAUAAAUUUCAACUAUGUCAACUCACCAUAUAUGUCAUGAUCAAACUUGACUUGAGUUUUGCAAUUAAGAAUUAUAAGCAAUUCUAUCACUUAAGUCAAGUUAUAGUCUUCAAUCAUUAAAGUCAAGUAAGAUUAAAUGUCAUGUAAGUAUGUGACCUAACCAAUACUAUAACACCAGACCCUAAAUUAUCUGUGAUAUAUCAUUCACAUGCUUUGGAUAGCAUGUUUGUAUAUUGAAUUGCCCCGAAAAACAAGUUAAAUGAUUGUAUUACCCCUAAUGGUACGGUUCAGUCAAAUAAGUCUUGAACUAGUUUAAAUAGAAAAUCGAGGAUGAAUUUGAGAAAACUAAAACCCAUGGGUUGAUUUAAAAUGAGGAUUCAGAGUUUGAGGUCCGAUAUGGAGUUAAUCCGGAAUUGAAGUAUUCUAAGGGCAAAAUGGUAAUUUACCACCUGAGGAUGAAUAUGAAAAUUUUUAAUCCCGUUUGAUUAAGAUUGAUUAUAUUAAACUUAUUGGAGUAUAAUUUGAGGGUUUGGCAGUGAAAAAGUUUAAUUUCGGUGAUUUCUAGAGUAUAGGGGUAAAAUCGUAAUUUUUCCACCCACGGGCAAUUAUUCAGUUUUUGGGGCAAAAAUGUAAUUUUUAACUUUUACGAGGGUAAAAGUGUAAAUUUUAAAAAUUACUCCACCAAGACUUUGGAUAAGUCUGAGAAUUUUAUCUAAGCUAUGAAUAUGUGGGACAAGUGUAUGGUGAAAAUUUGGAAAUAAAUGAAUGGCUAGAAUUUAAGGAAUUAAUAAAACAAAAAAAAUGAAUAAAAUAAUAUUAUAUUAGUUUAGCCUUUAAAAAUGUCAAAAUUCCAGAAUUCUCAUCUUCUUCAGCCGUCCAAACCAGGAGAGAAAAAGGGGGAAAAGAAAUAAGAACCCUANNNNNNNNNNNNNNNNNNNNNNNNNNNNNNNNNNNNNNNNNNNNNNNNNNNNNNNNNNNNNNNNNNNAAAAUCAAGAGAAAUCAAGAAAUCAAGCAUUAAAAAGGUAAAUUUCAUUGAUUUUCCUUGUGAUUUUCACUACCCAUGCAUUUUUUUCUCAUUUUCAUGCAAAAUUAGAAAGUGGGUAUGGACACCCAUGCUGGCCAAACCUCCAUGGAUGAGUUUUGAACUUGCGUUUUAGUUGAUUUUAAUUAAAUUAAGUGAUUUUAGUUAGGUUAUAUUGAAAUAUAGCAAAAAUAAGCUAGAGAAAUAAUUUUCUCCCAUUGAAACCCAUUAUGCCGAAUUUUCUAAGGGAAUAUUGGCUGCUGAUCUUGAUGUUUAUUUGAGGAAUUAUGAUGAAUAAUGAUGAAUUAUGAGCCUAGAAAAAUAAUGAGAAUUUUCGGAGCAAAAAUAUGAAUUUUUACCCACUAGGGGUAUUUUCGUAAUUUGCUAUCGAAACUGAUAAUUUGCACCACACUGAGGAACAUUAAGUCAAUUUGGGUGCAAUUGAGGUAUAGAAACUGAAAAAAUUAAUUUGGAGUUUAAACGGACGCGUAUAUCGAUUUAUUGGGUAAAAGACCGAAAUAGGCUAACAUCUCGUUUAGGCAAAAUUUAGACAUUUUGCACUUCAUAUCAUGCAUUAGUAGUAUAAAUUAGUUUAUUUUGGUUUAGUACCAAAGUAGUAAACCUCUUAAUUGUGCAAUUUGUCAAGGUGGCGAAUCCUCUGGCAAGGGCAAAGAAAUCACACCCGAGGAGUAAUAGUUGGAGUACUCGAAUUUAGUUUUCGGAAACUGUGAGUAAACUUACUAUCGUCUUAAUUAUCUAGAGUAGUGUUAUACAAUUGUGUGAUUUUAUGAAAAAUGGGUUUAAAUGGUAAAUUGCUAUGUUUUAAGAGAAAUUGUGAUUUUAUAAAAUGAUUUUAUAAAUUUUUUGAAAAAUCGAAUACUGGUUUUGAAAAUAGAGUAAUUGGAGACUGUCUGCUUGUGUUGUAAAUUUAUGGUUUUAAAUUGAAUGGCUAAUGACAAUAAAUGAGCAUGAAUGGCUAAACUGAUUUUGGUGUUAGAAUUAUUUGUACUGUGUAUUUAGCCUUGAGAGGCUAGGUUGCGAAAGAUUGCCAUGUCAUGCAGAAAAAGAUCUUAUAAAUCAGGUGGUAGAUAAAAGAUUAGCUACUGCAGUAGUGGGGGGUUCCGUGGGCCAGCCUAUUAGAGGGGCACGGUAAACUCCUUUAUAUUCUCACCUCGGUCGUAGAGGCGCGUAGGGUAUCUCCUGAGGUGGGCUUUUUGAGUGCACUUCACGUGGACCAUCGCGUGAGAGUGAGACUCAGCCAACGCCAAGGAACGGCUAUGUUUCAAAAUAAAAAUAUGAUUUAUGCGAAAUAUGAAUUUUGAAUAGCCUUGGAGGACUCGGUUGGAUACCCUUGGUCCAGGUGUCCCCGAGUACAAGAUUUAGCAUGAGCCAAGUUUUGAGUAAUUCACGAGCCAUAUUGAUUAUUUGGUUGAAAUGAAUAUUCAUGAUGUGAAAAAUUUGCUGAAGUUAAUUAUUUUUAAUUGUCUCCAUUUACUCGCCUUUAGAUAAUUUAGAUGGUGUAUGUUUACUCACUGGGAUUUUAUAAUCUCAUCACCCUCAAUUCCCCACAUUUCAGGUUCGGGAUAGCCGGUAGAUAGUCGAUUGCAUCAAGGACUUCAGUUAGCCUUGCAUUGUCAAAAUUAUAGGUUCACAGACUCGCAUCUUAUUGGUUAGUUGGGGGUCCACGUGUCAUUGUAAAAGUAAUUUUAUACUUUCGUUAUCUGAUUUAAAAUAUGUAUGAACAUAUUUAGCUUUUACACCAUGUUUUUGACGAGUUUCGAUAUUAUCGAAGAAAAAUGACGAAAAUACCCCUGUGAGUCAGAAAAUAAUAUUUUAUUGUUUUGAUUUGGAAACGACUUAUGAUUUCUUGAAAUGCAAGAUUUAAUAACUAUCACUCACCGGGGAGAUGCGAAAGCUGAUGCUAAGCCUUGCGGGGUUUCGAUCGCCAUUCGGGGUAAUGAAUGCCUAUCGGGAUGUCGCAGCGGUUGUCACGGGCCCGAUGGGAGUUCCGAGUUGUGACAAAUACAAUAGAUGAACCCAAAAAAAAAAUAUUUCAUUAAGUUCAAUGAUUUCAUCCUAGUCAAUUUUAUGAGCCUAGACAAUGAUUCAAUCAUGAAACAAUCAUUUAAGUACAAACAUGAAACAUGUUUGAAGAAUUAUUCCUAGACUAAUCAUUUGAACAUUUCAAUUCUCAAGAUAUGAUUUUUCAAUGUAAGCACAUGAGAAAUAAUAAAAUCAAGCACUUAUGAGCAAUUUCUCAUUUUUCAAAUUUUGUCAAUUAAUCACAAAAGAAUUAAUAAUAUCAAUAUGAGCGUCAUGUUUUGGAAUAAACGAAUUCAGGCAUUCAUGAGAGUUAUCCCAUUUUUCAACAAGUUUUGCAAUAUCAAGAACAUGUGUUACCUUUUCAAAAAAAAAAAAGAACAUGUAUUUACACCAAAUGAUCAUGAGAGUGUUCCUAAUACACAUUUUUAAGGGCCAAGAUUUUUUUUUAAGCUAACACAGAAUCACUUUAAUCGAUUAAAGCCAGCUUUAUUCGAUUAAAGUGUAUUUUAAAAGUAGGUUUAAAAACUCAAAACUGUUUUAAUCAAUUAAAACAUUUUUUUAACUUUAAAUCUUAACUUUGCACAUAUGCAAAGUAAUCAAUUUAAAAGACUUCUUAAUCAAUUUAAAAUCAUAUUCAAAUCAAUUCAAUAAAAAAGAACAAAAGGUUUAAUCUCUCUUUUAAAAAUUAUUGCACUUAAAACACACAUGAUUUGAGUUGGACAUACUUUGUGUAAAAUCAUGAGCUCAAUGUCAUUCAUUUUGUUUAAUUAUACUCUAAAUGAUUUAUGAAAUAUGCAAUGAGUAUAAUGAAUCAUGUUUAUGCAUGUCAAGGGUCAUUUUCUAAUUUCUCACAAUCAUAUGCCCAAAUGCCCUUAUGACCAUUCAAGCUUACAAGUAAGAAUGCACAUCCAAUAAGAACAAGUCAAUAAGUAUUUUCAUCAUGAAACAAACUUGUCCAAUUCGUAAAUCAUUAUAAACUUAAAGAUGGCAAACAUUUUUCUCCUAUAAGCUUAUCUUGCUUUAAAAAUACCAAUUCAAGUAGUCAAAGCUUAUCAUACACAAUUUUAACUAACUUGAAACAUUCAAAUGAGUCUUAAAUGAUAAAGCAAAGUUGUUCAAGUGGUUAAAUUAUCUUAGACACAAGGAAACACAAAGUCAAAUCUUCAAACUCAAUUUUCCUUGUUUAUGCGACUAGAAUAGGAAAUUAGGCAAAUCAAUCUAUUAAUCAUAUUAGCCACUUAACAUGCUAUAAACAUCAAAUCUUUUAUGCUUAAAAAUAUGCUCAAAAAUCAUUUUUUCAAAAAAAAAUAUGAAAUCAAUUUCACAAAACAUGAGAAAAUUAUAUCAAAACAAUUUUCCACAAUUAAGCAAAAUCAAUAAAACAAACAAGUAAUUUUAAAAAAAUGAAUAACUUUUGACAUAAGCAUGAGGAUAUAAUCAAGUUCAAAGAUAAGCACACACUCACUAUUCAAGCUCAUAUUUCCUUCAAAAUUAUGCAGUUUAUGGCAUCUAUCAUAUGAAAUCAAAUUACAUAACCAAAAUUUAUCCAUAAAGAUCCAAUGAGAAUAGACAAAGAAUUAUACACUUAGAAUUUAAGGAAGUAAAGGCAAUCAAAGUUCUCAAUUAAAAAGGCAAACAAAAACCAAGCUAAAUCAAUCAAUCUCAAGAAUUUGAUAACCAAGCAAAAUAAAAGCAAACAACCAAAUAUCACAAUUUGACAAAUAAAUUACUUUUGGUAUAGAAAUCACCCAAUUUUCAUUCUGUCUAAAGGGCAUUCAAUCUUCAAGAAUUUGUUCAUCCUUGCUCUAGCACACCUACAAGAGACACCUUUCAUAUGAUCUUUAGUAUCCAAAUUGCUUUGGAUCCUUUAUAGUUAGUCUCAUUAUACAAAGUUCCUUUUGGAAUCCACACUUGUUUAACUUUAUAAGGUAAAUAUUUCUUAAUUGACCAAGUGUGUGAAAUAUGACCAUGAAAGUUACCAUAAUUGCAUUUGGUCAUCUUUGAAAGCGGGGAAUUCAUGAAAGCUUUUUGCAUUUCAUUUGUCAAAUUUGCAAGCUUUAUUUUCACAUAUAAAUUCUCUUUUCCUUAAACAAUCUUUGCCUUCAUUAAGAAAUCAUUUUCAACACUAAAUUUUGAAAUCAUUUUUUUGUAUUUCAAAUUCUUUUUCUCAUAUUCACAUACAUAUUUUCAAACCUUUUGCCAAUGGAUACAACUUUGUUAAAUCAAUGUCAAUCACAUGGCAUACAUGAGAAUCACAAAGAUGACUAAUGCUUAAUAAGUUAUGCUUUAGACCUUUAACAAGAAAAACAUGAUUGAUUUGAGUUUGAGAAGUAUUACCAAUUGUUUCAAUUCCUUGGAUAAUACCUUUGAAGUUGUCACUAAAAGAGACACCAUCGUUUUUCUUUCUAUCAAGCUUGACAAAUAAAUUUUCAUUUCUGGUCAUAUGCCUUAAGCAGCCACUAUCCGAGUACCAAGAUUGCCUCUUAUUUGGUUGAGCUUUCAAACAUUGUUCCUUUUGCCCUUGCUCAAUCUACAAAAUAAUUUUUCGUUUCUUUUUUAAAGGUACCCAUGCUUUGGUGGGUCUUUGAGGGUUAGCAAGCACAUAAGAAUCUUUCGGCACCCAAACCAUCCUGGUUUUGAGGUUAUUACCCUUAUGAUAACAAUCAUAAAAAAUAUGACCUCUCUUACCACAAGCAUAACAAUAUAAUGAAAAUGCAUCAUUUUUCCUUCUAAAAAAAGCAUUUCUUUUUGGUUUUUGUUCUUUGUACAACUUCCAUUUUGAGCUCUCUUCUAUUAAAGCUUUAAGAGCAACAUUCUCAUCCAAUGCCUUUUGUAAGGCCUCAUUUUUGCUCUCUAGUUUCAACAUCAAAGAUUCAAAAUCUGUUUUGAAAUGCUGUAGCUUAAUUUGAAAAACAUUUCUCUCAAGUUCUUCAUUUUUGACCAUCAAGCAAAAGUUGGCUCUUACUUCUAUUUCUUCCUUAGUUUCCUUCCUUUCUUCUUUUUCCAUCAUCUCUUGCUCAUAUGUGAGCAGUGAGCCAUAUAUCUCAUCUAAGGUGAUGACAUUAAGAUUUUUGACUUCUCGAAUUGUUGUCAUCUUUAGCUUCUAAGCCUUUAGUAAACUUCUAAGCAACUUUUUACCACUUCUUGUUUGAAAAUUUCUUUCUCAAGUUGCUUGACCUUGUUGACAAUGUUUGUGAACUGAUCAUAUAUGGUUGUGGUGUCUUCUCGUGGUUUCAUCUUGAACAUAUCGUAGUUGUGAGUGAGAAAAACAAUCUUAGACUCCUUAACUUAUGAAGUCCCUUUAUGAAUGAUCUUCAACUUCUCGUAGAUUUCUUUAGCUAUUGUACAAGUAGAAACUUCAUUGAACUCGGCAAAAUUUAGUGCACAAUGGAGAGUGUUUAUGGUUUUGAAGUUUAUUUGAACUUUUCUCAUUUCAACUUCGGUUCACUCAUCUCUAAUUUUAGGAGUUUUCUCACUAGUGACAAGAUCAAUUUUUGUAAGAACAUAAAGACUUCUAGUGAUGACAUCCCACAUUUCAUAAUCCGUAGCCCUUAUGUAGAUGGAUAUCCUAAUACUCCAAAAUUGAUAGUUUGUUCCAUCAAAUAGAGGAGGCUUAUUUGUGGAUUGACCUUCUAUAACGUUAAAAAUUUGGCUAGCCAUUGAUCUACCCUUCAAGAUGUAAAGUCUAAAUUUCAAGAGUUAGGCUCUGAUACCACUUGUUGUUCUCGAAAAGAAUGCUAAAAUGGGUGAAUAGCACUUUAAAAAUAUUUUGAAGGCAAAUCCAGAAAUUUUAAAAUCGUUUUGAAUGUUUAAGAUUGAUGGUUGAGAAUUUGUGAAGGUUAAUGAACACCGAGUAAAGAGAGGUUAAAAGAAGUGGACAAAACACAAUAUUUAUAGUGGUUCAGUCCACUUAACAUACAUUCACUACCUUGAUCUUACCAAUCAAGGAUUUUUUACCCAAUUUCACUUGAACCAGUGAAAUUAAUAGCUUUCACAAAGCUUUUGUAAGGUAGACUUCUAACCUAAGCUCCAACCCUCUUACAACAAGUCCUAAGCUUACCCUAGCUUAGAUUACCCCUUAGAGUGUCUUGCACACUCUAAGUAAUAAAGAAAUAAAAGAUAAAAUGAGCUACAAAUGAUCACCUAACUUAUCUAAGUUGUACAAGCUUCAAUCAAACACUUUCAUAAAAAUAGGAUUAAAAUACAAGUGUAAAAGAGAAGGUUUUUGCUCUUCUAAGCUCUUUCAAACUUUUUAAAACUUCUUUUUUUCAUUUUUGACUAUUGGAGAGGCUUUAAAUACUUGAAAAAUCACUUCUGACCAUUAGAGACAAAAACUAGUCGUUAUAAACAGUUUCGACUCGUUAUUUUGUCCUUUUGUGCUUAAAUUCAAAUACGCAGAUAAUGUUCUAUUAACUAGUUAAAGCGUGGAAUACAAGUGUAAAAGAGAAGGUUUUUACUCUUUUAAGCUCUUCCAAACUCUUUGGAACUUCUUUUUUUCAUUUUUGAAUGUUAAAGAGGCUUUAAAUACUUGAAAAAUCAAUUCUGGCCAUUGGAGACAAAAACUAGCUAUUACAAAUAGUUUUUACCAGUUAUUUUGUCCUUUUGUGCUUAAAUUCAAAUGUGCAAAUAGUGUUCUGUUAACUAGUUAAAGGUAAGCUUUAAUGGAUUAAACCUUCUCCAACUUGCACUGUCUGGUAACUCUUUUCAUUGUGUUAACCGAUUAAAGAAAACUCUAACCAAUUAAAAACAUUUUAUUUUAAGACAUCUUCAUGCACUAUUUUUGCCCAGCCUUCUCUCAACUAAUUAAUACUCUUUUUAACUGAUUGAAGUUUUUCUUCCUUCAUCCUUAACUAAUUAAAAUAUACUUUAACUGAUUAAGAAAUCUUCAAAUUUAAAUUUCUUCCAUUGGUGCCUUUUAACAAUCACUCGCUAAUUAAAUUUGAAUUUCGGCACUUCGUGGUAAAUCAAACUUAAGAUUCCGAUACCCUCUUAAUCAGUUAAGCCUUGUGCUAACUGAUUAAGGCUUUUCUGUCUCACUUUUUUAUAUGGCAUCCAGAUUUGCCUUAACUGAUUAAGACUUCUCGUUUAUUAGUUAAUAAUGUUCUAUUUUCACCAAGUCUUUUCUUCUUUGCCUCUCUAACUAAUUAACUCAUCUUGCAACUGAACAAGCAUCUUGUCUUGCUUUCAAACAAUAGAUAUAUUAAGAAAUUUAAGCUUUCUCCUACACACUCAAAUAAGAUAAUUAAACACUAAUAAAUUAGAAAUAUUUUGUUAUCAUCAAAAACAUAUGGAAUCAAUAAUAUUGAUAAUUUUUUUACGAAGUACAAUUUUGUUAGGUGACAAAUAGAGCUCUAGAAUAAAGAACAACUAGUAAGUUUAAGAUUGAAGAUUUCAUCAUUCAUGCAUUAGUUUUGUUCGGUUAAUGAUUAAUUUAUUGUAAGAAUGGGGCAACAAUUAGGGAUGGCAGUGUGUACCCUUUAACAGGGUACUCGUAGAUACUCAACCUGAUUAAAUAGGGUUAGGGUACCCUAUAUUCAAGUUUGGGGCAUAAUUUUACUAUCCGUAUUGGGUUCGGAUAGGGUUAGGGUACCACCUCUUGGGUAUCCGAUACCUAAACCUAAUUAUGCAUUAUAUAAUAUAUAAUAGAUAAUUAAAUAUGUAAAAAAAUUUUAAUGUUAAGAAUCAAACGCAUGCAUGGAUGAGAAUUACUUUAAACCUUCUCCAACUUUACCAACCUUUCAUUUAUAAUCUACUAUUGUUAGUCAAAUUAUUAAUGAUAUGUUAUAUGUUAAUAUUAAUAUAUGAUUAAUAAAUAUCUUACAUUUUAAUAUUAUAAUUAUUACACAUAGUAUAUAGUAUUGUUUUGCCUAUGUAAACUUAUAUCCUAUAUAAAUAGCUUAUAUUAAUAGGUUAUAAAUAUUAUUAUAUUUAAUUUACAUAUAAACAUUACUAUUUACUCUAUACUUAUUAACAUAUUAAAUAGGUUAUAUUUAACAAAUUUUUAUUAUGCCUAUAUCCUACGUAUUAAUAUGUUAUAAUUAUUACAUUUANNNNNNNNNNNNNNNNNNNNNNNNNNNNNNNNNNNNNNNNNNNNNNNNNNNNNNNNNNNNNNNNNNNNNNNNNNNNNNNNNNNNNNNNNNNNNNNNNNNNNNNNNNNNNNNNNNNNNNNNNNNNNNNNNNNNNNNNNNNNNNNNNNNNNNNNNNNNNNNNNNNNNNNNNNNNNNNNNNNNNNNNNNNNNNNNNNNNNNNNNNNNNNNNNNNNNNNNNNNNNNNNNNNNNNNNNNNNNNNNNNNNNNNNNNNNNNNNNNNNNNNNNNNNNNNNNNNNNNNNNNNNNNNNNNNNNNNNNNNNNNNNNNNNNNNNNNNNNNNNNNNNNNNNNNNNNNNNNNNNNNNNNNNNNNNNNNNNNNNNNNNNNNNNNNNNNNNNNNNNNNNNNNNNNNNNNNNNNNNNNNNNNNNNNNNNNNNNNNNNNNNNNNNNNNNNNNNNNNNNNNNNNNNNNNNNNNNNNNNNNNNNNNNNNNNNNNNNNNNNNNNNNNNNNNNNNNNNNNNNNNNNNNNNNNNNNNNNNNNNNNNNNNNNNNNNNNNNNNNNNNNNNNNNNNNNNNNNNNNNNNNNNNNNNNNNNNNNNNNNNNNNNNNNNNNNNNNNNNNNNNNNNNNNNNNNNNNNNNNNNNNNNNNNNNNNNNNNNNNNNNNNNNNNNNNNNNNNNNNNNNNNNNNNNNNNNNNNNNNNNNNNNNNNNNNNNNNNNNNNNNNNNNNNNNNNNNNNNNNNNNNNNNNNNNNNNNNNNNNNNNNNNNNNNNNNNNNNNNNNNNNNNNNNNNNNNNNNNNNNNNNNNNNNNNNNNNNNNNNNNNNNNNNNNNNNNNNNNNNNNNNNNNNNNNNNNNNNNNNNNNNNNNNNNNNNNNNNNNNNNNNNNNNNNNNNNNNNNNNNNNNNNNNNNNNNNNNNNNNNNNNNNNNNNNNNNNNNNNNNNNNNNNNNNNNNNNNNNNNNNNNNNNNNNNNNNNNNNNNNNNNNNNNNNNNNNNNNNNNNNNNNNNNNNNNNNNNNNNNNNNNNNNNNNNNNNNNNNNNNNNNNNNNNNNNNNNNNNNNNNNNNNNNNNNNNNNNNNNNNNNNNNNNNNNNNNNNNNNNNNNNNNNNNNNNNNNNNNNNNNNNNNNNNNNNNNNNNNNNNNNNNNNNNNNUACAAAAUGAAAUUAAAAAAUAUUUUUAUUUUUAAAAGUUCAUUAAAAAUUACAAAGAGGAAAUAAUUUUUAUAAUUUUAAAAAAUUAUGAGCAUAAAAAAGAAUAUAUUCUAUUUUUUCAAAAAUUCUAAAUAUAUUUUUUAUUUUAUGGAUUUUUUAAUCUUUUUAUAAUUUCUUAAAAAUAAAAAUUAUUUCUAUUUUUAUUAUUUUAUAUUUUUUAAUAAUUAGGAAUUAUUUUUAUUUUUUAUUUUUUAUUUUUUAUAAUUUCUAAAAAUUAAAAAAUUAUUUUUAUUUUUCAAAAAUUUAAAAGUAUUUUUAAUUCUUAAAAAUUUUUCAAAGUGAUAAAAAUUAAGUUUUAAAAUUUUAAUGAUUGGAAAAGGGCAACAAUGUCAAAUCAAGUUUGAUAACAUUAUAAAGCAAUUUGUAAUCUGAUAUUGCAUUAGUUUUUUAAUGCAAUCAUAUUAUAUACAUAGAUUAUAAUAUGAUUGUAUUGCAAUCUUACAUUGUAUUGACUUGUUUCAAAACAAACGUUACAAUAUUAUUUAAUUGGGUAUAUUGCAAGAAUUAUAAAUACACAUCCCUGAUAUCAAAUACCACCUUAGUGUGUUAGUUCUUAAAAAAAAAAAAGAAGAUUGUCAUAAAAAAAUGUGAUUUGCUUUUUUUUUUUUCCUUUUGAAUCUUUUUUUAAUUUUUGCUUUUAAUGGCUACAUGAUCAAGUGUACUUUUUGGUUUUAAUGAUUUGGGUAUCUUAAAAAGAUGAUUUCUUUUUACAUAUCCCUUGUUUUCUAAAAAGUGGAUGUUGAGUUUGCUUUCUUAGUUGAUUUUUAUAUAUGCCAUGCAACAAUUAUCACGUCAGCGUUUUCACCACAUCAAGAUGAUCAUGAUAUGUCCACACAUAGUCAAUGUCAUAUUAACUUAAUCAAAAUAUCACAUCAAUAUACAUCAUUUGUGAAAAUUUAACAGUAAAUUAACAAAUUAAAAAAAAAAUAAAAAAACUCAAUUUAUACAAAUUAUGAUACAAACUUUCAUACAAUAUAAGAAUUAAUUACAUAAUUGAAUCUAAAUUAUUUUAAUUAAGAUGACACCAUCUUUUACUAUUUAGAGCAUCAGUUGGCUCAAAGCUUAAUGGAACUAGGCAAAUAAAUGAAGCUCCAAUCUUCUUCCAACUCAGUUGUUGUAUUCAAUAAGGAAAUGAAGUCAUGCUUUCUCUCAUAACAACAUAUUAAUUUGGAUAGAUGUAGCUAUAGAAGAAGGAAAGAAGACUAAAUGCUUAAUUUGUAUUUUUUAUCAAUUAAAGGUCAAACGUUUCAAUUAUAACAAUCAAAAGUUAAUUAUUUUCGAUUCUUUAUAAUUAAAGGUUAAAGUAAGAGCUAUCUAAAAUGUGUAAGACACACACAUGACGUGAACGUUAACUUGAAAAGAUAAGAUAUGAAAUAGUAGUUUUGUCAAAAUGUUUUAGUUGUCAAGUCAAAACGAUUCAAAUUAUGAUGUGUAGUAUAAUAACUUUUUCAUCAUAACGUAUAAUAAUUAAAUAUUUUAACAUGACGUGCAACAACUAAAUCUUUAAAAUAAUAUAUAACAAUUACAUUUUUCAAUAUGACGUAUAAACUAAAUUUUUUCACAUGACCUACAAUAACUAAAUUUUCAACAUAUGUAAUUAAAUCUUUAACAUGACAUAUAAUUACAUCUUUUAUCUAUGAUAUAUAAAAAUUAAAUUUUCAAUAUAACGUGUAACUACAUUUUUUAAUAUAACAUAUAACAAUCAAAUUUUUUACAUAACAUGUACUAAUUAAAUUUUCAACAUAACAUGUAAUUACAUUUUUCGACAUUACAUAUAACUAUUAUAUUUUCAACAUAUAACUGCAUUUUUCACACUUUUUUUAUAACAUUUGAUACACACUCUAUCCAUCAAUUAACUUAACCGUAGAUUAUAAAAAAAAAAAAAAAAAUUGACCAUUGACCAUUAAAAUCGAAACAUUUACAUUUUAAUUCAAAGGAAAAAACCCAAACAUUUAACCUCAAUUUGAACAUUUAACCAAAACAGAACAAAAACAAGGAGUGGCCCAAAAAGGCGAAAAUUCUUCCAUCCAAAGACAAAGGAGAAAAAGAAGGAAGAAACUUUGUGCCCACUUUUCCACGGUUCCCCAACAAUCAUAAUUCUAGGUAUUCAGAAGCUUAAAGCAAAUCUUCAAAAACUGACAAUCCCAUUAACAUUUUUAUUGCUUUUUUCCAGGAUCAAAAUUUUGCAAACAGUGGCGAAAGAAUAACCAUUCAAAAUUUCAGUCCAUAUAUAAUCACAAACGGAACUUUUGUGUAAAACUCAGACGGAAAAACAAAAAGCCACAUUCUGGGACCAAAACUGCUACAGGAAUUGCCCUCACUAGCAACCCCUCAAACCCACAAAAAUGCUCACAAACCACAAAUCACCUAUUGUUUCUUCUCCAGACUCGAUACCAUACCCCAUAUUAUAAAUAGACGCUUUUAAUAUACACAUUCUAACAAAAAGAACAAAAGAUUCACUUCAAUCGCACUGAUGACUUUUUCACCUUCAAUCAAACCUUUGCUGGAUUGAUGUAAAACAUCAUGCAAAAAACAAUGGGAACCUCCUUCGAGAAAAGAAUUGGGUAAUAAAUAAAAUAUACUUCCAACACAGACAGGACACUGCAUUCCUCCAAAACCAGAAAGAUGCCUGUCAAACCAAUAUACUAUGAGAGGAUGGAUUGCAAAGCAAGCUGUUGCUCUGGCUGCAAAGAUGACCAAGUUGAGGCCAAUGUUGCUGCUGGCAACGUCUGCUGAAGCUGCCUCAGUAGAUUCACCAUCCGACUUGCAGUUUGUUCUGUGGCUAGAUCCUUACCACAUAGAACCUACCAAACAGCAACUAUUGGUAAGAGAACAUACUCAGGCAUAUUUUACACCCACAGAAGAAUUUAGCAUUUUAUCUUUUCGGUUGUUAUUUCUUUAUUUAUAUGGUGGUAUAUGUACCCCGCUCCCCCAACCAAACCAUUUUUCAGUUGUUAUUUCGAUUUUCUUGGUUUUGAUAUUAAUUGGUUAAGAGGGGCAAUUUAUUUGGCUAUUUUGGUCAGUUUUUGGUGUCCAAACCAAACCAAAAACCAUCCAUUAAUAAUUUAUUUUUUAAAUAUAUAUAUUUAUAUCAUUAAUAUUAUAUAUAAAUAUAUGGUUAAACUAAAAGCAUUUAGGCUUUAUUAGUGAAACAUUAAGCAAAGUUUUUUAAAUAUAUUAUAUAUAUAAAUAUUAUUAAUAUUAUUAAUAGUUUUUUUUUUUUUUUUAUAAUUGAGGAAGAGGGGAUUCGAACCCUACUGCUCUUAAGGUAAGGAGAUUAUGCACCAACCAAUAAGCUAAACGCUCGGUUGCUUAAUAUUAUUAAUAGUUAAAACUGAACAAACCAACUGAGAUUUUUGGUAUCAGUUAUUUUUGGUUUUCGGGUAUAGUCCGAUCAGUUUCGGUUAUUUUUUACAAGAAUUUAAUUUUCAAAAUUUUAAACCAAAUCAACUGAAUGCUCACCCCUACAGCUUUACCCACCCUAAAACCAAAAGAAUAAGAGACAGGUUUGGCAACAAUGAGGCUAAGACUCAUCCAUAUCCCACUUGAAAACACAAUAGGAAUUAUUCAGGCUUUGACAUGCCCAUAUGAAUCUUCUAUUAGAUAAUAGAAUUAAGAAGAGGGGCUGAAAGAAAGAAAACUGAUUAAUGAAUAAAUUACAUGUUCACAUGCCUAGACAUAGAAGACAUGUAAACAUGAUGUAUAUGGAUAUGCAUGUUCAUGCCAAAUUUGUCAUUGGAGCAACAAAAGCCAGAUAGUUGAUGCAAAACAAAGCUACAGCAUUAAAGCAAUGUUUGAUAUGGAAUUAAGUAUGCAACAGUGCCUCCCAUGGUCAGAGUUGGAAGUGAUAUUAAUUUAAGAGGAAAAAGUAUAAUGCUUUAAGAAAAUAAAUUAAAUACUUAACUAAGAUAUAGAUAAAACAUACAGGAUGCAGGACAGAAUUUCACCAUUUCUCAUUGUAUCGUUUGUUCAGAAUAAGCAGUUCAUUUAAAAAUAGCCAUAGGUUAAGAAAUUUUAAUGCAAUAACUUGAAAUUCUUAGUGGUUGCUAACGAGUGCAUUUUACCUCGGCAAAUACUGCAACAAUCUUAGGAAGAUACUGAUGGUUGGGACCCAAAACUUCAUUGUCUGACCUGAAGACAAAUUUGAUACAGUGGUUGAUAAUAUGCAGUAACAGCAUAUCAAAGCAAAAAAUAAACAGUGGAAUGAGAUCAGAAAUAUGCAGUAAGGUUAAAUCAACAAAGCAGAUGGUACCUCUCUACCAUUGAACAAAGUUGUUCAUGAACAACUUUGGCUUCAAUCAGAUCACCUUUUAUUGGCAAGCAGUUUAACCAUGCAGGAACAACCUAUCAAAAUCAAAGCAUAUACGUUCAAAGGAAUCCAACACAAAGAAAACAGUAAUAAAACAUCAAAAUAAGCAUAAAGACAUGCAGCAACCAGCAAAAACUUUUGUGAAAACUGCAAUGCAGAAAAAGUAUAAUUAUAGAACCACUGCAAUCUAUCUAAAAUUAUACAACAUAUAUGUAUUAAUGCCAGAGAUGAUCAACAAACAACAUUACCCAAUCAUCAACAUUUGGAAAUGUUUUUACACAUAAAGCAUAACAUAAUAUCUAUAUCUAUAACAUAUAUAAAAAUAUGAAUGCAUGUAAUUUGAACAAAAAACGACAUCAUAGCUAAUUAUAUUUCUAAAUUUCCAUUUCAAAAAAAUUUUGUUGAUUAUAAUUUUCAAUUAUAAUUAAAGUAUAGAAAAAAUUUCUAAUUCCACUAAAUCGCUUUCCUUGGAGAAUGAUUUACUUUUAACCUAAUACUAAUACUAUUUUUAUAAAAUAGUUUUUAGAGGAAAAAGAAAACAUCAACAAAUUUAUGAAGUAUCUUGUAAUUGGGUAAUCUGGCAGAAGCAAAGGCCUUCGUGGGCUCACAGUUUUAUAUAUUCUAUAACGGAAAAAGAAAUUGCCAUAUUAAGUCAAAAAAAUUAGUUUUCAAUAAAAAAAGAUUCAAAUUCAAUAGGCCUAAAGGAAACUUUUAUCCUCCUUUUCUUACAAUUGGUGCCAAAAUUGCAUUAACUUUCUUUUAGACUACAAUUUGAAACCCAACACGCUAGACAUUUAGAUAAGUUUUUAUCAAUAGAAAUCAGUCGAGUGUUACUUAUAUUCAUUAUCAUUGCUAUAUAUCCAUAAAUCACUAAAAUUUUGCCCAUCUUAUAAUCAAAAUUUCAAAAUAAUAAGCAACUAGCAUGUUUGAUCAAGUGCAACGCAUGUGACAUAGGCUAGUGUAACACUAUAUAGAUGCCCAUUUAAUAUACUCACAGUUUAUCAAAAAAAAUUAUAUACACAGUAAUGUCUAUUAGAAAAUGGGUAGGACUGUGAGGGUGUGUGUUGGGAGGGGGGGAGUGGAGUUUGGGAGGAAGUUACACAUAUCUAUGUCAGUAUAAAAGCUGCCUUUAACAUUUACAUAUCCACUGUCAUCAGAAUGUUCACACAAUAAAAUCUCUAAUUUAAAUAUCACAAAAGAGAUAGUCUGAUAUAUCAAGUGAUUUUAUGUAAAACCAUUGUCCUUUAUGCACCUUUAAAGGGCAUUUGGCAUCCAUGACUCCUCAAUGAUGAAGGAUUAUCAGUGAGGGACAAAUAUUCCUAUCACUAGUUGCUCUAUACAACUUUAUUUGAAACAAAGUUUAAAGAUUAGAGUAUUGUUGAAUGUUAUCAAUAUCAAACUGAUACCAUCCAUUACAUACCAGUUUUUUAUCAAAACUAGUACAUCCUGUUCUCUAUAUCGUCUAGUAUCUGGUACUUAACAGUAUCACCAUGCACCAGUCAUACUAGUGUGUUUCAGUUGUUUCAACAUCCAGCCAAAAAGCCCAUUGAAAAAGAAACUUAGACCUUUUGGGUCUUCUAGUUCUUUUAUAUCCAAGCCACAAGGCAGAUAACAGCUUCAUUCUGUCCUUGAUCAACUCUACAACUUGCUUUCAAGGCGAUGAUGGAGGAAGGCAGCAUGGGGCAAUUGCACACAAUACAUACAGAGCGGCAAGGGAACUAAGAGGUGUAACUUCUGAUCAGGAGUUGAGGACAAGGGUACUAAGUACAAUAAGAUGGCUUUUCUAUACCUAGGGUAUCUUUUUAUCAGGCUGGCAGGGCUAAUGAAGAGUUAGUUUCAUUUGUUUACUAAAAUCUAGGUCUCCUUUGUCCAAGUUAAGAUUUGAAGGAUAGUUGUCUUGUUUCUUUUUUUCCCCUUUCUUCUGCCUUUUUUCCAAAAAUAAUAGGAUCUCAAAGAAAUAACUUUGGACUCAAAUUUUAAAUCUUGAUUAAGAAGAAAAAUUACCAUUUUAUAAAUUCUCAAAAAAUUAAUUUUGGUGAAAGUUAAAAUAAUUAUUAAGAAAACGUUACAUUCUUAAUAGAAAAUAAUUGUGAACUAUAUUAUUAAAUACCUCUAAAUCCAAAAUGGUACUUGGUGUUAUAUUGACAACCUUACUAUUACCCUCAAGAAAGUGGUUAAUCUCUUUUCUUAAUGACAAAAUUGUUCCUAAUUUGCUGUUCAGCUAUAUACACAUGAAAAUAAAUAUAUAAAUGACAAUAAGCAUGUACACACAAAACACCCCUUAAUUUCUUAUUGUUGCAAAAUUUCCUGAUAAUAAGAACAAAGAGGCAGGAGGAGCAGAAAAUUGAUUUUCAAACACCAAGGUUCUCUACCUAAAGAGUCAAUUGAUCAAUUUUGAGCCAUUGCUAUAGCUUCAAGUAGCUCAAACAUAUAGAACCUCAUACGAACCCAUAGUAGAAGUGAUACUAUUUCCAUGCAUAUGGCUCAUAGUACAUUGCAAAUGGCACCGGUUCUAGCAAGAGAAGGCAUUUGGAGGAGAAAACUUCACACAAUAGCUCAGAAACAUGCAUGUGUUUUAUGCAAAGCACAUAGCCCAUUUCCUUUCAUAUCGCAACAUCUAAUUAAGUUGGAAAACCAAUUUUACUGGUUGCCAUACCUGAGCUGCAUCAAUCCUGUCACGAUGGAACAGGCAUAUUUUUCCUAAUGCAGAAACAGCAUUAUCAUAUGCCAUCACAUUUUCAGGUUGUAAAGCAUUAGGAUGCCGUAUUACAACAUUUAACCUUGAUAGAGCCUCUGAAAGAAGUCAAAAUAUAGGUUAUUCAGAUAAGAAAUAGAUAAAUAACCUUUUCAACAAUCACACAAAAUUUACCUCCAACAAGAGGUUUAAAUACAGGCCCACCAAAUUCCGCACAAACACCAAGCCCAUAUACUGCUGCCUGAAACAUAUGAUACAAUUGAAAGGCAAUAUCCAGAGUCUAACGUGCUUUAAGCACCAGAAGAGAGAAGGUACAGACCUGUCGCACAUCUGGGUUCUCAUCAUUGCAAGCCUCCAAUAUGAAAGGAAGAUAUGUCUCAUAAUAUCUGUUUCAACCACAUUACAGAAUUACAUCAAAUGGCAAUUCUCUAUGACAGUAACCAGAAAAAAGAAAAUUAAGCAGCUUACUUUAGAGCUGCCUCACGACACUGCUCUGCAAUAUCAUCAAAAAUACAAAUUGCAAUUCUUCUUUCUUCAGCUGUCUUAUCCUUGCCCUGUAUUUUAGACGCACAAACACACAGAGAAAGAGAGAGAGAGGGGGGGGGGGGAAGGGAUGAGCAUACUUCAUAAAAGAAAAUCUUUCUGAAUCUUUCUUUUGGAUGUUCCUUCAAAAAUUGAACUGAUUUCCGAAACAGACAGAUUUCACACAUUACUUACCCACAUAGGUGUAAGAUAUGAAGAUAGCUCAUCAAAGAAUGGCAAGAAAGAGGCUUUAAAUGUUUUUAUCAAAGUUCCCAAGAUUUCACCCACCUGGAAGCAGAAUGUUCAUUAGGGCACGAAUGAGAAACUCUAUGGAUUCAGAAAGAAAAAAGAACAAUUUGACAAAUAAACAUUACCUACAUAAUUAUGUGCCCUAUAACUACAGAUGUUAUUUGAAGACUUACUUGGUCAAAAACUUCUUCCUCCUGCUCAUUUUCCUCUUUAAUAAACUCUCCCUCCUCAGCAUCAAAGUCUUCAGCUUUGGCUCUUUCAGCUCUCUCCCUUUUUCUGCUCGCACUAGCCGUGAUUACUUGUUUUAUCUCGUCCACAAUAGAUCUAACCUGGCCUUCAUCUAAAAGUGGACCAGUGAUCUGAAAGAACAUAUGCUCAAAAAUUUAUGACAAAAAGUAAUGAAUUCAUACAAUAUAAAUGCAGGCAACAGCAAAGAGACAAAGAUUAGAACAAAGAACUCCAACAAGUAAUGAUGCAUAUCAAUUCACAAUGAAACACAAGGGUCAUGAAUGGAACUCUGAAAUGUUUUCUUGGAUGCUUAAUAACAUAUAUAGACUAAAAUGAAACUCAAAAACAGCCCAGGAAAGAUACUUAUUACAGUUUUUAACAAAAAUCAUCAUGACAGGUUUAAUUAAGGAAUUAGUUCAACUUAUUAGCAGAUACAACUGAAAUACCAUAUUAAAUUCAAGUUACGUUCAGCUGAUUUAAUUUAUUUAAAUGAACUUUUUCUUCUAACCAUUUGUUGCCCCACAAUGUCAAUUAAUAUCCAAAACCAGAGUAAUUUCAAACAGACAACAAUGAACACAAUAGACACUACGUAAUUCACUUCAUUUCAUAAUAGAACAAACCUGCAAGCAUUCGUUCAAUGCAUCCAACAUGCUUGCACAUAUUUCCGUAUCAGGCUCCUGCAAAGAUAUCACUAUUCAAUUACUUCACCCGUGACAAGCAACACAUAAACAAAGUAAUUAGAGCAUCAAUAGAUGAAUACUCCUAAAAUUAAACAACAACAACCUUAUGUAAUGCCUCCACCAGAGCUGGAAUAAUGAAGUCAGACAAUUGCUUUACAUAAGUCUCAUUACGCCCCUGAGCCAUCCCCUUCUCCACAGCUAAUUUUGCAGAGCGCAGUAACUCCGGCAUAGCUAGAAACAAAUUUACACAAUAGGCCAAGAGGGAAUUAACAAGAGCCAAACAAAAUUGAAAGACAAAAAUUAUAUAUUUAAAGUAAGAAGAAAAGUGUAUAUAGCAAUCUUAUACCUGAAACAGCAGCUUUUCUAACUUCCUCAUGGAAAUAAAAUUUAAGAAGAGGAACUAGAGUCGGGGCAACCUGCACCAUAUAUUCCUUCUGUUAGUUAUUGUUACAAAGUCUAGAAAAAUGAAGUCCAAAAUAGUAAGUUGAAACAAACCUGAUCUAUCCAUGGAAAAAAUCCUUCCUUCAACUCAUCAGCAUAGCAGCACAGCAUGUUACAUGCUGUAGCCUUUUCCUCCAGGACGCUAGUCUUGAUCCCAAUUCUUUUGUCCCCAAGAGUAAUGGUUUCCAUACUGUGCAAUGCCAGAUAUAAAUCUUAGUAUAACACCAAAUAACAUGGUGGAAAACAACAUGCUAUUGUUAUAAGCCGACCAACAGCCAGAGAUGAGCACAGCUAAGUUCAGGACUCUGUCUGGGUGUGUGUGUGUUAGUGCGUGUUCACACACUCGUGUGUGAGUGUCUUUCUCAGAGUGUCUUUGACUUUCUACAUAACAUAGAGAGAAGUGGAAGAGAGAGGAAAUAAAGUUUUUCAUCUAUUCAAAUGAGGGAGGAGAUACACAAGAUACAAAUGCAUCAUUGACAUUUUAGUUGCUUAUUGGCACAAAAUAAUUGUGAAAACAGAAUGAUAUAUAACCUUUCAUCAUCAGAGUCCUCAAUGUCAUUAUCUGAAUCUGCAGAUGUAAUAGUUACAUCUGGCUUAAGUUGAGCAGACUGGAGAAGGGGAGGCAUGACAACUCUCAUGUAAGGGAGGAAGUCUUGUCCCAAACACUUGCACAGUCUGGCCCAUGCCUGUAACAUGGUGAAAGCAUCAUAAGCAAGUAAAAAUAAACAUGCCAAAGUUAUUAUGAUAAAUCUUAUUUCAACACAUUUUCUGUGCUAUGGACUUACUUGCAGCAUGUAACUUGUUGUCGGAUCAUCUGUUUCCAUUUGGGAUCCUUGCAAUGACAUAAGCACUUCCAUAACCUUGCAAGAAGAAGAGAAAGCAAUACGUAAUAUAGAGGCAUUUCUACGUUUAAUGAAAGAACAUACAAGAUACCCAACUUUUGGUGCAAAUGCCAAAUACAAUCGUGAAGGUAUAAUGACAUUAAACAAAGACCAGUGGAAAAAAACAAAAAGAAAAAAUACUUGCUACAAAUAACAGCACACUCAGAAUGGUGAAGUUCUAUAGCCGUAAAAGAGAAUAGCAUGCAAUGACUGCAAUAUGUCCUUAGGGGCCCAUUUUGGCAUCAUAAAGAGAGGAACUUGAAUAACAAUUUUUUAUUAAUUGGGAAUAAAAAAACUAGACCCAACAACUCAUUACAAAUGUGGAAACCAAUGGGAAUCUGCAAACUGGUGCUGCAGUCUGCAUUCUCAUAGACAAGGCCAGGCAAAUUAUAAAACUAAAAAAUUGGUCUAUUCCAUGUCAAGCAUAUGAGAAACAUGCAUUGUGUAAGCAUUCAAAAUUUCUUUAGAUUAUACUAACUUGACAUGUAAUAUAAUUAGUGGCAAAACUCCAUAAUAGAUCAACCUGAUGGGCACCUCCCUCAGGUUUAUAUCUAGCCCACCCCAAUUACUUUCAAGGAACAAAAAACAUGUAUUUUCUUAAGCCAGAAAAGGGGUGGAUAUUUGCUGCAAACUACACCACUACAUACCCUAGAAAAUGCCAUUCUCAAAUACCUCAAAAUUCUACCAUCCAUCCAUGACUUUAGAGAUCUAAGAAAAUAACUAGAAGAAUUAAAAAGCAACAACUUGAUACAGGACAUGGUGUUUCUAGACAGCUACCAACCUGCUUGGCAUCAUCUCUGAACUUCUCCUUCCCGACAGCCAUUCCAACAAGACUAAUGCAUUCCAUGGAUUUGGCACGAAGCAUGCGGUUAGAUUUGUCAGUCGCAUUCACCAAGAUAGCUUUCAGGUAAGGCAUAACUGCAUCAUAAUAUUUUUGGAAGUGCUCCUGCAAACCCCCAUAUCAUUUAACUGUGUCGACUAUAUUAACGAUCAAACUAGCUUUCUUUUGGGUAAAAUACCUGAGAUGAGUCAGCAACUGAUGCCAAAGCUGUCAAGGCACCUUCUUGCACCAUUUGUUUCCCAUUCUGCAUGAUAUAUAUAAUCGACAAAAAAUAAAAUCUCCUUUCAUAUAGUGAAUCUAUGCAGUUUUUAUGCGACAUUUAUAACUCCAAUUGUCAUACCUGUAAAAGUACAAGUAAUUUGCUAACUAUUCCAUCCAAGUAAGGUGUUAAAAUUUCCGGAGUGCAGUUCUCACUGAAGUUGAGCACAGCUGAAGCAGCAUGUGCCUGUUCAUACACAAAUUACAUAACAAAACAAACUGUUAUUUCAAAGCAAACAAUUAAAUCUUGACAAUAGAAGUACCUGACUGACAGGUAAUGAGAUAAAAAAAAAAAAACUCUGAUGUUAUAACAAGACUACUAAAUUUUCAUGCAAAGAGCGGAAGCUAAUUUAGUUCAGUUUCCUGAACCAGAAGGCAUAGCUCCAUCCAUCUAUAAACAGGAAUUAAGUAUCAUCAUCCAGUAUCUAAAUUUAGACUUAUACAUUAGUUUUAUCCAUAUUCAACAAAAUAUCCAGGAAAUUCCCACUGAUGCAGCUUUCAUUUUCAAAUGAAUUAAUUCCCUUCACAAUCAGUUAUGAGGCUCUUACAUAUGCAUCCACCAUUUUAAGGGCUAAUCUGUAAAGAUGCCAGCGACACUUAAAGGUCAAGGUUCUAUUUUGUCUUUCAAGAAGUGGUAAGACAGAGAAUUGAAUAAUAUUUUUUUUUUUCAAAAAAAGGAACAUAUCAGUCAGCUACUUAGAAAAUUUUUAUAAUGACCACAAUUUCUAGUGAGUUACGACAAAUAAUUUGCUUGUAACCAGUUGAUAUGUUCCAAUAGAAAACAAUAACGAGUUCUUAUUAUAUGAAGUGCGUUGAUGACCACAAAGCUAUUUGACAUAACCAAAUGAGAUCAUAUCCACUCAGAUAAAUUUAAGUAAAGCAAGGUAUCCCACCACAAAGAUGUGACCCAUAUGCAUAGAUAACUUUAGAACUAGAAAAUUAUAGAAAAAGGAAUGGGUUAUUGGGGGCAGGAGUUAUCAAUUACAUCAAGACACAACAGAAAGGAAGACAGGAUGAACAAAUUAUCUCUAUGUAAACCACCAUGCACAUUAUUAAUGCUGCAAUUUGAAUUUGUAUCCAGCCUAGAGUGAUUCAACCUGUUUCUCUCUACUUGAAGGUUUAAGAUCAGGCACCCAUCUAAUACCAUAAAGAAACCAUACCAUGCAACAAAAGAUCCUAACAGUCAAAAGCAUAAUCUAGAGACAUCAAAGCAAAAUUAUUUAUCUCUGACUAACCUGUACUCGUGGAUUCUGGAAGUCGUCCAUGGCAGCGGCUAGUGCUGGUAAUACUCUUUGAUGAUAUUGGUUUUGCAAAUCCGGGCCCAAAUCAGUAGACAAUUGUCCAAUUGCAUUAAUAGCUGCCCACCUCACACGGGGAUGGGAAUCAUGAAAGGAGUUCAAGACCAUCGAAACCACUUGUUCCAGAUUUUUAAUCAUGACCUACAAAUAAAGCAACAAAUUACAAAUCAAUGAAAAAGGGAACAUGUUCCCAGCUCUCUACUUUCACUAUCAAACAUAAGGCAGAAAAUAUGUAAUCCAAUUCUUUCUCCCAACAUAAACUGAAUCCUCUGAAAAAGCUAUGCCAAUAAGCUAUGGAUUGAAAUAUUAGUAUCAACUUUCCGAAUAAAGUUCUAUCCCACUAUGCACGCAGUAAAUAGAAAACACCAUGACUAAACUGAACAAGCAACUCCAUUAGUAGUGCAUUUAGAAUCAUAUUCAGUGGGGGCAGGGGGGACUAACCAUUCCCAAGGAAGCAAUUUUUAAUAGUCAGUUUCAAGUCUAGGAGAAACGAAUAAUGUCAUGUAGCGAAUAGCACUUACUUGCAGCAACUUGGAACGAGAAAACAAUGUCAAUACUGAAUUACCUAAAAGCUUGGAUGCUACGAACUACAAAGGAGUAGAAUAAUGGCAAUGACCACAUUAAAACAUAUCCUAAUAUCAGGUAUACCUUGGCACAACCCUCAGCAAUCUGUGCAAGGGCAAUCAAUGCAGCAUGGUGCUUUUGCCACUCAGGAGCAGCCAAAUAAGCUGGCAACUGCUCGGAUGCAACUGGAACAAUUGUAUUUCCACCCAAGGAUAUAGCCAAACGAUCCAAACACUCCUGCCCAACACUGUAAUUGCUAGUCUCUCCAGCAUCUUCGUCCUCAGUUUCUGCAGUGUACCAUGCUGGAUCAUCCUCAAUAUCCAGCAACAUUCCCAUCAAAAUUGCAAAUAGCCUACUAAUAAACUGCGGCAACUUCCUCAUCAUUCCAGGGGCACGUUCCCUUGCUUCUGCCAAGGUAAUAACAAACUCAAUCGCCAAGUGACGUGUCCCUUCCUCAAGUGAUUCUGCCUCCGCAAUCUGCAGCAUAGACCCCACCACAUCAACAAGCUGCCUCCGAAGAAACCGUGGCUCCGUCCCUGCCAACUCAAUCAACAACUCCAGCGCUUCCUGAGCGGUGGCCUCAUUCCCGUUAUUCAAAGCUUCCGUCAAGGUCCUCAUCAUCGCCGGCAAAAGAUCCUGAAACCUAUCCCGAUCAGAUAAGCUGGUCAAACACUGAAUAAAGUUGAUGACAGCAUUCAACGCGGCGAUUUUGACGUCGGCAUUAGAACUUUCACUCAAGCACCUCAAGAACACAGCGUGUAGAUCCUUUAUAAAAGGAGUCAAGACAUCACCGAUAUACUGACUCAGCUGAGCGAAUAUCAAAAAGGCGGAUUCCUGCAAUCUUGGGGAAUCCGAAGAGACACACCGGAACAUAAACGGCAAAAGCUCGGGCCAGCCAUUCUCUGGCAAAAUACUGGAAGCAAGCUCCGCAACAGUGUCGCACAACUUUUUAGACAAAGUUUUAGUGUUUUCGACUUGGAUUUGAGCCAAAAGCACCGAUUUGAGGGAGGACUGGGUGGAGAUGUUGAGGCGAGGCCAGAUAUAAGAGUCGUCACGUGUCAAGAGCUUACGGAGGAGAAUAGCGGCCAUGGCACGAGUCUCAGGUUGAGCGCAGACUUGGAGGAGGUGAGCGAGGCGGAGACAGAGGGCGUCUGGGUCCGACUGCUUGCAAAGAUUGAAUAAGACCUCGGCGUGAGAACGUUGUUCGUUGGAGGAGGACAUCAAGUGGGAGAUUAGGGUUUCGAAAGGAGCCGGGUCGGGUCCUAAGAUGACGGCGAGCUGAGAUUGCUGGUCCAUGGCGGAGGCUGCGCGAAGGAGAAGAAAAAAUGAAGAAGAAGAAGAAGAAGAAGAGGAUGAUGCGGAUGAUGAUGAUGAUAUUGAUCCCUCUCUCUCUCUCUGGCUUUGUGUGUGUUUUUCUUCUGUUGUGUUGAGAGAGAGUGCGUGUGCGUGGGCAAAAAUGAGGGAUUUUAAGAGAGAGCUAAUUAGGGCUGACAAAGAAAAGGAGGGUUUGAUUAGCUGUGUUUUUAUGUGUCAUGAUGAUUAGUGUGAGUGCCCACCUUCUUCGGUUUUUUCCCAUUUUAUGGAGGGAAAAUACACUCAAUACCACUGCUAAUACUAGUACUAGUACUAGUAUUACCUUUCCAUACCAAUAUUAUCAUAUCAUAUGGCUUUUAUUUUCAAACCAUUGACGGAGGAAUGCAUUUCAGACUGCCCCAAUUUUGGUGCCUGCAUUAGAUUUGGUCCAUGCUUAAUCUAGGGACAAAUACUAGUCUGUCUUAAAUCUUUUUAUUAUUAUGCCCCAUCGCUUACACGCUCCGACUUUGAGUACGAAACCAGCAGUUCUUAAUUGCACUACUUUGCCACUUUAAGCGGCUUUGUGCCUAUUUUACCCAAAAAGAAAAAAAAAUAAAUAAAUAAGUGCCUUUCUGGCUCACUUUAUCCAUCCUUUUUGGUUUUAACACAUAUCCACCCAUAAAUAAAUCAACAUUUCAUUACCCUAGUCUUCUUCUUUGUUGACUUUUAAUUUAGGAGAAUGAGAUGCUUUUUCUUCAACCAGCCAUAUCUACAAAAUUAUUAUUAUUAUUAUUUAAUUAAAAUGUAUUGUUACGAGAAACAUUGAAACCCUAAACAAAACUAUAUAAGAUAAAACGUACUAGUCAAUUUGGUUUGUGAAUCAAUUAGGCUUUUUCUAGUGGAAUGUACUAUGCAUUGUCAUAUGUAUUUAUUUCAGGAAUGGAUCACAUGAGACACGCUGGUCAAAAGUUUUGUUUUGAAAAGUGAAAGCUUUAACUAUAAAAAGAAAAUUGAAAAUUUUAUUCCCAUACUAAAAAAAAAAGAAAGGAAUGCUGAAAUAAUUUAUUCCUCUAGAAAAAAGGAAAAAUAAAAACAAAUAAUUUCACUGUAUAACAUAAAUUUAUAAAAUAUACUUGGUCCCCCACUCCUCUUCCACUUUGUGUCUCACUUAUUUGCUUCCAUUAUUAUCAGCUUUUAAUACGAGGCCAAUGUUGCCUUGGAGAAAAGAAAGCACAUAUAUUAGUAAGGUUUUUAAUCUCAAAAAAUUGAGAUAUUAGUUUCAUAAAAAAAAAAAAGGUAAGGAUAAUCAAUAAUAGUAUAAUUUAAUUUUAAUUAGGCCAAGAUUUUUUCUUGAGCUUUCUACCUAAAAUAAUUUAAUUUAAAAUUUUAUUGUCUGUAUUUGAUAGUAAUAAAAAUUAGAAAUUACAUAACAAACCUACCUAAUUACUUUAGCAUUAAUUGAUGAGGAAGUUUCAUUAUAUGGGAAAUUUGUCUAAUUUUAUGAUGAUUUUAUUUGAUUUGUUCUUUUAAUUGGUUUCUUCAUUAAUUUGUUCCAUGAAUGUACAAUGUGAUGUUUAUUGAAAAUUAUUUGAUUGUCAUUAUAAUUUUAAAUUAUAUAUGUAACCUUAUAAAAUAAAACUUUUAGCAUUAACUUGAACGUAUAAAUGCAAUAAUUCUCACAAGUUAAACAUGUACCUCACAAACAAUCACUUAAUUUUUUUUUUUAGUGAAAAUUUUUAUUUAAACUCUAACCAUUAUAAGGAAACAAAUUCCUAAUAAAUCAUACACCAAAACAUCCCUAGCUUUAGCAGGAGGGUCACUAUAGAAAACAAAUAAUUCCUCUAAAGCAAAACCCUUAUUGGCCAUGAUAUCAGCUAGAACAUUCCCUUCUCUGUACACACAUCUUGUGUGAACUUUCCAUUGUCUCUACAGUAAACUCUUAAUACCAUUGAUUAAGUUCGAAUUAGAGCAUGGGCGUGUUCUAGGCGAAGAAUGGUGUUGACCACAAGGAAACUAUCUAUUUGUAAGUCAACCUUGCGAAAGCCCAUAUCCCAUGCCAAUCCCAAACCCCUGCAUACACCCCCACAAUUCCGCACAAUAUACAUUACACUUAUCCAAUUGUAUGGCAUACCCUCCUUGUCACAACUCAAACCCAAGGGUCCAUGACUAGCGUACAAGCCCAACAAACGAAGCCUGCAAAACCCAAGUAAGCUUUAAGUUUCCAAAUCAUAUGCACAUAGCCAAAGGUUUCUAAAUCCACAUAUUCAUAUAGUAUUUAAAUUCAAAUACAUAAACGAUGCCCUUUAGCACACAAUUCAUACAUAACAUUUAAUACAAUAAUUACAAGGCCAUACAUUGGCCAACAAAUGCAGGUUCAUACUUAACAACCUUUAACAUAGUUCAAUUGGCACAACGUGCCUACAUGUAUACUAAAUCAAAUGCGAAGCGAAAGCUCAUGACAAACUUAGUGGAGUGACCAAUUGGCUUAGGGACCUAUUGGAUACCAAAAAUCGAUUUUUCAAUGGACAACCUUUGCCACGCACUAUCCAGUGGCUUAUUUAUCUGCACAUGGUACAAAUGGGUGAGUCAUCUAAUACUUAAUGAGAGGUGCCAAUAAAUAACAUAGACACACACACACACACACACACAUAUAUACACAUACACAUAUAACGUACUCAAAUCUAACAAGGUGCUCUAACAAACAUCUCCAAUAUUAAAGGCAUAACAGUCAUUGCUGUUCAAUUUUUUACCCAAACAAGUAUACGUAUCACAAAGAUAAUAUAGUAAUGAGUAAAGUGUUGAUCCCAUAAAGAAUUGAAUUAAUUCUUACUGUUAACUACUAAAAUUAACACAACCUAAUUUUAUCUAAAUAAUUAAAAUUAAAAUUAAAACUAAUAACUAAAACUAAUCUAAAAUAUAUCAACAAAUUAUUUUAUUAACUUUUAGUAAUAAAAUUAUUUUAUUUUAUAAACUAAUCUAAAAUACAUCAUCACUAAAUUAAAGUUAAUCAUCAAAACGAAAACCAAGAAAUAAAAUAACAACAAAAAGAUAAAAGGAACCCAAGAGUUGAAUUAUUGAUCUCCAAAUCUUCUUGAAUUCUUCAAUUUCUUCUUUAGCUCAAAUGAGAUUUUUCUUUAAUGAUUUUGUAGCUUGACUUUUAGCUUUCAAUCUGGUGUUUCAUUCUUCCCUUUAAAAGUCCUUCGAAAUGUUGUUUUUAUAGUGCUUUAAAGUUAAUCCAAGUUGGGUGAAGAAAAAAUUCCAUUUGAACUAGAAUUUCCUCAUUAGACUAUGUGGUCUACGGCCUACUUCCUCCAAAGCUAUGGCCUUGACCAUUUAAAUAGCAAAAAUCGUAAUUGUUUUAGGACUGCUAUAGUGCUCCAAAUUCGACAAGAUUUUUGAUCACCUUCCAUGCCAAAAUGGGCAAAGUGGUAAACAUGAAAGUUAUCGAUUUUUCUCUUAUCUUUCCAAUGGUCCAAGAAUCACUUCAUUUGAAGCUUUGUAGAGAGAGUUAUGGCCGAAAUACUGAAACAUAUGCAGUGGAGGUUUGCACUUUGAAAUUGCUCUUCUUUUUCCACUAAAAUUCUUCUUUUAUCAAACACCUACAAAAGGACAAAUAAAUCAAUAACAACCUAUCUUAAUCACAUUAACACCAAAUUAAGUAUAAAGUUAACUAAGAUUAGAUUGACUCACCUAAAUUAACUAAUUUAAAAUAAUUAAAUAAAAUCUAUUAAUUUCUAUGUAUUACUACAAGAACUAAGCUAAAUUACAAUCAAAAUUAAGCCCAAAGAACUCUAUAUCAUAGAGUUAUCACACUCCCAAACUUAAUAUUUUGCUAUUCCUCAAGCAAAAUAUAGAAAAGAAACUAACUUACGAAAAUCAAAUUCAGUUAAUGAAAACUAAAAUAAAUAUAGUUACUAUUACUACUACUAUUACUAGUAGAGAUAAAGUGCACCAACUCAAUGAUUCUUUAUAAUUUUCUUAAAAGUAUGUCUAUUGAUUAUUAACCCAAGGAAAAAUAUAGGCAUCAUUUAAAUUCAUGUUUCAAUUCUAAUGCAAGUACAUUCUUGAAUGGAUUUCCAUUUGUGUGUGAAAUCUUUUACCAAUAAUAUCAUGAUAUCCGAAUAAGUUUAUACCAACACAAAUUUCAUAUUAGUACUAAAUUCCAUAUGUUUACUUUUCAUCUCUCUCUUCACUAAUGUAGACCAAUACAUAGCUAGGGAUCAAUAGGACUUAAUAAUGCUUGUAAUGUAUGGCUAAGGUCAAAGUAGGAUAAAGGAUAUUAAUGUGGCUCAAAUUACCCUAAAUGCAUAGUUAUUCUAGGACCUAUAUAUAGAGCUCUAUUUUCCUUCUCCUAGUACACCUUUUCUUCUACGUUUGAACUUUUCCUUUUUUUUUCACAUAUUUUUUUCAUAAUUCCACAUCCCCCAAACUUAUUUUCUUUGUAUUAGAGGUAGUGAGGUUAUUUUUCAUAUUUUGAACUUAAUUAUUAUUAUUAUUAUUUUCACAUCAACAUCACCUUUCCACCUUUUUUAACAUUUAGCUCAAUCUAUAUUUCUUAAAACAGUAUACAUGCUUAGGAGUGAAGGUUGUAAAAUUGAAAAAUUAAUUUUAAGGCUAAGCUCGAUUAUUAUGUAGUUAAACAAAGAAAAGAAAAAUUAGACUCAAAAGGGGUAUACUAGGGAUACAAAUUUAACAAGGUAGGUUUUUUAGGCUCAGACGGUCUAAAGAUGGCCUAAAUCAUCUCCCUAACUAAGUAUUGCCUAGGAUUUCGUAUCGAGAGAAAAUCAAGCAAAUUCUAGAAUUCUUGACAUAAUCUACAAUUUACAUCAAUAUAAACCUUCUCUAGAUAUUCAUAAUAAUUCAAAGUAAAAGGCAAAGUGCUCAAAAUUGUGGAAAACACAUCCUAACAAUUAUGCUGAAUAAAAGAAUUUAACAUGAAUCCCAACAAAAACCUUAUUAACCAGAAGUAAGAAUUCAAGAUAACUAAUUAUCAUCAUUGGAUAGAGACAUCAUCGAAAAAUUAGCACAACUUUACUCUAGAUCCCUAAAAUUCAAAUAAGUAACAAAUUCAUUUACCAACUAAUCCUAAAUUAUUUAUAAAACUAGAUAUGCAUGGAAAUAAAAUUAAAUCUAAAACUUUCAUAGAAUAUUCAUCACCUGAAAAAUAAACUUACCCCCCCAAACUUAAACUAAACAUUGUCCUCAAUGUUAAAAAAAAAUAAAGGAAAGGUAAAGAACACUCCCCUGAUGGUUUGAUGAAUCUAGAGAAGCUUUAAUCCUCCUCCUCGUCACCAUCAUCCUUUGCAUCAUUGUCCUUAUUGUCCGUUACCUCAUUGGCACCCUAGGAGGAUUAGGUGCUAGUGGAAGAGUAGACAUGUACAUUACCAAAAAAGCACCAUAAGCUUGAAACAUGUGGUCCAUAUGUUGUUGGAUCCUAGGUGGUGCUUAAGGAGGGGUGAAUAGUACUUUCUAAAUGUCACUAAACUUAACUUCUAAUUAAAAGCUUAUUAAAGGUAGAUGAUGAGAAGUUGAGAACAAGAUGGAAGGAUGAUUUAAAGAAGAGUGAAAUGAAGAAAUAAAAAGGGUAGACAAUGCAUAAAGAUUUAUAGUGGUUCGGUCUCUUUGACCCACAUCCACCACCUUAAUCUUCCAAUUAAAGAUUUUCAAAUCAAUUCACUAGAAUCAGUGAAUUUCCCAAGCAUCCAUCAAGCUUUUAUAAUGGCUUUUCACAGGCUCAACUAUAACCUUUCAACAAUGGUUUUUCAUGGGAUCAACUAAAAACCAAAAUCUAACUUUUUUAACGUUGAGUUAGAACCUACAAUAACAACUAAGCUAACCUAAGCUUAAUUAAUCCCCUUAGAGUGCCUCGCACACUCUAAGUAAUCAAAGAAUACAGAUAUAAAGAUGUACCUAUCAUCACUAACCUAAUUGAAUGGUACAAGAUGAUGUGCUAAACUUUAUUACAGAGAUUGAAGUGAAACACAAGAAGAAUUGAGAGGAUUUUUGCUAUUUUUGGUCUCUUUUUGUUCUUAGAAGCAUCUCCUUAUCUUUUUAGCCAUUGGAAAAGCCUUUUAUACUUGAAAAAUCAACUUUGAUGGAUGUUGACAACUUCAGACUAUUGGAUCUAGUUUAAAAUCUUUUCUAGCCGUUAGUUUGUCUUCAGACAUUCAAAUUCAAAUUCAUUGACAAUAAGUUAUUAGCUAGCUAACCAUAUUUCUUAGUCGAUUAAGUCUACUCUGUCUUGUAAUCUGCUUUACUUUAUUAAUCGAUUAAGUAAAACUUUAACUGAUUAAGAGCUUAUUGUCUUUGGAGCAGCCACCUUCACUUUUUGAUUUAGCUAACUCCUUUGGUUAUUUGACUAAGAGGUUUUUGUUUGUAGCUCAUUUGUAACUCCUUAUUCUGAUGAGUUUUGAUGUUCGCUUUCAAGUAAUUAAUUUAGCAUUGACAUACAUUUUUAUCCUGCACACUCAAGUAGUAUAGUUAAACAUUAAUGAAUGAGAAUGUUUUGUUAUCAUCAAAAACUUAUGAAGCUAACGAUCUCCCCUUUUUUAGAUGAUGACAAAACAUCCUUUGAUUAAUAGAACAGUGUUUAUUCCUUCCUUUUAUACUGCACAUGAUGAGGAAUUGGUCCCCCUAAGUGUGUGCUCUCCCUUAAUUUAUGCAUGAUAUUUUUAAGUUAUUUUGUUUUCCAACUCAGCAGGCCAACUAAUUUCUAUCUAUUUCUCAAUGCAGAUAGCAAACAUUAAUUCAGUGCUUAUGAGGCAUUUAACAAAACAUAUUCAUGAGUUAACAUACAAACUUGCAUAGCUGUUAAUAAUAAGUGACAAGAUAUCAUCAACAUUGUGACAAAAUAUCAUCAACAUAUCAUCAUCAAUAGACCAUAUCCAUUCUAAACCCAAAUGUCAUCAACCAGCCAACUAAAAUAACAAAAUAGCAUAACGAAAAGUUAUCAACAUUUAAGCACUAACUAUCAGCAAUUAAUAAAAUAAUAGAAUGUCAUCAACAAUUAAGCAUCAUCAAAGUCAGGUUUUUAAAUCAUUGUAUUAUUACUUCUAUUUUCUCCUUUUUUUUGUCAUCAACAAAACAAGGGUGUCCUUAUGCAUGGGCUGAUUCAAGAGGAGUUAGAAGGGAUUGAUUCAUUAGUGCCGAAGUGAACAUUAAUGGGUUUGGAAGAUGAUAAAGGUGAUGAUUUUCAAGGUGAGGAAUCAGAGGAAGGAGUGUUCAAGACUUAAAGAGAGUUCUAGUUAGAAGAUUUAAUUGAGGAUCUAGCUUUGUCAAUCAACUUGGAAGACAUUCUUCUUUUGAGGAACUUAGCUUUCGUUACCAUUGUCUUUUUCCUUUUCCAAUAGGUUUGACUGAAGCCUAUGCAGAUGUAGUUGCUUUCCCUUCCUCUUUGUCAAUAGGUUUACUUCUGCCUAUAGUGUGAAUUGAGUCAGGUGAAGUCCUUACAGGUGUGGGUGUUUAUGUUUUGUGUUUUGCUUUUUGCUGCUUCUUUUUCAACUUUUUCUUCUCUUACUAUUUGAUGAAACACAUCCAUAAUUAAGAUUUCCUUAGAAUUUGUCGGAGAUUGCUUAGUUUUCUUUGCUUCAUCAUGUUGUUGAAGAUUAAAAUUUUCGAUGAUGUCAUCAAGAGAACCAAUUACUUCAUUCUUGUUGUUCUUCAAGUUCAAGAGUAGGCUGUUUCUUUAAUAUGGCAGGUUCAAUUUCACCACCUUUAGUAUGAGGUGUAGGAUUCUCAGUAGUUUGACUUUCUAGUAUAGGACUUUGGGCUGUUAAAAUGCCUUCAGAUGUAAACUAGAUGAUGUUCUUCCUUUUUCUUCCAUAAUAGUGGCCAGGCUUUGUAGUUGAUCUUCAACUUUUAGAAUCCUAUCAGACUGAUCAUUUAGCUUGCCAUCUGUUUUCAUUAAUAAAUUUAAAAUCAUUUCAUUGGAAAUUUGAGAGGAGGUUGUCUUUGUCUGAACAGGGGGAGGAUUCUCAUUUCUUGGGGUGUCUUUAGGAGUUUUAAUAAAAUUUUCUCCUUCAAGUUUAUAUCCCAUUUUUGGUAGACUUCCCAAAUAAAUGGCUUGGUCUCUACUUUUGACCUGAUCCAUUUGAUAUCUUGUACUCCAAAUUUCCUUCUUCCUUACCAAGGAGCUAAUGAGGUUCCCAUAAGCUAGCUUGAUUUUAUCUACAUGAUAACUCUAUGAUAUAGAGUUAUUUGAGCUUAAUUAUGAUAGUAAUUUAGAUUAGUUUUUGUGGUAAUGCAUAGAAAUUAGUAUGUUUUAUUUAAAUUAUUUUAAAUUUGUUAAUUUAGGUGAGUCAAUCUAAUCUUAGUUAAUUUUAUAUUUAAUUUGGUGUUAAUGUGAUUAAGGUAGGUUGUUAUUGAUUUAGUUGUACUUUUGUAGGUGUUUAAUGAAGGAAGAGUCUUAAUGGAAGAAGGAAAGCAAUUUCAAGGUGCAAACUUUCACUACAUAUGUUUCGGUAAUUUGAUUAUAAAUCUUUUUACAGAACUUCAAAUGAGAUGAUUCUUAAACCAUUGGAAAGCUAAGAGAAGCAUCUACAACUUUCAUGUUUACCAUUUUGCUCAGUUCGUCCUAGAAGAUGGUCAAAAAUCUUAUUGAAGUUAAAGUACUGCAACAAUCCUAGAGCAAUUACGAUUUCUGCUAAUUAAUUGGUUAAGAUUGCGGCUCACUUAGUCUGAUGAGGAAAUCCUAAUUUGAAUUGACUUCUUUCUUUAUCCAACUUGGCCCAACUUCAAAGCAUUAUAAAAACAACUUUUUGGGAGACUUUUGGGGAAGAACAAAAAAUCAGAUUAACAGUUUAGAGUCAAGCCAUAAAGUCAUUGAAAGCUGAGAAGAAUUUAGAGGAUUCAAGAAAAAGAUUUGGAAGAUCAAGAUUAUAAUUCUUGAGUUUUAUCUUUUUGUUAUUCUUUUAUUUUUCUAAGUUUGAUAUUAUUGUUUAAAUUUAGUUUGAUGAUGAUGUGUGAUUUGAUGGGGAAUUAAAUUAUUUAUCUAAGAUUAUGAUUAAACUCAUUAUGUAGUAUGAUAUAUUUAUAUCUCUUUUGCUUAUGUUUGAUGGAUUUAAGUUGUUUAUUUUAUUCUAUUCUUAAUGCUUCUAAUUGCCUGAUCAUCAAUUAGAUUAAAUUAGAAACCAAGGUUAAACCUUAACGAAGGAGAUUUAGGUAGACCUUGAAUAGAAUAGCUUAUGAUCGAAUACACUUAGUUAAUUAGGUAACUUGAUUUGUAUAUAGGGUAGACAUACACCUAUAAGCCAUGGGCAGCCAAGAUUAGAGCAUGAACAUACACCUAUAAGACAUACUCCUAAACCCUUGAGAAGUGAGAAACGUUGAAAGCCUUUUCUAGCUAGCACUAUGCUUAGUAGUAAAACUAAACCCCAAAUCACCAUUAGUGCUAUUCUACUUGAAGUCUGUGUGGAUCACCAUUAAAGGCUAAACUAUUGAACAACUUGAGGUUUGCAACAACUCAUGCUUUGUAGGGAGAAGAUCAUGACAUCGUAGAUGUACAAGGCACUUGAUUUUGACGUCAAAGCCUUUAAGAUAUAAAUCUUCUACCAAUUAGUUAGAAUUUAUCUAUAUUAAACAAUCACAGUUGAUCUUACUUAAAGGAAAAGUUUUAGAUUUUUGUUAUGCAUGUAUACUGAUUUGCAUGGCUUUUAUUCCCAACAAUACUAUCAAAGUCUCCUUUGUUUUGAUUAAUAGAGAUUAAUGUUUAAUUGUUAUUGAUUUCCAAAGAGUUGGAUUGUAUGUUGAUUUGGUGAUAAAAUGAUGUAAAAAUAAAAUUUUCAUAACAUUUUUUUUUUUGAAAUCAGGAUAGCAAGUUCUCCUCUUCUAUUUGAAUGUUUUUCUUUUAUGUUAGCCCAUAAGUUUUAUGUAUAUAAUGCACGAUUAUGUUAGUAGUAUAUUAAAGUGUGUAUGGAUUAAAUUUGGUUGAUUUUCUAUGUUGUUUAUAUGCUUAAAGAAUUUAGAAUACAUUCUAGAAAUUGUUUAGUAUAUUCUAUAAUUUUUUCGGAAGUCUUAGGUGUUGAUUUAAUUCAAACUAUUUUCCAUUUUGUUUGCCUGCAUAUUUAUAAAUAUGAUGCAUGACUAUGUGGGAAAGACAUGGAAAAAAUUUGAGAAUUUUUGGAGUUGAUAUAGGUUCCUUAAAGUUAAGUCGAAAUUGAGGCACAAACUACAAAAAAUCCAUUUUUGCACUUUCUUGAAAUUUAGGUUACAACCUUAUUGUGUAAUUGUUACAUGAUAGUGAACUAUGUGCCUAUUUGACACAAAAAGAAAAACAAAUAGAAAGUAAUUUUUUGGCUAACUUUGUUCAUAUUUUGGUUUUAACACAUAUCCACCUAAAAGAAAAAUAUUCCAUUACCCUAGUCUUCAUCGUUGUUGAUUUUUAAUUUAGUCAAAAUACCUCAACAGUCCUUGUACUCUUACACUUUCUUCAAUUCAGUCCCUCUACUCAAAAUUGCAACAAUUUAGUCUCUUAAUUUUGAGAAUUGUUCCAAUUUAGUCCCUACAACAUUUUUCUUUCAAAAUAACCCUUCACAAAGUUGAUGUGGCGCUAAUAUAACACUACUUGCUAACAUGGCAUGUGAGGUGGGCUAGAAAUGCUGAUGUGGUAGUGUCACAUCACUUUGAUAUGCUAUUGUUGUGGUGCCACUUGGCACGUCAAGGAAAGCACCACGUGUUAGACUCUUGUUUAGCACCCAUCUAUGUCAUGCCAUAGGGCAUGUCUAGAAGGUGACACAUGGCAAGACAAGAAAGUGACACGAGGCGUGUUAGGAGGGCUCCUUGUGUCUUUUCCUUAUUUCUCUAAAAAUAUUUUGUGUUCGUUAACUUUCAAAGACCAAAUCUCAUGCAAGCACAACAAGCUAAUGUGAAGUUUUUGAGAGACGUCCUAACCAAGAAAAGGAAAUUGGAAGGCUUUGAAAUAGUUGCACUUACUUAAGAGUGCAGAAUGUAGUGUUAUAAUCGCACUUACUUAAAAGUGCAGUGUUAUAAUCUAGAAUAAGCUUCCACAAAAGCUUAAGGAUCUAGGGAGUUUUUCUAUCCUUUGUACUACUGGCAGUUUUAAGGUUUCUAGAUCUUUGUGUGAUUUAGGUGCUAGUGUUUUAAUAAUGCCUUUGUCCAUUAUCAAGAAACUUAGACUUAAUGACAUACAACUUAUUAUAAAAUCUUUGUAGCUAGCAAACAAAAUAAUCAAGUACCCUGUUGGGAUUAUAGAGGAUGUGUUCGUUAAAGUUGGGCAUCUCUAUAUUCUGGUGGACUUCAUUGUGCUUGAGAUGGAAGAGGAUGUGGAAAUUCCUUAAUUCUUAGGAUGACGAUUCUUGGCUACUAUAGGCAUAAUCAUUGAUGUGAAGGAAGGCAAGAUAACUUUUAAAGUUGGAGAGGAACUAGUGAGUUUAAUAUUUUCAAUACAAUUAAGCAUCUUGCCUCUACAAAUAGUUGUUAUAGAGUGGAUUUAGUUAAUAAGGGCAAAGGUAAGCCUAUUUCUCCCUCUACAAGUAAGCAAACACCAACCUUUAAGUUAAAGCUACCACCUCCAUAUAUCAAGACCAAGAAGUCACAUGAGAAGCAUCUUCCACCACUUUCGAAUUGUCUUGAUUUAGAGGUUGGACAACAAGUGUUACUCUUUAAUUCACGCUUCAAGCUUUUUCCAUAGAAACUUAAGGCAAGAUAGUUGGGUCUUUUCAAUAUGGUAAAGACUUAUCCUUGUAGUAUAAUAAAGGUUGAUAAUAAGGAUACUAGCACAUUCAUCGUUAAUGGACUAAGUCUUAAGCCUUAUUCUAUAGAUGAAAAAGUGUAAAAAGGGGUGCCAUAAUUAAGCUAGUGACUAUAAAGAAGCACUUCUUAGGAGGCAAUCAAGUUUUUGAAACUCUUACUUUUUUCAUUGGAAGUCAUUUUUUUCAGAUUUUCCCAUUAAUUUGUUUUUGUUCUUUUUUUUUUUUUACUUUUCUUCUUUACUUUUUAAGAUUGGGGACAAUGUUAACUUUAAGUUUGGAGAGGGAACUUUUUAGUUUUUAAGCUUUGUUUUCCUUUUUUAGCAUUUAUGUUUUUAAACAUUAAGUUAGUUAAGUUGGUUAUCAUUUAAUUUUCUGCAUAUUUGAAGUACUUGAGCUAGAAUUAGUUGUGCUAAUUUCUUUGAUUUAUCUAUCCAAUGGUGAGAACUUAGUUAUAUUCUUAUCUUGAUUCUUUGCAAAUUUGAAUAUUGUUUACGUAUUAGGUUAAAUUCUUAUGUUAAGCUUCAUUGUUAGGAUGAGAUUUUCACAAUCUAAGCACCAUAUCUUUUGCUUGAAAUCAUUGUGCACAUUUAGAGAAGAUUUAUGUGAAUGUAAAUUUUUGAAUUAUGUAUUGAGUUCUAGAAUUUGUUUGAUUCUCUCUUAAGGCGAUAUCUUAGGCUAUACAUAGUUAAGGAAAUUAUUUAGCCAUCUUUGAACCGUUUGAGCCUUUCGAGCCAUCUUGAUAUAUAUUUAUCCGUAGUAUACCCUUUGGAGCUUAAUUUUUCUUUUCUUUGUCAAACACAUAAUUAAUUUAGCCUAGCCUUUAAAUAAAGUUCUAAUUUUGCACCCUUCACUUCUAAGUAUAUAUAUCAUUUUAGGAUGUGUGUUGAGCUAAAAGUUGAAAAAAGUAGAAAUGAUGGAGUUGUUGAAAAUGUUCAAGAAAUGUGUUCGUUUUCACCCCACCGUCUACAAAAAGAAAUAAGUUUGGAAGUGUUAAAAUUGUGAUGAAACAAAAAACCAAAAAGAUAAGGUGUUUGAUAAAUAAAAAAAAAGUUGGAAGAAAAUAAAAAGAGUGUACUUAGUGAAGGAAAAUAAAGCUCUAAAUAGGUCCUAGAAUGUUUAUGUGCUUAGGGUGAUUUGAGCCAUAUAUUAUUUGUUAGGAUGAGCCUUGUAACCAAUUGGGAUUGGUUAAGGCUUGAUUCCAAUCAUGCAACAAUAUCAUUCAUGUUGAAUGAUUAGAGGUUUUCCUUCAUCAAUAAAACGUUAAUUAUAAUGGCCUAUAAGUCUAAUUGGAUGAAGUCCAUGAGAUUAAUAUGCCUUCGAAAGGAACUGUAAUAGGUUGCAGUUAUGAGAUCCCUAUACAUCUAAAGCAUAAUCUCCUAGUCAAUGUAUCAUUGCAAUUGGACAUCAAUAAUGACUAGAGACUGAUAUAUUCUAUGUUUCUUACUUAAAAAGUAAGCAACCGAUCUCAUAGGUUGAAGAAUAGAGAUACUUGGAACUAGAAUGUAGAUGCUUGCCUAGGAGAGCAAAUUCACUAAACAUGACUCACCAUGAGAAGUGCAUUAGGUAUUUCACUCAAGUGUCUAUGAAAUACUUCUUAUGUGAUAGUUGUGUAAAUACUCUUUAGACUUAAGACACCGGGUUAUCUUAUGUGUGGAGUGCUAUGCUUUGAUUUCAUCCCUACGGGUGCCGAACCAAAGAUGCCAAAAUAGAAGGCUUUUGGGUAUAGCAUGAAACAUGUGAAGGCAAACAAGUGGUCAAGAAAGGAAUCAUCAUCCUAAGUGAUUUAAGGGAAAUAUCCUAACAGUUCUUGGUUGAUAUUAGCUUGUUGAAGUCCUUGGCCAAGGCGUUAUGAAAAAUAGUUUCAUAAGUCUCUACAAAACUAAUGAUCUAACUUCAAGAACGAAUAUGGAGAUCAAUAAGAGUAGACAUUGUACCAUAUUCUUAUCAUUUUUGGGACAUAUGAUAAAGGAAUGAAUUACACUGAUAGAUUGUACAUUGAAAAGUUGUCAAAACACUAUUUGACUCUUUUAACAAUUAAAUGGCUAUGAUGUAUUGCUAGAUGCCAAUCUAGGUCUAUGGAAUUGAAUUAAUUAAUUUAAAAAAAUUAUAAUUCAAUUCCAUUGCCAACAUGUUAGUAACUUAAUGGGUUACAUACAAUAAGUUGCAUUAUGAAUUAAAUUAGGAAUGUAAUGAUUUAAGUUGGACUUAAAUCAAACACUAGGUUUUUAACUUCUAAAAACUUAAUUAAAAUAGUUUAAUUAAGUAUAAGGCCAAUAUUAUAAUUAGUUAUAGUAUUAAAGCCUUAAUUGUAAACAAAUAAAGUAAAUUUAAUUUAAUUUAUAAUGACUUAAUUAAAAAGGUUUAAUUAAGUGUUGGGCCAAUAUUAUAAAGGGUCAUUAUAUUAAGGCCUUAUUUAUAAUUUAAGAAGUUAAUUAACCUAGAUAUAAAUAUCACUUUUCAACUACUCCUUAUAACACAUGUGAAACAUACAAGUUAGGUUUUUGAGUUGUCAGAAAACUAACAAAAAAGCCUAGUCGCACACUUUUUUAAGUGACUUAAAAAUAGUUUUCCAACUUUGUGAUUCGGCUAGGAGGAGUGUGAUUAUAUGGAGAGGACAACAAGUUGUUGUCCACCUUGCUAGCACUAAGGCAUAGUUGAGAAGCUCCUUGCUUGUGAAGGUUCAAGUGCAACCGUGUGUGCAACUGUUAAAGGCCAAACGCUUGGGUGGCUUGGGUUCUUCUUCUUUUUGUGGUGUUCAUGGGUUGGACUAGGAAGAAGUAACAUCAUGAUAGCCACAUCACUUGGUAAAGGUAAUGUUAUUUUUUUUUUGAAUACUUUUCUUCUAGUUUUGUUUAUAUUAAAACCACCGUGGUGAUCCAUGGGUGGCGACAUGGCAUGGUACGUUUAAAUUUUAUUUUCCAUUGCAUACGAUAAUUGUUAUCUCUGAGUUUCAUGUCAUUCCAGCAUUAUCCCAUAUCCUACCUUGACCCUAGCCAUACAUUACAAGCUUUUUUUAUAAAGACCUAUUGAUCCUUAAUUUGGUAUUAGUCUAUAUUAGUGAAGAGAGAGAUGUAAAGCAAACUUAUGGAACUUUAGUACUAAUUUGAAUUUUGCAUGCUAUAAACUUAUUUGAUUGUAUGAUGUUCUUGGUGAAAGGAUUGCACACACACAUGAAAAUUCAUUCGAGAUGAGCUUGCAUUUAAAUUGAAACAUGAUCUUGAAUAAUAUUUAUGUGUUGCUUAGAAUUGAGAAUAUGGAAUAACUUAUGAGGAUAUUAAAGGUGAUUUUUGAGUUGGUGGAAUCUAUUUCUAGUUAAGUUGUUUUCUUCAUUUAUGUUAUUUCAUUUUAUCUUACGUUUUGCUCGAUGACUAGCAAAAUAUAAGUUUAGGGGUAUUGAUAACUCUAUUAUAUAGCUAUUUUCAGAGCUUCAGUAGCUAAGUUUUUGAGAUUUUAGGUUCGAAAUUAAAUAUUUUAAUUGUUUUUCUUAGUCAAGUUCAAUGCAUGUUGAGUAGUUUAAUUUAAGUUAUUUUAGUUUAAUUUUAUGUUAAAUUGCUUUAAAUUACUUUAAAUUUAGUUAUGGCUAAUCUCUUUUAUUGCUUUUAUAAGAAAUCUUAUUAAAAGACCUUAUAUGGUGAUAAUUUGUCCAAGUAUGGCGAUAGCUUGAUUUGUACAUACUGCAAUAUUUUUGACCAUAAAGUUUUCUAUAGAAGUUAAAUUGAUGUGAUUCAUAUGCCAUUGAAAAGCUAAGAGAUAGGGCUAGAACUUUCAUGUUUACCACUUUUCCCAUUUCUAAUUAGAUCGAGAUGAAAAGCACAUUGGAAGAGGCUGAACUGUUGUAGUUUCUACACAAGGCAGCAUAAGGAAAUGGAGGUUGCGACCUUGAAUGGGCCAAGGCUGCAGCUCCAAGAUGAAGCAAGAUCCCAUACAUGGACCAAAGAGCAUAGCGCUAUGGUGCCCUAGUAAGUUUAAGCACCCAUAGUUCACUUGAGAAUAGGGCACCGCAAUGCUUGGACGUGCUUCCAAAAAUAUGUUUUUAUGGAAUUUUUUAAAUUAGGGUUUUUUAGGAGUAUUUAAAGGGCUUUUUUCAGAGCUUUCAAAAGGGGGAUAGAGAGCAAUUAUUCUAGAGAAACAAAGGCUAAAAAAAAAAGAAGCAAAAAAGCAAGAGAAUUCAAAGAAGAUUAGAGAUUCAAAAAGCUUCAUUUAUUAGUUUUUCUCUAAUUUUGUUUUUCUCCUACUUCUUUUGACUUGGAUUUAUGGUUAAUUUUCUUUGGAUGAUGAUUUAGUUGAUAUUAUGAACUAAUUUACUUUUUCUAGGAUUAUAAUUGAACUCAACAUGUUAUUUGGAUACUUUAUCUCUCUUGCUUAUAUUCUAUGAAAUAUGAGUUGUUUAUUCCAAUUCGAUGUUUAAGCUUUUAACUACUUGAUCACUAAUUAUACUGAUUUAGAUAUCUAAAUAUAACUUGAUGAAGGAAGUUUAGAUUAAACCAUGAAUGGAAUGGCAUAUGUUUGUAAUCACUUAGUUGAUUAUGUGAUUUGAUUUGCAUAUAGGAUAGACAUAUACCUAUGUGUCACAUGUAGCCAAGAUUAAAGCACAAACUUAAUGAAUCUAUCUUCAGUUGAAUUUGCAUGGAAUCCACAAUUAAGGCUAUCAUGCCUUUGAUAUCACAUAUAUAUGCCAUUCACAUCAAAGAUCAUACUUAAUGAGCUUCAGAUACUAAUUAACUCAAUAUCGUUUUAUGUGUCUUUAAUCCUCCAAGACAUCAAAUACUUAUAUCCUUCGAGAGGUUAAUUGUCUUGAGUAAACUACUCCUAGACAUUGAUCACAUUCACUAGACCUUUAGUAUAGGCUCUAACAUACGCCACAUUGUGGUUCACACUAAGGCACACAUACACAUUGCAUAUAACAUAUGUGUGUGUGUGUGUGUGUGCGUGUGUGCGUUUAUAUAUAUANUGUGUGUGUGUGUGUGUGUGUGUGUGUGUGUUAUAUAUAUAUAUAUAUAUAUAUAUAUAUAUAUAUAAUUUACUAGCCUAGGCAUAUUCAUCUAGGCAUAUACAUAUCAUUCAAGUACCAUGGCAGUGCAUUAAACAAUGCAUCAUGCAUUACAUGAAUUUUUACUCAACAAAUGAACCCACUCAUAGUGACAGUCGAAGGCAAUUUCAACAACCCAACUCCACUUAUAAACUCCAACAAUUUCCUAGCUUACUAAUGCAUCAAUAGCUUCAAUUUUCCCUUGAACAAAUCAAUGAAUCAAUUAUUUCCCAGUUUUCAAAAUUUUCCAACUUUUUCUGUCAUGACCAAUUCUCGGGCCAUGACAGGCGCAUGGGCCCAAUGGACAUAGCCCACUAAGCCCAAGCAAACCUAUCUAUGUGACUCCAUUCAUCGAUUUCAUCAUUCGUUCUUACCACUAUAUUUCGAAGUUCUUACUAAUGAGUAUGUCAAAACUUUUCUAUCGAAACCAUAUAUUCACAUUUAUAUGAUACAAAAUAAUAUCAUCCGUGCCAUUACAUAGUGGCCACAUUAAACAAUAUAAACAUCUAUUGCUUAAGACAUAUACACGUCUUAACAAUUUACAUCAAGGCACGUGUGUGCAACAAAAAGGACUCUAGACUUCCAACAGAGCAACCAUAGCGAAGGUGCAGCUACUAAAUGCCAUUGAUACCUACCAAAAUAUGGAUACAAGUCUACGUGGACACCUCGUCCUAG